UUUUUUUUUUUUUUUUUUGUUGCAAAAUGUUAUUGAGUUACUAGGGUGACUCUACCAACUUUUGGGUGAUAUGUGGUCACUUUUGCACAGCCCAAUCAAGUUUGGACUUGUUUUUUUGGACCCAGCCCAAUGGACCUUCAACUUUGCCACUAACUCUAUUAGGUUUUACCAAAAUAAAAUCCGUUAUCAAAAUCAAUAUAAACGGCAAAUAUGAGUUAUCAUAUUUGCCAAAGUGUUAUCAAAUGCGGUUUAACCGUCAAAUUGCGUUUUGUCCGCUUUCUUAUAAAGUAUUAUCAAACGAUGGCAAACUGAUUUAAGCGGAUAAACCAUUUGCCAGGAACCGGCAAAUGUGUCUUUUGCCGCACUUUUGUCCGGUUUGUCUGAAUGCCUAACAAAGCGGGAAUUCGUUUUCAAACAGACCCUUAGAGGAGUGGGGAUGGUGGUGAGUAGGCCUGUAAAAAUGGCCCUUUGACCCUAAACCCGGCCCGGCCCGCCCGGCCCAUUCAAUGAAAAAAGCCCUUAAAUCUUGACCCUUAUGAUUUUUAGGGUAGGGUCGGCCCGACCCUCUCCUUUUAAGGGUCGGGUUAGGGUUUAGCUUUGGAAAUCUUAGACCCUACCCUUAGCCCGACCCUAAUUAACCCUCUCAAAGCCCUCUUACGGCCCUCAUAAAUAUAUGUAUAAUUUUUAAUAUAUUUUUCUAUAUAUCAAAAUUUGAAUAUUUUCUUAGAGUUUUAAUCGUAAAGAUUUUUCCAAUUAGACAUAGAUAUCACUUUUGUUUAAGUUAUAUUAUAUUUAUCAAAUGUUUCUCGAAUAUUUCCCGAACUAGUUGUUAAAAAACUAUUAUAUAACUAAAAGAAAUUGAUUCUCAAUAGAAUUAUUUUUUUAUUAACCAUCUAUUUCAUUAUUGAGCAUGCAAUAAACGGUAAUUAGAUUAUUAUUUUAAAUGUGUAUUUUAUACUUAUUAUGCUAGAAUUUUAUAAAUUUAGGAUUAAAUUUCUAAAGUUUGAAAUUUUAGUAAUAAGAUAACAUCUAACUACAAGUUCUUUGUAUUUAUUAAUUGUAAUGCUCUUGGAUAAAAUAAUAUCAUAUACUAUAACAAAUUUUAUGGUAAAAAAAAUAUAUUUGUACAUUUAAGAAUUGAAACAUAUUAUACGUAUUUUCAAAAAUAUUAAAAUGAUAUUAAUAAAAACAUGAUCACAUAUUUUUUUUCAAGUAAAACAUAAUUCUAUGUAUUGACCCUAUCAAUCGAGCCCGUUAGUCCGGCCCUCAACCCUUUAAAAUAAAGGGCUAAGGGUCGGGUGAGGUUUUCACAAUUUUUAUGUUGGCCCGCCCUAACCCGACCCUCUCAUCUUUUAGGGUAGGGUUGGCCCGACCCUUAAAGUGGGAGGGCUCGAGGGUUCAAGGGUCGGGCUAGCCCUACCCGGCCCAUUUUACAGGCCUAGUGGUGAGCAAAUAAUUUCUCUUGCCUCUAGCACAACCCCAAAACAAAAAAAAUUCUGGAUAUAGGAUCAUGGACCUACUAAAUUGUAGGUACAGUACUCACACUCUCACAUUCUCACCUACGUCCAGCCCAUUCGGAAGAAAUUAUUUAAAUGACAGUAAGAGCACUGUAUCAUUCACAACUUCUUACAUAUGGUCGUUUCACUUGGCGUUUGCUUUCUUUUUCUUUAAAGUAAACAACCCUAACGCGCAUUUUAGCAUAAAAAACCCUAUAUCCCCAAAUCAUUUCUUAGGUUUCUUUCUUUACAUCUGAAAAUGGUAAAUGAGUUCAUAUAUUUUACAAUUUUUGAUUUCUUCUCUUCAAUUUGUUUCGAUUCGUAACUCUUUUUGUUGGUUGUUCAACUUUGCAGGCCGAUUCACCUAUUGGAAGAAGGUAAAUUAACCCUAACUCUUUAUCUCUGAAGUUCUCUAAAUCGAUUUAAUUGAAUUUUAAGCUUUUAACCUACUUGUGAAAAGAAGUAAAACAGAUCUUGAUUAUGAUAUGAAUUCAAAAUUUUAAGGUUUUUUUUUUUUGAUUGUGUUUGAUUCAUGCUUUGAUGUGUUUCGAUCUGUGAAAAAAGAUUCUUGUUAAACUUAAAUCUAUCUGUUUCAGAUUUGGGGUUUUUGUUAUGUUUUUAUGUGUCUGGUUAUGAUCUGGUAAAUCAAGUGAAUACGAGAUUCUGUUUUUUCUUAUUUGAUAAUUUAAACCUAACAUUUGGUGGAAAACAAGCAAGAAAGGUGUAGGUUUCAUUUGAUUGAACAAUUAAAGUAGUCAACCUAUGCGUUAUUGUUUGUUGCUUUUGUUCCAGGUAACUAUUUGUAGAUACUCAAUACAAUUUUUUCGGCAUAUUUUGUUUUGAUCUUUGAGGUCGUAAUUCCAUUGUCUUUCAAAUUUGGAGCUCAGAUAUAAAGUAGAAGCCUAUCUGUUGGAGUUUGGAUGUUAGAAAUCUCAUACAAUCAUUAAAAAGUACAACUGCAAACAUCUAGGUUGUCUGUGGCACUACAACUUUACUGUAUAUAUUUUGGUCUAUGUCACCCGAUCUGUAACAAGGUUAGUACUGGUAAUACGUUCAUUUUACUGUGCUUGAGAGAGACCAUAGGAACAGCUAGUAAGGAACACAUUUCUCUUUGACAUCCCUACAUUUACAAAUUGUUUGAUACUGAAAAUAUGUUGUUGGCUGGUUGCAUACUAUUAAAUUAUUAGAACCUUUUAAAUCUUUAAUUUGUUGCGUAUAUCCUUAUAUCUGUAUUGGGUUUUCAGGACUUCACGAUCUCCAUCCCCUAGAGUACUUUCCCGAUCAAGAUCCAGAUCCAGAUCAAGGCCAAUGUCAAGAUCUAGAACACCACCGAGGUCCAGACCAAGGGAGCGGUCUCGAUCUAGGUCUAGAUCCAGGUCCAGAAGCCGUGGGAGGUUUGUCAGUUCCAUUGCUACUUUUUGAAGCAUGUUCUUUUAUAUUAAAAGAUGGUUUAAUCUUUGCAUUGGUAAUGCAGGCCGACAGAUGCUCUGAACCCCGGAAACACGCUCUAUGUGACUGGCCUAUCUACUAGGGUCACAGAAGAGGACCUUGAACAUCACUUCUCCAAGGAGGGAAAGGUUAGCUUUUGACACCUCCUGUGCAUGCUUAUGGGUCAUUGUUUAUGCUUGCUUUACUAAGGUCCUGUCAAUAUGCUUUUAGGUAUCAGCAUGUCGUUUGGUUGUGGAGCCUCGUACACGCAGCUCUCGGGGUUUUGCUUUUGUAACUAUGGACACACUUGAGGAUGCUGAUCGCUGCGUCAAAUAUCUGAACCAGUCCAUUCUAGAAGGUCGUUGCAUAACUGUGGAAAAGGUAAUUCUUGACCCAGAGUUGCUGAGGCGAAGGGUUGAUUGGCUAUUCUUUGGUUUUGACUUGGAGGUUUUUGGUUAUAUUCAGAAUACAUUGCGUCAGCUAGAUUGGCAGCAAUCAAAGAUGUUGAGUUCAUCGAUUUCAACUUUUUCACACAGCUUGAUCAGUCAGCCUGCUUAACAGCUUAUGUCAUGCAUCUCAUCAACUAAACAUAGCAAAUAUGCCCAACUUAACAAUCUCAGCAUUCACCUUCAACUCUCAACUAAUCAACGGACAUUACCAACAACACUCUAAUCGGGAAUUAAUGGUACCUUACACCUGGCAUUCAUUUGAUGGUGCUGCUAGACAUGUGUGCCUAGAUUUGUUUGACUCGUUACAUUUUCUUUAGUCUUUCAUUGCAUGACCAUUUUCUUAAUCUUACAUGGCCGUUCUUAAGAUUGCUUAUAUAAGUAAUAAUUUAAUGUUACCACAUGAUAUUUGUAAUCGUAUUUUCGUGUUUUCAAUUUUAUUUUACUAAAUUGGUCAUGGUGUAGUGGUUUUUGUUGGGUGAGUGUAAAUUUAUGUUGUCAAGCUGUUGGUUAUUACUUAUUAUUAUCAGCAAUUCCAACUUUAUUGCAUGUUAAGUCUGAGGUGAUUUUGUUUCAGUCAAGGAGGAAACGCCCGAGGACACCGACACCUGGACAUUACCUUGGAUUGAAAAGUACCAGAGAUACCAGAGAUACUGGUUCGUAACUAUCUUACAUAUUGCAUUCUCUGGUUUUUGUGUACCAGAUUUAAAUAUGUGAUUUAGUAUUGGUGGCACUUACUAUAGCCUAAUUUUCUGUAUAUCUGUUGUAUUCUAUGUUUGUAUAGGUUAUCGUGGUGACCGUGGUAGAUACCGUGGCGGUGGUGGUGGACAUGGCAGGGAGGACUAUGGAUACCGGAGAUCACCUAGGCGCUCGCCCUAUCGAGGAAGCCGUGAUUAUUCUCCAAGGCACUCACCUUAUGGUGGUAGGUCAAGAAGAGAACGCUCCAGGUCUCGAUCUUUUUCUCCUUAUGGUAGCCCAGUGAGGAAUUAUCGCCGCUAGUAACUUAGUUAACAGUUUUUCUGGCUUUUCGAAGCUGUUGGGAUCAUUUGAUCAUUACCAUUUUGUGGAUUUGGUGUGGUAGAAUAACUUUAUGUUGUAUUUUGGGAUGUUGAAAACAUAGGCCAAGAACCGAUCAAACAAAGAAAACUUUGACCAAGUUUGAUGUUUCUGUAAACCAAAGAGUGGCUUUGAUGUUUGUAUUCCCUUUUGAUUAUACUCUUAAUUCAAUUUGGAACAUAGAAUCUCCGAUUUAAUAUAUCUGUUUGAAUUUGCACUCAGUCUUGUUGUUGUAGUGCAUGUAUGAAUUUGCAGUCUUGCAUAGCAGUCAGCAGAAGCUUUUGAAAUUUGGCUGUAUCAUUUACAUAAUGGGGAUUGGAAAGUUGAGCAGCUUGUUAUUAUUAUUAUUUUUUAUGUGAUAAAGCAGUUUGAUGUUGAACCACGCUGAAACCAUUCCAUUCAAGAUUUAUGGUGAUCUUUCAAUGUUGAAGACAGAUUUAGAUUUAUUGUGGUCUUCCAUGUUUCAACUUCUGCGGGAUGUCUUUUUAUGUAUGGCCUUGUGGAUUUAAAGAGAUUAUUCAUAUUUCUCUCAAUCCCUCCACUUUCUCUUCUCCUUUUCAAUCUCACUGAUGAUGCGACACUCCAACUUUUCUGAAUCUUAUUGAUGGCAUUAUGCAAUAAGGUCCCAUAUCAAGUGAUGUGGACGGUGAGCUUGUCUGGAAGGCACAAUUUUCUGUAGAGCCAUAGCUCAAGGUUGCAGUUGAUCAUUCUUUUUGUAACAAUACUAUAACAAUCUGGAAUUUCCCAUUUAUUUUAGCUAGUUUCCUGAAAUAUUCAAUUCAGGGUGGCCUCAUUUCGGUGGGAAAGCAGGUUAUACUCUGAUGUUAUCCUCCUCUCACUAAAUUGAGAAUCCUUCUGCAUAUUGAUUUCUUUUCUCUAGUGUCUUGGCCCGUGCUAUGCACGGGCUAGUUUUAUUUUCAUCUUUAUAUGUUCUUAUUAUAAUUUUAUUUUAUUCUUUUUCUUACUAAAACAAAAUUUAUUGAUAGGCUCAAAGAAUUACACAAAAGUGGAGGACAAACGCGCUACAAACUGUGCGACAAGUUCUUUCUGAAUAGCAAACCCGAUUCUCCUAAAUACAUAUUCGUUCGAACCCACAGUCAUCACGUUGCUAUCAAUUACCUUCUGCACUCUCCUGGGGAGCUCAACUGCUUCUAAGCCUAGCAAUCCAAAUGUAUCAAAUGCAAAGGGGAUGAAACUAUGUUGGUUAGCCCUACAAGCUCCAUCAUGUUUCUUUACUUUAUUUGCUGCUAACCCCACCUCAAAAAUCCCAGCACCCAGCCUGACCAUUGGAGAUGCCUUUGUAACAUCAACACACGCAUGUUUCUAAUUAAUUUUUUAUUUAUUUUUAGUUUAUGUAGUCGUUAUAUUUUUGCAUUAAUAAUGUAAAUGCACAUUGUAAUGAAAUAUAAAUAGAUUAAAAAGACUCGUGAAAUUAAGAGUAUUCUUUUCAUGUAUGAAUAAACUCUUAAUGAAUAACGUGUCUCAAAAUUAAUUUAAAAUUAAUAUAUCUUAACUUAAACAUAAAUAGUCAAACUUAAAAACUUUGAAAACAUCUCAAAUAAAUAUUGCUACUUAAUCUAAUUUAAAGAAAUAUCAACUCUUUUCUUUCAAUUUUAGACAUUUAAUUGUUUAUUCUUUCUUUCAAUAUGUAUUUAUUUUCAUAAGAGUUUACCAUUAAAUACCAUUCCUACGACUUAAAGUUCCAAUAGAAUGUUCUUGUAUUCAGAAAUGACGUAUGUAACGAAGUCUGGAAGAGCAAACUGGCGAGAUCUUGCAGAGAAUGGAACCGAGUAGUAGUUGUUCACAAAGUCAUUUCCAGCAGCUGUGAUAAGCACAAGUGCUCCAUUCACUAGUUUUUGUGUCUGAACAGGUCCUAUGAGUGCACUCACUCUCUGCUUAUACUGUUCGAAGUACUCAAAUUGCCUGGGGAUCCCGAUUAUGUUUAACUGCAUGAAAUGUGCAGUUAAUUCACCUGAUUAGUCACUCAAUAUAAUAGUUCAUUAACAAAACUUUGUACCGAGUUUAAAAUUUGAGACAUGAAAUCGUGAAUGGCUUACAAAUUGGACUCCGGUAUCAUUGAGAAUUCCAAUCCCAGCAGACGCGAAGCUUGCACCAACAAGUAAUUUCUGUCCCCUGAGCUGUGGGUUUAAGUAUGCCAUUGUGGGUUCCUCACCCAUUGACUGACCUGCACAACAUAAAUAUGGCCUCUAUAAAGUUUAUAUGUAAAAAGAAUUCAGUACUUUUACCAUGGAAAAAAAAUGUAUUGAACAUAUAAGCAAUAUAACUGAAAUGCAGGGAAAAAGAAAUGUUACUGAUGAGAUUGGGAAUAUUCAAGCCAUUAGAAAAACGGCCAGUGGCAUGGUGAGUUGGAUAGUCGAUCCCAUAUGGAUAUGAAUCUGCAUGAGCAGUUGUCGCUAGAUAAUUGUUGUUGCCGUAUCCACAAGUGAAUCGCCAUAUACAAAGAAGGCACGCGCUUCUGCUUCAGGGACAACAAAGCUUAACACAACUAAUACUAGGCUGAAAGCAACAAGAGGUAAAGAAGCACUGCUAGCCAUGGAGAUGAAGGUAUUAGUUCUGUGAGAUUUCAACGAGUGCAACACUUCUUAUGUACAACACAUACAGUAGUCAAUGUAGCACAAAUAAAGAAAUUAUCACAACCAACUCAAACACUGAAUAAUGUAGGGUUACUUAUAUAGCAAAAUUUUGGUUGGGAAGAGAAUAAUUUGACUGUGAGCUGGCUAAGCAAUUUUCAAGGGUGACCAGCUGGGGAAAUUAGUGUCUACUGCCCUAUCUGAAAAUCUAAUCCCUUUACUUCACAUUGAUAAAAACCAUAAUGGAUUUAUAUAUCUCAGACCUUGAUGUAUAUUUACACAAAUCAAAAGUGUCACUUAAUCACAGGUCCAGAAAUUUAACUGCAUUGGCUAGAUAUUUCAUGAGAAUUACGACAGUAUUAAAAAAAAAAUUCUUGGUUUUGAAUAGGUUCACAUGCCCUGCCCGGCUGCCCCGUCACUACCUAUAUUUUGCUGCUCAGUUUUCUACCUCAGAAGGCAGUUUAACUUUAGUACUUGAUAUAGAAUCAGGCAAUCAGGUGGAAAAGGUCCCGCAAGAUUGUGGAAGGGCACUGUGUUGUGCAGUGACACACUGCCACCCUAUUUUGCCUCGAGAUUUACCGUUUUUUCCUGGUGGUAGGUGUGUGACCUAACACUAUUCAAUCACAUCUUUAUGCAAGUAGAGAUGCCUUAUGCCAGAGAGAGCAUCAAUCAUAGCAUCAAAUAACUCAGAUUUUAUUCAAAAUCAACUCGAACAAGCUACAACCUCUCAAACAUUACUACUGCACUCAUACAACCUCAAUCAACAAAUACUUAGAUAAACUGACGCAAUAUAUACUUGUUUUCAAAGGCAAACUGAAGUGAAACAAAUAGCGCGCCAGGAUGGACUAUUGAUUAUUCUUUGAAUCCAAAGCUAGGACUGUGCUGAGAUUCAUGGGGUGCAUUAACUCAUUUGAUCCAGUCAUGAUUUGUCGAACUAUGAUCUUGUUUGCUUUCUCACUUGGAUGAAAUGGAUCCCAAAAUGCGUAUAAAUCACGGUUAGGACAUAAGUUUGAAGCUGGAGUGCACAGCCCAAUUCCAUUGUAAGGUCCUUGUCCACAACAUGCUAUCUUCGAUGUAACAAAGCCUAUCAACGAAAAAUAUAAGAGGUCAGGAGGUGAAGGUUUAAUUUGUCAGUCACGAGUUUAUAGUCAGAGUUCGUAUAAAAUUGGCAUUUAUUGUUGUAUCAACUCACCAAAUUGCUGGGGGUUAGUGAUGAAGUUUAAGUGCAUUUGGUUCGUAUUAGCUGCAAUGAACACAUCUGAGCCCACUUGACUGUUGAUUUGGUUGAUCAAUUGUGUUAGUUGGGGGUUGAAUAACCCUGCAGCCCGUUGUAGCUCGGCAGAGCAACCACCAUUUGUGCUCCUUUGGGCUAGUUCUGCUGGAACACAACCCAAGGGCCCUGUUCCAGUCACAAGAACUCUACGUGCUCCCAAAUCGUAAAGCUUCUGCAACAUUGAUGAUUACCAUUCCAUAACCACCAAGAAUAAAGAAGAUCAAUCAGCUACAUGCUAUACAUAUACGUAGUCAAUAUUGAGGAAAUUACACGUGGAACAUGAUAAAAAUAAUUAACUAUAAGUAAUAAAUCUAAUUAAUUUUAUAAAAUUUGAAUCCAUAUUUGAUCCAGAAAGUUAGAAACUAAGCUAGGUUUCCACCAAAGAUCUUAGUACAACAUACUACAUAGAACCGUGAAUUGCAGGCUCAAUAAAUGUAUGCUCAUGAUAUGUAAAGGCGAAAGUAAGAGAUUAUCUUACCAACUAGCUUCAAUCACCUUAUUGUUAUGACUCAUUAUGUAUCGCGCAUUCCCUGCCCCUCUAAAAAUGCAUAUAGUAAAGAUUAUAGUACGACCAAUAAGAUUAAGUUAAUUACCAGUAGAAUUUUCUUAUAUUCUGAAAUGAGAUAGUGAACAUAGUCUGGGAGAGCAAACUGGCGAGAUCUUGCAGAGUAUGGGACUAAGUAAUAGUUAUUAACAAAGUCAUUUCCACCAAGUGUGAUGAGAACAAGUGCCUGAUUUACUAGCCUCUUAGCCUGAGUUGAUCCAACGAGUGCAGUCAACCUUUGCUGGUAGGUUUGGAAGUUCUCUAAUUGUCUGGUAAUCCUGAUUAUGUUUAACUGCAUAAAAUGUGGUACAUCAUGUAAGGUUAGUUAUCCAGGUUCAUAUAUUGGUAUUCAGAUUAGAGUUAGUUUUAGAUGUGACUUGGCUUACAAAUUGGAUUCCAGUGUCAUUGAGGAUCCCGAUCCCAGCAGAUGCGAAGUUGGCACCAACAAGUAAUUUCUGUCCUCGGAGCUCCGGGCUUAAGUAUGGUAACGUAGCUUCCUCACCAAUUGACUGACCUGAUCACAAUGCACAAUAUAAUGGUCUGGUUAGAUACAAAAUUAAAACAAUAUAGUAACGCUCAUGAUGGUAUGAACGUCUUUCCUUAAAUUUGAUAAACAACAAAUUAUGGUGAAGAACAUUUGUGGUGUUAGCAAUUAGAAAUGUGGUAUUAGGGAAUAAGAUAGUUAACUAAUAAGAUCAGGAAUGUUAUAGCCAUUAGAGAAGCGGCCUGUGGGGCGGUGAGUUGGAUAGUCAAUUCCAUAUGGAGGAGCAUCGGCACGAGCAUCUGUGGCUAGAUAGUUGUUGUUGCCAUUGUCAACAAGGGAAUCGCCAAAUACAAAGAAUGCACGAGCCUCUGCUUGAGGAACAAGCAUGCCGAAAACCAAAACCAGGCCUAUCACCAUGGAAACAACAAGAGCUGAAGAGUUGUCCAUGAAGAUGGUUGUUUUUUAUGACUUCUCUUCUAAUGUCUAAAGCAAACAAAGUGUGACACAGAUAAAUGUUCUUGAUCACACUCUGUUUCCACAAACUCGACUCUGAUACUAAAUCAAAGGUUAGUAUGCCAUUAUAUAUAGUAUUUUGAUUGUGAAGAGACAAUAAAAACUGCAAGCUAAGCAUUUCUUAGUGGGUAGCUCAAGCAUGUGUGCUUGAGAAAAGUAAAAUACAGUCUAGCUGUCUCAAAUUAAGUCAUAUUCUUAAAGAACAAAUUUCGCAUUUGUCGGGUUUGGAAAUAAAGCUUGCCAAUUGUGACAAACUGCAUUUGGAUUAUGAUGAUCAAGAAACAAUUCAAUGACUGUAUAUUAGAUAUAUAAAUUAUUAACCUGGUGAUACAUCAACCCAUUUAUCUGGAUAUGUUUUUAUUAAGCAGUCAUUUAAAAGUUUCAUUUUAUAUGCUUAAUACGAAACAAAAAAAGAUUUGAGUAUGUGUUAAACUGUAUUAGCAGUACAGUAGAACCUCUUUAAAUUAAUACUUGAUUUGUUAAUAAUCUCUAAGUUAAUAAAACUGUGUACAUGGUAAGUAGCUAAAUCAAGACUUAAUAAUCUCUCUAAGUUAAUAAAAUUGCAUAAAAUUACAUAGGUCCCAAAAUUAUAAAUUUAAAGAGGUUCUAUUGUAUAUAUGUUUACAACUUAUUUUGCGGCUGAGGGAUACACUACCAUAUGUACCAUGCUCUUCAAAUUCAGGUGAACACUCAGCUUUUCCAGUGAGUGAGGUGUAGUACUUAGAUUCACAAUGAUCUUUGGGAAAUGUUCAGAGUUCAUCAAAGGGAAGUACCUGGGGACAGAGAGUUUUCGGCCUAAAUUCUGGGAUCAGGUCCAUUUUUUGGAGGGAGAAAUAUGGGAAGAAACAGUUUAUCGGAAAAACAUCACUGGAAUGAGGUAAAUGGAUAGGGAUUCUUCUAUGCCAAAUUUCUAUUGGAAAAUAGUCAUGGGUUCAGUGUUUAGAUUUGUGGAAAAUAAGCUGUCAAUGAUUGCGACGUUGAGGGAUAACCGAAGGGGGGCUUUUCUCCGGAUCUAGUUCAUUACAAAGAUGUCGAACAAUCAAAGGAUGAUGAUUUGUAUUCCGGCGGGCGAAAAUCGGAGGGGGUGGACAAAUUUUGGGGGAAAGCUUUCAACUUUGUUGUCACAAGGGGAAACAUAGAACCAGCAGAUUCCGACAAGGGCCAAAUUCCCACAUACUUUUCCUCAGAACCAAGGAAGGAGACCAACUUUCGCUCAGGUAGCAGGAAGAAUGGACACCAGAUGUGACUUCAAUCCAACCCAAGUGUUGGAUUUCAACAACUCUUGGUGGUCAGCUGUGGCGGUUUGUCAACGAAGUGGCCCAAAUCCAAAUUGGGAUUGGGUAAGGGAGAAAUGUUCUGGGGUGUUUGGGGGAGUAGGUCUGAAAGUGAUUGAAGGAAGGAAAGCUCUUAUCUUCCUCAACUCAGAAGAAGACCUAUCAAAGCUGCUUGCCAUGCCUCCACUAUCAAGUUGGGAAGGUUUCUUUACAUUUACCAAAUGACACCCAUCUUCAGGAUCGUUAAAGGUGAAAUCAGGAGUGAAAAGAGAUGUGGAAGUAGCUUUUGUUAGCAUUCCAUACCAUCUAAGGGUGAAAACGAUAAUCGACAUGCUGAGCAAGAAAUGUGGUAACACUAUGGGUCAGAUCAGAGGUGAUUCUGAGUUUACAACCCCGUACUGUUUUGUGGAGCUGAAAAACUGUGAAAUCCAUAAAAUCCCGAGAUCGAUCACCCUUGAAGAAAAGGAGAAAAAUAUUUGAUAUGGGUCGAAGUUAUCUCAGAGGAAGUCUAUAGCCUGGCAAAACUGCCGAACUGUCGGUCUACGACGGAGGACGGUGGUUUGACUGACCAGAGAAGAAGAACUUUAUUGGCUGACGUGGCACUCUACUAACCAUGGAAUUGUACAGCUAUGGGACCUACUAGAACAACUCAUCCACCACCAGGUUUUGAGAGGGAUGUGGUGUUAGUUCAAAAUUCAAACAUCCCGCCUAGAGUGGAGAACCUUGCUGGAGUUUUAGCCAUUGAAAACGUACCACAUGUAUCCACAGAAAGUGUGGGAAGUUACCGCCAGUCUGUACCUUGUUUUAUAUCAUCAAAUCAGUCUGCCCAUCUCGAGGUGGACAGGUAUGACCCAGGUGAAGGGGAGGAGAAUAGAAAUGCACAAGAAGCCCAGACAGAUUUCUUAACCCCAAUCCAAUUUGGCACACAUGCCCAAAGUCCAUGUCUAGACUUGUUUCAGGAUCCAUCACCACUUCUGCCAAUUUAUGAGCCGGUCAGUGGACAUAGACCCAAGAGUCGAUCCAGAGGGGGAACUAAAAUGGGUCGGACUUUUCUCCCAGCUAUUGGUUUGAACAAACAUAUGCUUCGACAUGUUCAAACCCAUAGAGGGGGCAGAUCAGUUUCUAGAGAGAGGAGAUCUCGACGAGGAGGUGAAUUAGAAUUAAGAAGUGAAGUUGCAAAACAAUGGAGAAACUAUUCAAAGUCAAAGAGAAUGUUAUCUCAAUUGUGAGGGAAACAAGAGAGUUAGAACCAGGUUGUAAUCUCACUCAUACAAGUUUACAACAUGCAAGUCUUAAUGCAUGAAGAGAAGACAUGACCACUGAAAAGGUUAAAGAAAUAGCAAAAAGCCUCUACAGGUGCAGAACGAAAGAAGAUCUGAGCAACUGGAUCAAAUGGCUAGUGAUUCCAACACGAGGAGAGCUAGGUGUCACCACUACAGCAUCGCGACAAGGCCAAGAAAAAUUGUACACUGAAUUGGCGGCUCAAGACUUACGAGAAGAAGGUGAAAUUGGAGAUGGAAAUCAGGGAAAGAAUUAGUUGAAUAAUGGCGAUGAAAUUUCUGUGUUGGAACGCAAGGGGUUGCGGUAAUCCACAAAAAUGUAAUCAUAUUAGAAAUCUGAUGGAUAAGCAAAAACCAAUGGUGAUGAUGAUACAGGAAACAAAAUUAGCUAGUAUUGAGGAGUCUGGUUUAGUGGAUGUAUGGAGACACCCAUAGACGUAUGAGGAGAUUCCUGCGGAAGGUGCUUUGGGCGAUAUAGUAAUGGCGUGGAAUACAGAUCUUGUGGAGCUUAAAAAGGUUAUUUAAAAGGUUUUCUCCAUCUAAAUGGAGUGUGUUAUUAAAAUUUCUGGUUUCAGAUUUUUGCUGACUACAAUUUAUGGACCGAGCACGAAUGCUAGAAGAUCAGAUUUCCUUACAGAAUUGGAAGAAGUUUGCCAAUGGAAGGAAUUACCAUGGUGUGUAGCUGGUGAUUUCAAUUUAACAAGAUACAUAGAUGAAAGGAAAAGAAGUAACACAAUGUCUAGAAACAUGAGCAAGUUUAAUGAGGUUAUUGAUAACUGCGGUCUUAUUGACUAUCCACUGAUAGGAGCAAAGUAUACUUGGUCAAACGCUACAAGUGCGAGCAAAAUUGACAGGUUUUUGGCUACGGAAGGAUGGGACGAGCAGUUUCCAUUUGCAAGGGAAUUGGCUCUCUUAAAAAAUUCUCUCAGAUCACAAAGUAUUAGUGAUGGAAUGCAAACAAAUUAGGAGAGGCCUUAUCCCCUUCAGAUUUGAACUAAUGUGGUUUCAGGAAGAGGGUUUGAUUCCUCUAAUGCAUGGAAACAUGGUAGAAAUCUAUGGAAGCAACAGGCAGUCCCAACUAUCAGUGGUGGAGCAAACUGAAACUCCUGAAGGAAAACUUAAAAAUAUGGAAUAAAGAAUGCUUUGGAAGAGUUGAGAAUCUUAUGGAGGAAAAAUCAAAAGAGAUAGAAAUGUUGGAUCAGAAGGAAGAGAUGGGGAGUCUAACAUUAGAAGAAGAGGCAUAUCGAAAUUCUAUGAAGGUUGAACUGAUGGAAAUUAUUAGGAAAGUCGAGAUUAAAUGGAGGCAAAAGUCUAGAAUCGAGGGGGAAAGUAACGCGUCCUUUUAUCAUAAAGUAGCUAAUGCUCGAAGCAAAAUCAAUAUUAUGGAGACUCUGGUUAUAGAUGGAGUGGAGGAGAAUGAUCCAAAGGUAAUAGAAGAGCAUGUAAUGAGUUACUACGAUAAGCUGUACACAGAUGACUUUCUAGUAAGACCUAAGGUUGACAAUCUGCAUCUCAAGUCCAUAACUGAAGUUCAAACGGCUGAUCUAGAUAAACAAAUUGAAGAAGAAGAAGUCUUUCUGGCACUUAUAGAGUUGAGUGGGGACAGAGCUCCAGGGCCAGAUGGAUUACCAAUGGAGUUCUUUAAAAAAUGUUGGAGGUUUCUAAAGAAGGACAUCAUGGAAGUGUUUGAUGAAUUCCAGAACCAGGGCUUCAUGGAUUGGAGAAUCAACACUACAUGUGUCACAGUUAUUCCAAAGAAAAAGGGGGCACUCUCAAUCAGUGACUACAAACCAAUUAGUUUGGUUGGAGGUCUAUAUAAACUUAUCUCAAAAGUACUGGCAACUCGUUUGAAAGGAGUCCUUCCAAGCAUAAUCUCUCAAACACAAACUGCUUUUGUUGGUUCAAGGCAAAUUACUGAUGGAGUGUUGAUUGCCGAUGAACUAAUUGAUUCUAAACUAAGAAGUAAAAUCCCAGGAGUUUUAUGCAAGGUGGAUCUGCUUAAAGCAUAUGAUAAUGUUUAAUGAUCGUUUCUAGACUAUGUGCUACAAAAAAUGGGAUUCUCAGAAAAAUGGAGACAUUGGGUCACAACUCUGAUAUCCACUGCGUAUUUCUCUAUAAUCAUCAAUGGCUCACCUCAUGGACUGUUUAAGAGCCAAAAAGGUCUUCGGCAGGGAGACCCAAUUUCACCCAUUCUCUUCAAUCUGGUUAUGGAAGUUUUGAGUGGUUUAAUGUCAAAGGCAAGAGACCUUGGUUUUAUAAGAGGCUUUAGAUGUGCAGUUUCAGGUCCUGAAAUAUCUCUCCUUCAAUUUUCUGACCACACCCUUCUCUUGUUUGAUCCAGAAGUUUCACAGGCAAUGGCUAGAGCUAUUCUACUAAUGUUCCAUGCAGUUUAAGGCCUCAAGUGCAAUCUGAGGAAGACAACCAUUACUACCAUUGGUGAAGUUCAAAACUUUGAUGUAUUAGCAAGGAUUUUUGGCUGCAAACAAGGAAAACUACCUGCUAGCUAUCUAGGCAUGCCCCUAGGAAGCUCAUUCAAGAAGAAAGUUGCAUGGGAUCCAAUUAUUGAUACUGUAAACAGGAGGUUGGAAUGCUGGCAAAGCAAACAUCUGUCCAAAAGAGGAGGGUUAGUUUUGUUAAAGAGUACCCUGGGUAAUCUGCCAGUGUAUCAAUUGUCAUUAUUUGUAAUGCCCAAGAGCGUCAUCAAAACUAUUAAAAGCAAGAUGAAGAACUUUCUGUGGGGAUCAAACCAAAGAGAAGAGAAAGUAUCACUUGAUUGAUUGGCAGACUGUGUGCAAACCAAAGGAGGAACGAGGUCUAAAUAUCAGAGACCUAGAAAUCAUGGGAAGAGCAUUCCGAGCCAAAUGGAUUUGGAGAUAUGGCAAUGAACUAGACUCUUUAUGGAGAAGUAUUAUUGAUCCAAAGUAUGGGGAAGCGAUUAAUGAAUGGUGGCCUCAAGUAGUACACACUAGUCAUGGAACAGGUCUAUGGAGAGGGAUUCUUCAAGACUAUGAGAUUUUUAAGCCCAACAUUCAGUGCAGGGUUGGAAAUGGGGAAAGAACACUUUUCUGGAAGGAUAAAUGGAAGGGUGAAACAUCUCUGCAAGCAAGAUUCCCUCUGAUCUAUACGAUCACAAUGGUCAAGAAUAGCACUGUCAGUGAAGUGAGAUUAAUAAGUGAAGAGGGAAUGACUUGGAAUAUGCAAUUGAAAAGGAAUCGAUAUGAUUGGGAAGAAGAACAGUAUGGACAACUAAUGACAAUUUUAGCUGAAGAAGACCUUGAAGAAGGAGAGGACACAUGGAGAUGGAGAGUAGAUAAGUAUGGUCAAUUCUCAGUUAAGUCAAUGUACAAAGUGUUAAGGGAACACCUUGAUGGGCAGAACAUGGUGGCUACAGAUCCAUUUCCAGUCAAGUUUGUUUGGAAACAGAGGAUACCACUGAAGAUAAGUUUCUUUUUCUGGACAAUUAUGCAUGAUAGAACCUUGACUACUGAUAUCCUCAUUCACAGAGGUAGCGACAUAUCUCCACUGUGCAGUAUGUGCGAAAGUGUCAACGAAUCAAUUAGUCACCUUUUCCUUCACUGUGCGUUCUCUCUGAGAGUGUGGAAGAAGAUGACUAGUCCAUUUCCAGAAGUUUAUCAUCACCUGUUUACAGUAGACACUGUUUAGUCAUGGUUACAUGAUUGGAAAGGAAGACAGAGUCAGGAAUGGGAGGCAAAAAUAUGGAAGCUGCUACUGUAUGCAACCAUCUGGAUUUUGUGGAAGGUAAGGAACGCAAAGAUCUUUCAAGGUAAGGAAAUAAAUCUUGAAAGAGUUUGUAGUGAUAUUAAAGCAACCAUAUGGUACUGGUGUGGCAACUGGAUGGGGAAAAGGAGAUUCAAAUUUGCGGAUCUGGUCUUUAAAUGGGAACAGGUUAUUCAAGGGAAAAUUGAUCCAGGUUGAGUCUUUCAUUAUAGGUUUAAGUUUCGUUUCUUUAUAUGGUUUUCUUUUUUGUUAGGGUGCACUCUUGGUGCACUGAACAAAGGUAUCAAAGGUAUGUAAAUCUUUUUUGUUUCAUCAAUAAAAUACAAAUAAAGAAAAAAUCCACAGCCGCCGCCGCCACCAGCAACCUUCUUCUUCUUCCUACUUCACAUCACAACCACCAUCUCUUCUUUCCCCUUUCCCUCCCCCUACCACCACCAUCAACCUCUUUCUCCAUCACCACCACCAGCAACCUUUUUUCCCUCUUCCCUACCACCACCAUCUACCUUCCCCUCCCCCUCCCCCACCAGCAACCUUCUCUUCCCCUCCCUCCAAUACCCUAAAAAAAAAUAAAAAAAUAUUUUGCCUCCUCUCUCGUAAAUUUGGCUGCUCAGAUCUGAGCCGAGCCGAUCUAAGCCACGUAAGCCGAGUCGGUACCCGGCGGAGCCGAUCCAUCUAGCCAACCCAGCCGAAUUAGCAGCUCAAGCCAGUCAGCCAAGCCCCCCCCCCCCAAAAAAAAAAAAAAAAAAAGCAGCCAGACUAGUCGAACCAGCAGCCAGACCAGUCGAACCGGUAGCCAGACCAGCAGUUCAAGCCAGCCAAGCCAAGCUAAAAAAAAUAAAAACAGAAAAACAGAAAAAAAAUUUGGCUGCUUAAUGGAGAGUAUCCAUUGUCCAUUUCGACACUUUGAUGGAUGCACAAAUGGACCGUGUGGAAAUGGAUACAAAUCUUCGUACAUCCCAACACAUGUUAAGAAAGAUCACUUAAAGAGGGUAAAUAACAUCGACAGGCUGAGAGAUGCAAUCAAAGUUGAUAUAGGUUUAUUUUCGUCGCUUGACAAUACUUUGAAGAGGAUGAACAAAUGGAUGUGUGGUGAUUAUUUUGGUAUCCAUGCAUCGACCAUAAAAUGUAAACAUACGGAUGGUGCAGUCAUUAAACCACCUGCGCGAAAGGAGACCGGUGAAUUAGAGUGUGCAAUUGUAGGUAUACAACCACCACAGCUUGUGCAUGUUGAUAAUCCACCUGCACUUACAGCAGGAGGGGACACUGGUAUCGAUACUCACCUUUCUAUUGUUGCACCUUCUUUAGAUGAGAUAUCACUUGAUCGUAUUUUCUGUAGACCUUUCUGCACAGUGAAAAGUAUUCCACGUCCUUGUCGGUUAACAUUUUUCUAUGCAUUGAAGUCAGUCUUGUAUGAGGUUACUGCAGACCCCAUGUCGACAGGGCCAUGUGUUAGAUUGCUCCUGUUUCCCUAUUGUACAUUACAAAUGUUCCAUCCGCAGAAUCGCGAAGAGCGUCGAUCUGGUACUCGAAAAUAUCUCCAACAGAAUCAGAUUUUGCAGGCUCUCUCUAUUUGGAACGAGCCUAGGGGUAUAUUUUAUCUGAUUGAAAGAGUCACACACACAUAGCCUCCGCUGGAACAACCAUCUCGACAGUCCCAAAGCAAGAAUGUACGAGAGUGUUUGCAAAAGGUUGUAGACGGGCAUUUUGUAGCAGCCGUGAAGGUGUUGGCAUCAUCAGAGGUUGCUCCGAACACUCUAGAGACGCAGCGGGCUUUAGAGGAUAAACACCCGAAGCAUCCACCACCAUCUGUCCCCGACAUUACUUUAUUUGAGUAACCUCUGUCAGUUGAGAGGGAUGAGAUAUUAUCAUGCAUCAGGUCCUUCCCCAAAGCGACGUCUUGUGGACGAGAUGGUCUCCGGGCCCAACACCUAUUGGAUGCUAUGAGUGGGGCUGCAUUCGCUGUAGCCACAGAUCUUAUGGAGGCCUUGACACCGGCCGUGAACUUAUGGCUACAAGGUCGAUGCCCACGGGUCUUAGCAGAAUUCAUAGCUAGUGUGUCUCUCACCCCACUUCUUAAGCCAGGUAACGACAUUCGCCCAAUAGUUGUGGGUAUGGUUUGGCGUCGCCUGCUGUCUAAGAUUGCAAUGAGAGGAGGUUCUAAGGAUAUUGUUCCAUACUUAGAGGAUUUUUAGUUUGGGGUUGGUGUGCCUGGUGGAGCAGAGGCAAUUUUGCAUGCUGUUAAUCGGUUGGUUUAUGCCAACAAGGAUGACACAUCGCUUUCUAUGCUGCUUGUGGACUUUCAGAAUACCUUCAACCUUGUUGAUCGGUCUGCUAUGCUACGGGAGGUACGCAGUCAUUGUCCAUUUAUUGCUCUAUGGGUCGAAUACCUCUAUUGCCAACUUGCUCGAUUGUAUCUAGGGUCUACUCAUAUUUGGUCAGCAGCUGGGAUACAACAGGGGGACCCUUUGGGGCCUCUUCUCUUUGCUUUGGUCUUGCAUCCAUUGAUACACCGUAUUUAGUCAGAAUGCCACUUGGAGUUGCAGGCAUGGUACUUAGAUGAUGGUACUAUGAUUGGUAGUACAGAACAUGUGGCUAGAGCUAUUCGUAUCAUUCAGGAAAGAGGACCAUCUCUUGGGCUCGUGCUUAAUGUGUCUAAGACUAAGUUGUUCUAGACUUCUGUUGAUCCUGACUACUCCUAUCCAGAUAUUUUUUCGGUUGGUAUAUCAUGUCCUCAGCGAGGGGUUAAGUUGCUUGGAGGGGUUGUUAGUAUUGAUGCAUCCUUUAUUGUGGGUAAUGUUCGUCAACGAGUGGAUAAGACACUUUAGCUUAUGGAUUUAUUAUCACAGCUAAAGUAUCCGCAAUGUGAGUUGGCAUUUUUACGUUCUUGUAUGGGAUUAUCUAAACUCACAUUUGCUCUCCGUACUUGCCCCCCUGAUUAUGUUCAGGAAACAGCCGAAUGGUUUGACCGCAGGCUUCGUGCAGCCCUUCAGAAUAUUGUGGUUUCUGAUGGACCUGGUUUUGGCGAUCUACAGUGGCAUAUGGCAACCCUCCGAUUACGUAUGGGUGGACUUGGUAUCUAUUGUGCUAUUUGAGAAACUACAAAUAGUGCUAGUAUAACAAUUGUAAAUUCAACCAAGCAAUCAAACAAUACGCAGAAACUAAAUAACACACAGAGAUUUUUAACGUGGUAAAACCCAAACAGGGAAACGUCCACGGUUGUCCUCGCGACAACAAAAUAAUCCACUAGAUGCAAAGAUAUGUACAAACCUAUCAACUACCUGCACUCACUGCGAGUUGAUACUCCUGGUUAUCUCUAACACCUUGACUUCACCAGAGCACCUUGAUGUACGCACAAGACACUCGACUUCUUGAUGAACACACAAGAAGACUCGAAGCCGAAUUCACAAUAACUCUUGAAGAUCACAAAGUUAUGAAUUGAGAGAAGGGGGAAGAAAGGGAAUUGAGUUCAAUAGCCACAAACACUUUCAAUACCAAAACCUAAACCAAAACACAUGAACUAGAAGAAGAAUGGACGGCCAAAGAACUAACUUGUUCUUUGGAAGAGAAACCCUAUUUAUACUUAGGGUUGGAAACCAAGGAAAAUGGGCCGAAAUACUGAAAAUCCAUAUUGGACGUACGUACGUCGAAUCAACGUUCGUACGUCCCCACACGGUAAAAGUUUGCUGCCUGCUUGGACGUACGAACGUCCUAACUACGUACGUACGUCCUGACCAAAAGAUGUUUGCUGCCUCAGUGGACGUACGUACGUCCUAACUAGGUACGUACGUCCAGUACCCAAUAACUUUUCCUAGACAGAACCAAGAGACACGAAGGACACGAGACGACCAUGCGUACAUCUUGAUUUUCCUAACAAUGAACUCAACGCGAGAUAACCAAAGACACUUUGUCACAAAAUUGAUGUCAAACCACUUCGUGCCGGUUUCAAUCUCCCCCUUUGACAUUGAUUUUGUGACAAAAACCUAUGACUCUAAUAGCACUUAUAAAACGUGCUUACAAGCCCAAACCAUGGCAUUUAUAAAACAUGCCUACAAAAUCACUCAAGAUAGAAACACAUAACAAGUCACUAAUUCUUGUUAUCCAGCUUUAGCAAGAUGCUUUAACCAUCAGAGACCGAACGGAAGCAACUAGGAAUUUCCAAAGCAAUCAAGGAUUCAACAGAAGUUCCUUCGAGCAACUCCCCCAUACUUCAUGAGCUCCAAAAUAUUUUUGACACUCGAGCUCCCCCAUAACUAUAUAACGUCUAAAAUCAUCAACACGUUCACUCCCCCAUACGUGUAGCAUACCUGAAACAUGACCCAAAAAUAACCUAACAACAAGAAGACGAUUGUUAGUAAUUAGAGUCAUAAAUCUCCCCCUUUUUGUCACAACAAGUGAACAAAAUAACCAACUAACAAAAGAAACGAUAAAAUAACAACAAUAAACAAAUAACCAAAAAAAAAAAAAAAAAAUCAAUACCAAACAAUGAAGACAAAACAGAUAAAAAGAUAAACCUAACCCAACUGUUAAAAGUUCAUGAAAUCAACUAAUAACCAAACACAGGAAUCCAUAAGCAUAAAGAACAAAACGACAAAAACACAAGGCUUAAGUUAACGAAUUCGAAAAACCCGUUCCCAAUGACCUAGAGGAAGCUUGGAGAAGUAAGCUUCCGCACGAGCCGAAGGUCUAUUCCACCGAGCUAUCACAUGAUCAUCAUAAUCCUCCAGCCAUUCACUCUUACAAAACAACUCCUCAAUUCUGUUGUCCAAGCCACAGUCGGUAAGUGGAGCAGCAAGUCCCGGAACCUUCGGAUAACCAACCAACUCCAAGAUGUGAUUUUGAAGAUGUCCCGGUAAUCUCUCCCAAUGAUUUACAUGAACCAAACAAGGAUUAAGAAAAGGUCGAUGAAUAUAGUCAUACCCAUGGGGAACGCGACAUAAACGACAAACCUUAGCAUUGUUUUUGUAUUCCAUCACCAUAAACGAGACAUACCCAACACCCGGAACAAAUACACCAUGAAGUUCAUAUUCUGCCAUUGGAAAUUCUGAAGAACAAAGAGAGAACUAGCAGGAGGUAAGAAGACACAAUAGGAGUAAAAGAAGAGAAGACUCCCCUAUAUAUAAGAAUGACAUCAUGUUGAGCAAGAAUGACACCAAAACGAUCCAAACGAGCGUCCGUAUGAUCUUGAUGAUGCCGAAGAGAGGAAACCCGGGCUGCAACUGCAGCAACUGCCCGGUUGCUUCUAACUGAGGCCAACGGAGGACGGCCAGGGGUCAAUGCCCGAUCAAAAUCAUCAUGACGAUCAAGAGCCCGGCCUCCCCAGAUGAGGUGAUGCGUCAGACGCGCACCCACUGACUCAAAAGCAGCCUUCCUAGAAUGGCAGCCUUUCUUGAUGGCGUUGACCCAGUCAUGGCCAACGAACCUCGAAGGGCUCACCUCCGUGUAUCUUCCCUGAAAUCCUAAAUACUUAAGGAUUGUCAUAAUAAAGCUAGGAAAGGGAAGAGUACCUUUAGCUGCAUCAAUCUGAAGCAUUCGUGUGAAGAUGACCUCAGACAAAUGAAGAUGGUGCACCGACAUACAAACCACCAACUUGACCAUGUCAUCAGUCAUGAUGAUCUUGUUGCCCUUGGUUGGGUAGAUGUUUGAAUGAGCAACCAUGUGAAGGAGGAUGGCGCUGUAAAACUUUGCAUGAUAUCGUUCCGUGACCCCAUCAAUAAACAUCUGUUGAACUUGAUUGACAAAGUCAAUCUGAAUCGCAUCCGGAACGGGCCAUCUGACAGGAACAGCACCUUCAGGAAGAAAAUCAUCGUCAAUACCCAACGCCUCACGUACCACCUUUGGAGAAAUAGUGUAUCUCCGACCUUCAAUUAAGACCGAAAAACUCGAGCGAUUCUGCGAGGGUGUCUUCGUCUCAUAGAAGGCUAUCGUAUGCUCAACCGAGUAUUUUGUGAUUGGUUGAGCCACCCUUAACCAAUUUCUAGUCUCAAAGAAAGUGGCUAUGUUGCCAAGUUGAGAAGCCCCUAGAGGGGUGGCAGCAAUGUCUCCCAAAUCGAAGAAACGCUCGGAAACAAUGGCCUUAGCCCGAGGGUGAGCGCCAAGGGAUGGAGAAUGAGACGACAAGCCCGGAGUGGAACUUCUACCCCGUGGAGCGCGAGAAGAUGAUGCACCCUUAGACGCAGAUGCAGUGGUGAUAGGAGUGGUGCGGGCGCGCUUUGAAGCCAUUGUCUACACAAGCACAACAGUAAACAACCGAAAAUGUAGAGAAUCGACAGAAAAACCCAAAGGAAGGUUCAUUUGGAGGGCANNNNNNNNNNNNNNNNNNNNNNNNNNNNNNNNNNNNNNNNNNNNNNNNNNNNNNNNNNNNNNNNNNNNNNNNNNNNNNNNNNNNNNNNNNNNNNNNNNNNNNNNNNNNNNNNNNNNNNNNNNNNNNNNNNNNNNNNNNNNNNNNNNNNNNNNNNNNNNNNNNNNNNNNNNNNNNNNNNNNNNNNNNNNNNNNNNNNNNNNNNNNNNNNNNNNNNNNNNNNNNNNNNNNNNNNNNNNNNNNNNNNNAUUUCGAGUAUCGAACCACCAAGUUCCCAUGAAGACAUUAUGAGCAUACACCAAUAGACCAAACUAUAAAGCAUGACUAACAAAGCUUCAAAUCAAGGCCGAAUAAACACAGAACAUGACAUAGAGAAGAAAGAAGGAACAAGAGAAAAACUUACAAAGGAUAGUGAUUGAGGAUGACCAACAAGUUUUCGGACCAAACCACGUGACCAAAACAGCGACAAGAGAAGGAGAACAGAAGCAAAACAAGAAAAAAAAUAGAGGAAAGUCUUCUAAGACGAGCCAGAAAACCAAUAUGCUAACUGCUGAAAUGUGCCCAAAAGGAGGGAAACACGAUUGAUGUAACAGCAAAUGGCUUUGUGUUUAAAACAAAUUUGGUUUUAAACAGCAAAUGGGCCGAACUGUAACAGGAACGUUCGUACGUUCUAAAGACGUUCGAACGUCGGGACCCAAAAACCAAACAUCUGACAGAGAACACGGUCGUACGUCCUAGGAACGUUCGUACGUUGCACAAACAAAAAGAUCUGCCCACCUAAACGUACGAACGUCAUGAAAGCGUACGUACGAAUGUUUUUUUUUUUUUUUAUUUUUUUAUAAUGAAGAACCAUCUUAAAACAGACAACCAAACCGAAUAACGACCCAAAACAAAAAUUGAGAGACAUCACAAAGAAACAUUUCUACUUAUUGUAAGGAUUCCAAUUACAGAGGACUACAAUUUAAACAACCCUCAACCACAAGUAAAUGCAAGAUUGAAGAACUACAUCAUACACCAAGGCAUGGUACUUACUAGAAUGAUGCAAGCAUGUAGAAAAAACGAAUAUACCAAUACCAACCUCCGGAAACAAACUAGAGACAUGAUCAUUGAAGUCACUUGCAACUAGACCAAUGUGACAAUGAACUAGAUCACUACAGAAGCAAAGAAACCCCCUUUUUUUUUUUUGAUAAACCCAUAAGAGACAAAUGCCAUUCCCGUGUGGGAGUAUUUAACAUCUCCAUGUUGUACCAAAACACGAGGGUAGGGUGUAGCCUACAUCUUUUCGGCAAAACAAACUCAAGAAGUGCAAUACCAUGGUAACGUGCAACACAAGAACUAACAUCUCCUGAGUGCAUCCGUCAGAGCAUGACCCUCACAGCCCCAACGUGUUCUUAGCCAAAUGAGUAUGCUCUCAAGACAUUCAAAUGGCUGGGGAUUUUGUGAGUCAUUGACCACUUACAAGAGAUAUAUAAAUAUAAACGAAGACGAUGAUCAUGAAGGAAGAUCAUAUAAGACUGGAGAUAUACAGAUAUUCAAAUGACAAUCCAACUACAUGUAAAUGCAUCAUGUAAGAACUACCAAGACGAAGAGAGUAUGAUGGAACCCUACAACUAUGCAUGACAGAAAAACACAGUUGAAGAUGCCAAACUAGUAAUAUCUGUAAGAUGGAAUCCACACAAUAAAGAAAGUAGUAUGUCCUCAAUACCAACAACAAUAUAAACGAAACAAACGAAUAACCAAACUUAAACAUCCUAAACACACACAGUUCCAACUGACACAAUUAGGUAGAUAGAUGCAGAAGGGGUGUAGUGACAAUAAAACAGUUAUCAGGUGAGCGACUACCAGUUAACAGCAGGACAUGAUUUGAAUCAAAAACGUCACACUUAUCAUCCUCAAACACAACCUUACACUUAGCAUCACAUAACUGACUAAUACUCAAUAGAUUGGACUUAAGACCCUUAACAAAAAGAAGCUCAUGACUAUUGAGCGAUCCAACCUCAGAAAAGUUACCUUUACCUUCAACCGAAAGCAUUUUACCAUUUCCAAAACUAACCUUACCUCCAUACCCAAGAGUCAAAUUGUCAAUUAGAGUCUUAUCACCUGUCAUAUGACGCGAACAACCGCUGUCAAGAUACCAUGAUGAAGACAUUGGUUCAACCAAACGAGCCAUGUGAGAUACCAUUUUCCUAGAUGCAUCCAUACUCCUAUCCCAGAAAUGUGGUGGUGGAGUAGGCAUGGGUGUUGUUUGAGGACGAUUUCCAUAAGGAGAAGUUCUGGGUAAACCCCACGGAGCAUAGCCAUUCCACAUGUAUAGAGCCUGCAUGGAGAAAGUAGAAGACUUGUUCCAAUAUGAAUUACCUGCAAAAGAGGGAUGAUGAGCAGGAUACAAAUUAUUCCAACAAAAAGCAGAAGUGUGACCCAUGCGACCACAUGUUAGACAUUUAAAGCCUUUGUGUCUAAAAUUCUUUUUCGGGACAUGCUUUACUCGAGUGACCUUGGGUGGGGAAACCACAGUAGACACCUGCACAGGAGCAGGAGAAGCGACACCUGUUGGUUUGACAAAAGUAGUACAGGAGGUACGAGCAGUAGAAAUAGGAACAGAUGUGUCAUAACCCAAGCCAGAUUUAUCUGAAUGGGAUUUACCAAUUCCCAGCAGAGAGUUUAGAUUAUCACUAGCUUUACCAAACCCAACCAGUUGUUUGUUAGCCGCAAACAACUCAGCUUUUACUUUUUCAUGUUCCAAUACAAGGGAUCGAUAUCGCGUCUCCAGUUCAUUAUUCAACUUUUCAAGAGUGGCAAUACGCACUUGGAAAUCCUCCUUUUCCUUCACAAAUUCUUCCUUCAACAUAUUGGAGUUACCUGCAAGAUUACAAAUAUCCUGCCCAAGACUAUCUACCUGUUCCUGUAAGACAGUGUUAGUUUUUUCAAGCAACUUUACUUGUUGCAUGGAAAACUUAUACAUAUCACAUAAUUCACUAGUAGUAGCAUGAACACCAGAAUCAGAAACAUUAGUAUCAUCAGUAGAGGAUACAGUACCUCCUGGAUGCUCAUCCAGGGAUGCACUGAAGACCACAUAGUUGGAGACAACAUUUGAGGAACUGCCAUCCUCAUCUUCAUCUGAAUCAUCCCACGUCACUGUGAGGUUUGCUUUGGAAUUAUCACCAGGUUUGCGACCCACCUUCUUGUCACAUUCAUUAGCAAAGUGUCCAUAUUCCCGACACUUGUAACAUUGGACAUUUUUACGAUCAACACGAGCUCUUCUUCCAUCCACAGAGAAUCGCUCAAAACCACGACUCCUAGGAGCAUUUGAGGAGUCAGGAAACCGCUUUCGAGGGUCUCGAUUCUGUUGAUAUUUCAGAAUCUUCUGAAAGCUACGUGACAAAAACGCAUAGUUAUCAUCCAUAUCCUGUUCUUCAUCAUCAGAAGGUCCUGUGAAAGUUUCUUUAGACGAUGUAGCUCUGAAUGCCACAGACUUGUUCUUCAAAGGUUCUUCCAUGGCCUGUUCCAUCUCACAUGUCCUUAGUUUCCCCGCAAGAGUCUCAAUGUACAUGUUCUUAAUCACAUUACUCUCAGUAAUGGCAUCCUUACGAGAACGAAACCGAGGAGGCAAAGCACGCAAUAUCUUACGUACCACUUGUGUGUCAGUAUAUACAUGACCAAUAGCCGCACUGCAGUUUAUGAUGUCUUGGAGACGAAUAAAGAAAUCAUCAAAAGUCUCAGAAUUAUCCAUCCGUAGAUUUUCAAACUGAGAUGUUAACAGUUCCAGCUUGCUUUCUUUGACAGUUUCGUCACCUUCAUGUGUACAGAUAAGCCUAUUCCAUGCAUCUUUAGCCUCUUCACAGCCUUGCACACGACGAAACUCACUGGCAUUUAAUGCCAUGAAAAUAGCAUUGAGUGCCUUAUUGUUAUAAUUCGCCAACAACUUUUGUUCAGAUGUCCACUUUUCACAUGGCGUCAAUGAUGUAACGGCAGUAUCACCAGUACCUGUAGUGGUCAGGGGUUCUUUCCAUCCUGUAACAACAGAAAGCUAGACUUCUUCUCCUAAGGCUUGGAGAUAAGCUCGCAUCCGUACUUUCCAAUGACCAAAGUCUUUUCCACUGAAUUGUGGAGGAAGACUUGAAGUAGCAAACUUGUGAGGUUCCAUAAAGCACUAUUGAUCGUUAGCGUGAGCCUUUACGCUCCUUAACCAGCCCCCAGCGACUGAUACCAAUUGAGAAACUACAAAUAUUGCUAGUAUAACAAUUGUAAAUUCAACCAAGCAAUCAAACAAUACGCAGAAACUAAAUAACACACAGAGAUUUUUAACGUGGUAAAACCCAAACAGGGAAACGUCCACGGUUGUCCUCGCGACAACAAAAUAAUCCACUAGAUGCAAAGAGAUGUACAAACCUAUCAACUACCUGCAGUCACUGCCAGUUGAUACUCCUGGUUAUCUCUAACACCUUGACUUCACCAGAACACCUUGAUGUACGCACAAGACACUCGACUUCUUGAUGAACACACAAGAAGACUCGAAGCCGAAUUCACAAUAACUCUUGAAGAUCACAAAGUUAUGAAUUGAGAGAAGGGGGAAGAAAGGGAAUUGAGUUCAAUAGCCACAAACACUUUCAAUACCAAAACCUAAACCAAAACACAUGACUAGAAGAAGAAUGGACGGCCAAAGAACUAACUUGUUCUUUGGAAGAGAAACCCUAUUUAUACUUAGGGUUGGAAACCAAGGAAAAUGGGCCGAAAUACUGAAAAUCCAUAUUGGACGUACGUACGUCGAAUCAACGUUCGUACGUCCCCACACGGUAAAAGUUUGCUGCCUGCUUGGACGUACGAACGUCCUAACUGCGGACGUACGUCCUGACCAAAAGAUGUUUGCUGCCUCAGUGGACGUACGUACGUCCUAACUAGGUACGUACGUCCAGUACCCAAUAACUUUUCCUAGACAGAACCAAGAGACACGAAGGACACGAGACGACCAUGCGUACAUCUUGAUUUUCCUAACAAUGAACUCAAGGCGAGAUAACCAAAGACACUUUGUCACAAAAUUGAUGUCAAACCACUUCGUGUCGGUUUCACUAUUGAUGUUAUGAAGUUUGCUUUCGUAGCUUCACGUAUGCAAACCAAGGAUCUCCAAGACCACAUUCUUCGAGGUUGUGAGACUGCACCUAUAGGUAAUGUUUUCGAUACUGCCAUUGUUAGUUUACAUAUUUCUAUACCUGAUUUUGAUCUCAGUAAUCUUGCUACAACAAGAUUAGUUUUGGUGUUGAGAGAGAAUUUGAGUUGUCAGCUAGAUAAAAGGCCGUGAUUGGGUGUGUGCAGUCAGAACAUGCCAAAGAUUCUCCUUGCUAUCCUGAUGGAAGGGUUUGGACAACACAUGACUCCUGUAGAAUAUCGUGUCAUUCUUCGUUAUCGAUUGAUGAUCCCUCUAUAUUCAGAUGGUGAGCUUUGCCUAGUAUGCAAGAAGAGCAGAUUUGAUGCUUUCGGGGACCAUGCGGCCCAUUGUAAGCAUUACCCCGGCUUCAAGUACAGACAUGACCACAUUAGAGAUAUCUUGUGUGAUGUGUUCUGGCGGGCUGGAGUACAGGUUAAGAAGGAGGCUCCUGUUAACUUUCUUAUUGAUCCUAAGGAAGGAAGAUCGACAUUACGUCCUGCUGAUAUUCUGGUCUACAACUGGUCUGAAGGUAAACAUGCGUGUGUUGAUGUUACAGGGGCGUCUCCAAUGGUUGGGCUGGGUGCUGGGAUUUUUGAGGUGGGGCUAGCAGCUAGCAAUGCAGCAGCAACAAAAAUGGAGAAACAUGACGGAGCUUGUAGGGCUAACCAACAUAGUUUCAUCCCUUUUGCAUUUGACACAUUUGGAUUGCUAGGUUUAGAAGCAGUUGAGCUCCUCAGGAGAGUGCAGAAGGUAAUGGAUAGCAACGUAAUGACUGCGGGUUCGAACGAAUAUGUAUUUAGAAGAAUCGGGUUUGCUAUCCAGAAAGGACUUGUCGCGCAGUUUGUAGUGCGUUUGUCCUCUACUUUUGUGUAAUUCGUUGAGCUUAUCAAUAAAAUUUAUUUAAAAUAAAGAAAAGCAAAAAAAAGGGGUAAAAUAUGAGCUGGGUUACCUUGUAAAUUUUUGCCCAGUUUUUGUUUUAAAAAAAAAAAAAACAACUUAUUUUGCGGCUAUUAAUUAAUUCGGCAAAGGUACUUGAAAAAUUAAAGUCUUGGAUUCAGCUUUACCAGCUAUGUAUGCUUCAUUGAUAUAUAGAUGCAAUUCCUACCUUUUCUACCUUGUCAUUAAAUUCAUGAUACUUUUAUCCGGCACUUUUAAGGCUUGUGCUUGCAUUUAUUUGAAAUGCACCUGCAAUAGUACACUGAUUAGGUCAAUACAUACAAUCCAAUCUUAAGACUAAACCUAAGAAAAUCAAUAGACCAGCUUUAACUUCCCAUGUUAUUGUUCUUGAAAAUUCCUGUUUAAUUAGCACAUAAUUGGCACAAUCUCUUCAAAUGUCGCAAAAGAUAGGUCUGUGGAAAUUGAAAUCUCCAGAAAUGUGAUAUGUAGUUUUGAGUUUUUAGUUUUGACAAUACUAUACAGUAGAAAGAACGAAAGAUUACAUGUAGUCUUGGGCUUGGGCCUAAAGAUUAGCCACAUACAAUUGUGCGCGUGGUUUCGAUGGUGGCGAAAUGGGAAAAUAUUGCGAAGGCACUUUGAAUAUUUCCGAUGGGAAAUAUUUGUAAAUGUUGUUAUUUUCGCUCGCUGGAAGAAUUUCCUGAUUUCCUUUCCGUCUCGUGUGUGUGUGUGUGGGGUUAGGGUUUUAAUCUAUCUCUCGACAACGAUACAAAUUAAGGUAUCCGAUCGUUAAAUUAUCCCUCUAUUCUCUUUGAUCUCUUUGAAAUUGAAUUUGAUUAUGUGAAUUGGUUCAGAUUUCGAGCAUGUUAACUUGUUGUUGUUGUUGUUGUUCAAUUUGCUCGUUUAAGUUAAAUUUCUCUUGUUGGAAACAAAUGAAAUCUACUCAAGUUUAAAUUUCUGCGUUCAAUUUGGUGAAGAAUGAGAUAAAUUUUUAUGUUUAAUUUUCCGGGAAGAUUCAAAGGUUGUAUAUUUGAUAAUAAGUUGGCUGUGAUGGGAUACUAAUGAGAUUUACUGAUCGAUAUAGGGGGCAGUGUAAAGGACUUGAUGGCACAAAAUAGCAGGAAGAAGCCAAACAUACUAGUAACUGGAACUCCUGGAGUAGGAAAAACUACAACCUCAUCUUUGCUAACUGAUGCCACACAGUUACGCCACAUCAACAUUGGGGAACUGGUGAAGCAGAAGAACUUGCACGACGGAUGGGAUGAUCAGUUUGAUUGUCACGUCAACCUUAACUUUGUGACCUUUUUUUCUUUCAUCUGGCUCGCUGUUUUUUAUUUCUAUAUCUUACUUAACCCAUGAAUCAAAUAACUUAAUCUAUCAUAUCUGUAUUAAUGUGAAUAAAGCUUAAUGAAUAUUUUACAUAGAGGUAUUUUUAUCAAUGAAUUAUAUGGUCAUUCUCAAGGAUUCCAAAUAAGUCAGGCAUGAAUAAAAUCAAGUUGUUAGUAUCAGUCGAUAGUCUGUAUACGUUUUCUUUUCGAGUAAUAUAGUGUACCAGCAGGUAAAGUAAUAAAUACCAUUCCUAUGAUUUUGGAUACUUAAUACCCUAUUCUUGGUUAGUUGGUAGGUGAAAUGCUAGGGUUCACAAAAUCAUUUCAGCUAAGCAUAAACUGAGCUACCGACUAAACUACAGUCGACAUGUGGUUUUGCAGGUUUGUGAUGAGCUUGAGGACAUUAUGGAAGGAGGCAACAUCGUGGAUUACCAUGGCUGUGAUGUUUUUCUUGAACGGUGGUUUGACCGUGUGGUGGUUCUUCAAACCAGCAACCCUGUGUUGUAUGAUCGCUUGAGUAACAGGUAACUUUACAUAAUGCUCAUCCUUAAAGUAUUCACUUUUGGGAUUACAUGUUUUGUUUGAAUUUAGACCAUUGGGACUUAGAAAUAUUAGUUCCACAUGAUUGAGUCUUUAGAUUAAGAUUUCUGUUCCAAAUAGGUUAUAGGUCUUUAGUCCCUCUCUGUCGUGUAAUUAAUGUAUCUUUGUAAUCUCAAUAAACCAUGUCCUUUUCCAUAGACCUGAAUUCUAUUGGUACCAAUAAAAUUUAAAGUAAAUAAACCAUGUAAUCUCAAUAAACCAUGUAAUCUCAAUAUAUGGAAGACGUUUCAUGGUUUGAAAAAUACGAUGGGUCGAUGGCAUUGGGUCUGCAAUGGGAGGUUGGUGGAGAUUUCAACAUAAAUGCAUGGGAGGAUAGUUAGUUCUCUGGGCUGAAUUCAUCGCUGCCACAUCUACAAAAAUCUCAUGCAUGUCGAUUUAAGAAAGUUUUUGAUUUUGUUCGUCGUGAAUUCAACUAUUACAAUCAUAUGAACGUGUUACAGAGUUUUGGCCACUCAAAUACACUACAGGAAUUCUUUCUCUCCCUUUGAAUUCUUGAAACAAAGCUGAUUGAUUCUAUUUUUCGGGUUCCAACCAAGUUCCAAAACUUUACUGUAAAGUCUACUUACCAUUUUACUGUAUAAUGUGUUAGUAGCUGUGAACUAGUGGGUAAUUAUUAGUGGAUCUGUCAUGGGUGGAAGUGGAUUGGACUUUUAAAUCCCACAUAUAUGGGCUUUCGUUGGCUGGCAUUUAUGUAUUUGGGCCCGUCUCAACUCUUUCAGUCUGUAACUUUUCUUCAAGCUUCAACGAUUUUAUGGAAAAAUAACUCUUCUCUGUUCCGAUUAAUUAACAAGUGUUUCCUCCCAGAUUGAGUUGGUGAAUUAUAGGUAUGUUUAUUCCAUUUGUUAAUUUAAUUAUUUUUUUCUAUAUGAUUAUCUUUACAAUUUUAUAUUUUCUUAUAUUUUGUAUAAACAACAUUGGUGUUAGAACUAAAUCAGAAAAUAUUAAGGGGAUCUAUAAGUGAAAAAAAAAAAACUUAUACGAAAAAAAUUAAAGAUGAUAUAAAAACAUGGAACAAACAAGCCAGAAAGAAUAUUAGAUUUAGAUAACACAACAUAACAUUACAAAUUAGAAUAUGAUCAUGAUCCAGUUAGAAACCAUGACCUAAAACGGUACAUAUAUAUGACACCUCUCUGAGAAUAAUAGGUCACACUUUACUAGCUAAAUUAUUCAAGAUCAGAGUACACAGUUAUUGUCACAACUUCUUGAUCAAUAAGCAAGCUCUCCAAUUCAUCACCAUGGCCGCUUCCUUCAAUAUGGAAACUAUGAUAUUUCUUGACCAGCCCAUUAAGCAUAACUGCCACUUCUGUCCUUGUUGGCCUAAUCCUUGGCAUUGCUACACAUCUAACUGCUAGUUUUGUGACCAUGUUGACUUGUUCUGUUUCACGUUCAUUAGCCACUCCAACCUUUAAGACCUGAUCGAGCUGAUUAUCUUCUGCCGCUGACGUGAAGGCAUGGACAAGAUUGAUCAUUUCUCCAGUCUGUCCUUGAGAAACUGGUUUUUGUUUGCUUAUUAGUUCCAUUAAAACAACACCAAAACCAUAAACAUCACUCUUUAUUGUGAGCUCACCUGUUUGUAGAUAUUCAGGAUUGAAGUAACACAUGGUUCCUUGCCCUUGUGUGGUUGCAAUAGUUCGAUCCAAUGGUAUUAACUUGGAAGCUCCAAAGUCGGACACUUUUGCAGUGUAUGUAGCAUCUAGGAGUAUGUUACUUGACUUAACAUUCCUGUGAAUUAUGGGUGGAUUUGCCUGUGAGUGCCUGCGCGGUCUCAGCAACAAUCCUCAAACAAAAACGCCAGGAACUCAAGAUUCUAGAGCUAGAUGUUUGGAUGUGGUGGGAGAGAGUUCCAUUUGGUACACAAUCAUAGACCAACAUUGGAACUUUGCUUUCCAAACAGAAACCCAAUAGUUUGACCACAUUCUUAUGAUUGAGUUUUGCAACAAUUUCAGCUUCAUUGGCGAACUGCUCAAUUUGGUUCUGAUCUACUACUUUCGAUUUCUUCACAGCAAUGUCAAACAUGUCUGCUAAUGACCCUUUAUAUACCCAACCAUUGCCCCCUUGGCCAAGAAGUCGCCAAGCAUCUAAAUAGUUAGUUGCCUUUUCUAACUGUGCCUCCUUAAAGCUCUUCACACUCAGGUGUUCUAAUAACAAACCUCCAUUUUUUCGAUGAUUUCUUUCUAGGAUUUUCUUUUUGUAUAUCCAACACAGGGUCAACACCAAAGUUGAAAGCAAAACACCACCUCCAAUAGCUAGAAAAAAGAGAAAUGUAUUCAUAGCCGGUCAGACAACUUUCUAAAGUUAAAACCAAAAAAAAAGGCAUAAAAAUCAUUCUGAUGUAAAAUGGUCAAUAAAUGUACUAUCUUAUGUAAAUUACAUCUAUCAUAUCUUACAAGUUUUCAACCAGGAUCAAGAAUAGGAUUACCGAAAAAGGCAUUAGUGAUGGUUUUGAGAUCGCAACUAACUUUACCAUUCCUUUGAUAACCAAAUGGGCAGUGGCAAGUGUAAUGCCCUGGCUUAUUUUCACACUUUCCUUGGCAGGGGUACUUAUCUCUGUAUUGUGGAGAGCACUCAUCAAUAUCUAGAGUCACAAAACAACCAUCAUGCAAAAACUGACAAACAUGAGAAGUGUCAGUAUGUAGCCGAACAACGUAUGAUAUCAAGGACCUGUACAGUCAAAUCUUUCAUGAGAUGUGAAUAAAAGAUCAAGGACCAGGAGUCUUAGAGAUCUAACUGUCCACAGAUUGGACCCAAUCCCAAUCUCAAGAAGAAAAAAGAGUGAUCAAUUAGAUUUGAUUCACAAAUCACAGGAACGUACCUGUGCAACCCUGCUUGGUAUAGGGGUUGCCUUUGUAUCCUUCCUUACGUAGACAACGAUAUCCAUAGCCAUGAUCUGAGAUGUUGCAGGUUGUAUGGAGACCACACAUGUAUUCAUCAUUCCCGCCUCCACCUUCUCUAAUAGCUUGUUCACAUGUCUUAUUACCUAUAGCCCAGUCGAUCACUGCAUUGUAGUAUUUAUGUUUUUCUGGGGUAUCCUUGAGACUGAAUAAUCUCGAGUGAUUCCUGAACCAUGUUUGUUCAGCCAAAAAACCGUAGCUGCGAGGAUUAGAAUCCAGCUGAUCGCUGUGGUAGUUAAAGCUAGAGAGAUUAAUGGUUAGUGACUGAAGGGGCUUGGGCACUGAAGUUUGGCAGCAUCCAAUUCCUGAACAAUCAGCAAUUUCUUGGGUGAAGUUUAUCGGAAUUUCGUUUAUAGUGUUGCUACUGCAUACUGAGAUACAGCCAGUAGAUAAUCGGUAUGACUUGCUAUCUGAAAAUCGAGUUAAUGUAUCACAGCCAAUGGCCAUGAACAUGGUGUGACUACUCGAGAUUGCAAAUGGGCUGUCUACAAAACUCAUCGUUUUAUUCUCUACCUUGGACACUCCUGACUUAUUGUAGCAUUUGUAGGCAAUAAGACUUUCGACAAUUACUAUGCCUUCUGCCACUGAUAUGUUGAGAAUUGGAUUAUUGUCCAAAAACAGUAGUUUAUUGAGAUUACAUGGUUUAUUGGUACCAAUAGAAUUAUAAACCUGAAUAAAAUUUAGGGGUAAGUCCUGGUUAAUGAGAAUUGAGCUUUAGAAUUUUGUCACCUACUUCUGACUAAAAUACCCUUUUAGUCAUGGUUUUUUGGUAAAUUUAAAUAAUACCUUUUAAGUAAUGGUUUUAUCGUAAUUUAACAUAUUUUUAUUUAUGGGCUGGAUUUUUAUUUAUAAGCAAAAGGUCCAAUAAUAAAAAAAAAAAAAUUAAAUUAAAAAAAUAUAAUAAACUCCUAUAAAAUAUUAAGAAAAACUACCCAAAUUUACUUAAGAAAUCAUUAUUUUAUAAGAUUUAAUAAAUUAGUGUAAUUUAUAAUAUUUUUAAAAAUCAAUAACUUAAAACUUGAAUGGUAAUCGAAAAUAGAUAAAUUAAAAUUAUACGCACCAGCUAAGACACUAGUAUACAUAAGAUCCCAAAAAAUAAAACAAUAUAAGUCCCAAAAUACGUUGAGCUCCCAAAUAAAGACUAAGAACAAUGAAGCACUAAAGAUCCCCAAACCAAAUAUAGAGGUCAUCAGAAGAAAAAAUAAAGUUCUACACAAAACCACUGAAAAUCCCCCCAAGAAAACAUAAAGAACAUCUUACUACUACUGUAAGAGCUUAUUUCAUAUGCUAUACCUAAAAUAGAGAGUGUUAUAUGCAAGAGAGAUAUAUAAUUAUCUGGCCUUAUUAAUAAGAGAUGUAUUUUGCAAGUGGAAAAAAAAACUUUUUACAAAGUUAUCAAACUUUAUAUGAUUGGGAUAUAUAGUUUACAGUAAACUGAUUAGUCAAAAGUUGGAUCCGUGGCGCAAUGGUAGCGCGUCUGACUCCAGAUCAAGAGGUUGCGUGUUCGAUUCACGUCGGGUUCAAAACAAUUGACUAAUCUUUUUCCCAAUUAAAUAUCACAUCAAAAUGACGAAAUUACCCUCAAAGUUUUUUGCGUGUUACUGAAGAACAACAAUCUCUCUCAGAUUGUCAAAACCCUAGGUUUAUUAUUUUUGUUGAAAACCCUCUUAACACUUUAUAUUCCCAUUCUUCCAUUAUCGAAGAACAAGUAGAGAAGAAUUACUAAAGAGCGAGAGAAAGAGAUGGAACAUCAAGAGAAAAACAAUGAAUACGAAAUACCAGAUAAAGGAUUGAUAGAUGCAGAUGUUCAGAUGUCUUCUACAGCUGUUGUAUAGGUGGCACUUACUAUAGCCUAAUUUUCUGUAUGUCUGUUGUAUUCUAUGUUUGUAUAGGUUAUCGUGGUGACCGUGGUAGAUACCGUGGCGGUGGUGGUGGACAUGGCGGGGAGGACUAUGGAUACCGGAGAUCACCUAGGCGCUCGCCCUAUCGAGGAAGCCGUGAUUAUUCUCCAAGGUGCUCACCUUAUGGUGGUAGGUCAAGAAGAGAACGCUCCAGGUCUCGAUCUUAUUCUCCUUAUGGUAGCCCAGUGAGGAAUUAUCGCCGCUAGUAACUUAGUUAACAGUUUUUCUGGCUUUUUGAGGCUUUUGGGAUCCUUUGAUCAUUACCAUUUUGUGGACCUGGUGUGGUAGAAUAACUUUAUGUUGUAUUUUGGGAUGUUGAAAACUUAGGCCAAGAACCGAUCAAAAAAAGAAAACUUCGACUAAGUUUGAUGUUUCUGUAAACCAAAGAGUGGCUUUGAUGUUUGUAUUCCCUUUUGGUUAUACUCUUAAUUCAAUUUGGAACAUAGAAUCUCUGAUUUAAUAUAUCUGUUUGAAUUUGCACUUAGUCUUAUUGUUGUAGUGCAUGUAUGAAUUUGCAGUCUUGCAUAGCAGUCAGCAGAAGCUUUUGAAAUUUGGCUGUAUCAACUGAUUGUAAAGACUUAAAAUUUACAUAAUGGGGAUUGGAAAGUUGAGCAGCUUGUUAUUAUUUUUUUUUAUGUGAUAAAGCAGCUUGAUGUUAAACCAUGCUGAAACCAUUCCAUUCAAGAUUUAUGGUGAUCUUUCAAUGCUGAAGACAGAUUUAGAUUUAUUGUGGUCUUCCCCAGCUUACUUGUCAAAAAAAAAACUUCUGCAGGAUGUCUUUUUACGAAUGGCCUUGUGGAUUUAAAGAGAUUAUUCAUAUUUCUCUCAAUCCUUCCACUUUCUCUUCUCCUUUUCAAUCUCAUUGAUGAUGCGACGCUCCAAUGGGGAACAGAUUCAACUGAACUUUUCUGAAUCUUAUUGAUGGCAUUACGCAAUAAGGUCCCAUAUCAGAGUGAUGUGGACGGUGAGCUUGUCUAGAAGGCACAAUUUUCUGUAGAGCCAUAGCUCAAAGUUGCAGUUGAUCAUUCUUUUUGUGACAAUACUAUAACAAUCUGGAAUUUCCCAUUUAUUUUAGCUAGUCUCCUGAAAUAGGUAAAAUUGAUAAAAAAUACAACGUACUUUACCACUUUUUCCCAUUAAUACAAUGUACAAAAAAACUGACCAAACAAUGCUUGUACUUUCGUUUUGUUUCCACGUUAUACAAUCUGUUAAAAUGAAGCUAACAGACUGCUUAUCUGUACAAGAUUAUCUGACGUGGCUUUAUCUAAUUAAGUUAAUUUGCUGAGGUGUAAAAAACAUAAUUAAAGUUUUAAUAAUCCACGUGUUAUCAGAUCUUAUUUCCACAUGUUUCGAUCUUAACCGUUUAUAAAAUCGCUCGUGAUUCUCACGUGAUUCUCUGUUAAUGCUUAUGGUUCUUAUGCAAGGAAACUUAAGCUUGAUAAUUCUAAACAAUUACGAGUUUUUGAAGAUUUGAGUAGAAAUUUUACGAAUUUGAUUACAAGGUAUUCCUUAUUUAAUACUGAACAAGCUAUUGAUGAAGAUGUUUUGAGACAAUUUGAGAAAGAAGUAAAAGAAAAGGUUAAAAUUGCUAGACAAUUGAUUUCGGAUGCCAAAGAGUCUUUUGAUAAUCAAAUUAAAAUUCAGAAACUUAAAGAUACAAUUUUUGCUGUAAAUGAACAACUUACUAAGACGAAAAAACAUGGGGCGUUUUCGAGUUUGAUUUCUGCUAAGUCAAUUCCUAAGAGUUUGCAUUGUCUUGUAAUGAGAUUAGUUGGAGAGAGAAUUGCGCAUCCGGAGAAGUAUGUUGAUGAUGGGGUGAAGGCAGUUUUUGACAAUCCAAAUCUUUAUCAUUACGCGAUUUUUUCAGAUAAUGUGAUUGCUGCAUCAGUUGUGGUGAAUUCUGCGAUUAAGAAUGCUGACGAGCCGUCUAAACAUGUGUUUCAUGUUGUUACUGAUAAGAUGAAUCUAGGAGCAAUGCAAGUUUGGUUUAAAAUGAGGCCUCCUCAGAAUGGUUCUCAUGUUGAGGUGAAAGCUGUGGAGGAUUAUAAGUUUUUGACUUCUGCUUAUGUGCCAGUUCUUCGACAACUUGAGUCAGCAUCUCUGCAGCAGUUUUAUUUUGAGAAUCGGGCAGAGAAUGCAACUAAAGAUGCUAAUAAUUUGAAAUUUAGAAACCAAAUUUGGUUUAAAACCAAAUUCACCAAACUUUUCGAAAGAAACCGAGAGAAAGAAAGAGAGAGAGAUUUGUAUGUUUGAGAUCUAGGGUUUUGGAGUUUAAGAAAGAGAUGACGAGUUCAUAUCAAAAGGAGAGAUUAUCAAUAACUCCUUUUAGUUUCAACACCAAUUUCAGGUAAUGGAACAAGUUCUGUUGAUGAAGGUCUUUCUUCUCGUCUUCGUGAAACUGGAUUUGAUGAAGAUUCAAUUAAACGGAAAGAUAGAACAGCUCUUAUUGCUUAUAUCACUAAACUAGAUUCUUCUCUAAUUUUGAUAUUAGAAAGCUAGGUUUUUUGAAACUUUGAUUUGGGGAAAAAUCGAUUUGAGAAGAAGAAGUGGUGGAACUAUUUUAUAAACGGUUGAGAUCGAAACAUGUGGUAACAACAUCUGCUGACACGUGGAUUAUUAAAACUUUAAUUAUGUUUUUUACACCUCAGCAAAUUAACUUAAUUAGAUAAAGCCACGUCAGAUAAUCUUGUACAGAUAAGCAGUCUGUUAGCUUCAUUUUAACAGAUUGUAUAACGUGGAAACAAAACGAAAGUACAAGCAUUGUUUGGUCAGUUUUUUUGUACAUUGUAUUAAUGGGAAAAAGUGGUAAAGUACGUUGUAUUUUUUAUCAAUUUUACCCCUGAAAUAUUCAAUUCAGGGUGGCUUCAUUUCUGUGGGAAAGCAGGUUAUACUCUGAUGUUAUCCUCCUCUCACUAAAUUGAGAAUCCUUGUGCAUAUUGAUUUCUUUUCUCUAAUGUCAGUUGGUUCCAUUCCCUUUUGUUCCUUACCGAAGAUUGGAUCUUCGUCUUUACUGGUGUCUUAGCUCAUGCUCAUGCUACGCACGGGUUAGUUUUAUUUUCAUCUUUAUAUGUUCCCAUUUCUUUUUCUUACUAAAACAAAUUUUAUUGAUAGGCUCAAAGAAUUACACAAAAGUAGAGGACAAACACGCUAUAAACUACGCGGCAAGUUCUUUCUGAAUAGCAAACCCGAUUCUCCUAAAUACAUAUUCAUUCGAACCUGCAGUCAUCACGUUGCUAUCAAUUACCUUCUACAUUUUCCUGAGGAGCUCAACUGCUUCUUAACCUAGCAAUCUAAAUGUGUCAAAUGCAAAGGGGAUGAAACUAUGUUGGUUAGCCCUACAAACUCCAUCAUAUUUCUCCAUUUUCGCUGCUGCUGCAUUGCUUGCUGCUAGCCCCAUCUCAAAAAUCUCAGUACCCAGCCCGACCAUCGGAGAUGUCCCUGUAACAUCAACACACGCAUGUUUACCUUUUUUUUAAUUAAUUAUUUAUUUAUUUUUAGUUUAUGUAGUCGUUAUAUUUUUCCAUUAAUAAUGUAAAUGCACAUUGUAAUGAAAUACAAAAUAAAUUAAAAAGACUCAUGAAAUUAAGAGUAUUCUUUACAUGUAUAAAUAAACUCUUAAUGAAUAAUGUGUCUCAAAAUUAAUUUAAAAUCAAUAUAUCUUAACGUAAACAUAAAUAGUCACUUAAAGAUUUUGAAAACAUCUUAAAUAAAUAUUGCUACUUAAUCUAAUUUAAAGAAAUUGGUACCAUAAGUUGCUUCAAUAUCAACUCCUUUCUUUUAAUUUUAGGCAUUUGUUUAUUCUUUCUUUCAAUAUUUAUUUAUUUUCAUAAGAGUUUACCAUCAAAAAUUAUUAUUUUUAUAAUAUUUUAUUAAUUAUUAUUUUAAUUAUUGGGCCUUUUGCUCAUAAAUAAAAAUACAACCCAUAAAUAAAAAUAUAUUAAACGAUAAAAUCAUUACUCAAAGGGUAUAAUAUAAAUUUACCAAAAAACCAUGACUAAAAAGGUAUUUUAGUCAUGACAAAAUUCUAAAGCUCAAUUCUCAUUAACCUCGUUAAUGUCAAUAUUGUCCCUCUUUAAUCACUGCGGAUAUCCAACAGUAGAGGGUUUUGGAUCAGGACUCACCUAUAUGGUUUUUCCCAAAAAACUUUGACAUUAGUUAGAGUAUGGUUAAACUCUAUAUACUACCGAUACAACCACUUCCUACUCAUGGGUGUUACAUCUUCCUUUCUGAAAAAUAAAACUGGUGAAGAUAUUGUAAGAGAGAGACCACAGUGUAAAAGUGUUGCGCCAAAGGUUUCCUGCCCUCUUCCUCACGACCUCACUCCUACUAGUUUCAACUAAGUAAUGGUUCAUUGUGUUAGGUAGAGUUUGAGUAGGAGUCUUUCAUGUUAUCAAUUGUAGCCUAUAAAUAGCCACCAAUAGUAGUUUGUUUUUCAAUAGAUUAAGGUUUAAUACAAUCAAGUUUCUUCUCCAUAUAUUUUCUUUGUUAUUGUUUUCUUCUAUAGCUUAGGUGAUAAACUCCUUCAAUGGUAUUCAGAGCCAGAGCAGAUUUCUCUUCCGUUAUAAAGAGAUGGCACUCAAUGGUUCCUCAAUUCAACCAUUUCUUCCAAAACUCGAUGGAUAGAACUACGAUCGGUGGAGUAUCCAGAUGAAAGUAUUGUUUGGGUAUCAAGAUAUACUCGAAGUUGUCGAGAACGGAGUUUUAGAUUCAACCGAUGCUACUGCAGUAAAGGAAAGCAAAAAGAAGGAUAGAAAAGCUUUGUUUUUUAUCUACCAAGCAGUAGAUGAAACAAUUUUUGAAAAGAUUUCUGCAGCGACUACGACAAAGGAAGCAUAGGAUAUCCUAGAAACCUCUUACAAAGGAGUCGAGAGAAUGAAGAAGGUAAGACUUCAAACACUUCGCAGACAGUUUGAGCUUUUACAAUUAGAAAAAUCUGAAACUAUUUUCGAUUAUUUUGAUCGUGUUCUUGCAUUGACUAAUCAAAUAAAAGCGAACGGAGAGAAAAUAGAUGAUGUUAAGAUUGUUGAAAAAAUUCUACGAACAUUGACAAUGCGUUUUGAGCAUGUUGUUGUUGCGAUUGAAGAAUCGAAGGACUUGUCAAAGAUGUCGGUUGACGAGUUGAUGGGAUCUUUACAAGCUCAUGAACAACGCUUGAAUAAGAUAUCCCCUGCUGAAAGUUCUCAAGAGAAAGCCCUCCAAACCCAACUUGUAAGUCAAGGUGAGAAAUCUGACAGAAAUUCAGAGUAUGAUAAAGGCCAGAGAAGUCGCGGCAAGAGCCAUGGAAGAGGAGGAAGAGGACGAGUUGGCAGAAAUAAUUAUGGACGUGGCAGAGGAAGAGGACGAAGCAAUGGGUGGCAGUCAUAAUCAACCCAUUACUCCUCUCACAGAGGUCGAGGUCGUGGAAGGUAUGAUAAAUCAUUAGUUCGUUGUUAUAAUUGUAAUGAAUAUGGCCAUUAUGCAUACGAGUGCAACUCUAGCCAGGAAAAUCAGGAUGGAAAGCAUGCUCGCUUUGCGGAAGUUGAAGUCUCUCAUAGCUUGCUGAUGGUGUCUUCAAUAACAGAAUUACCAAAUUACAAUACUUGGUAUCUCGAUACUGGUUGCACAAAUCAUCAUAUAUGUUGUAGGAAGCAGAUGUUCAUCGAUUUAGAUGAAUCUGAACGUAGUAGAGUGAAGUUUGGAGAUGAUAGUACCAUACCGAUAGUAGGGAAAGGAAGGAUUCUUAUUAAAUUGAAGAAUGGAAAUCAUGAAUAUAUCUCUAAUGUGUUCUAUGCUCCGAACAUGAAAAACAACCUGGUUAGCUUGGGGCUUGGUGGAGAAAGGCUAUGAUAUGCGAAUCUGUUAAACUAGAAUAAACGUUUACAAUAAAAAAGGUAAACUUAUUCUUAUUGCUCCUAUGACUAAAAAUAGGAUGUUCGCAUUGAUAUUCAGAAUGAUGUUUAUCCUUGUUUUAAUGCUAUUGUGAAAGAUGAAUCCUGGUUAUGGCAUUUGCGGUAUGGGCAUCUCAAUUUUCGAAGCUUAAAAUUACUUUCUCAACAAGAUAUGGUGACGGGUUUACCGUUGAUUGAUCAUCCAAAUCAGAUUUAGUGAGGCGUGUAUUUAUGGAAAACACCAUCGCAGUCCUUUUACAGGUGCAAGAAGUUGGUGUGCAACAAAUGUUCUUGAGCUUAUCCACUCUGAUGUGUGUGGACCGAUGAAUACAGUAUCAAAUGGAAAGAAUCGAUAUUUUCUAACAUUUGUUGAUGAUUAUAGCAGGCAUAUGUGGGUGUACUUAUUGCAGCACAAGUCUGAAGUUUUAGAAACUUUCAAGAGCUUCAAUUAAUACGUUGAGAAACAAAAUGGUUCAUAUAUAAAGGUGUUGCGAACAAAUGGUGGAGGCGAAUAUGUUUCAACUGCGUUUAAUACUUUUUGUGUUGAACAUGGUAUUAAGUAUGAAGUAAUAGUUCCAUACACACCGCAACAUAAUGGGAUCGCAGAAUGGAGGAACAGAACAAUUCUUGACAUGGCAGGAAGCAUGUUAAAAGCAAAAGGUAUGCCUAACCGAUUUUGGGCGGAAGCCAUUUCUUUUUCUGUUUAUCUAUUAAACAGAUCACUAACUAUAAGUGUGCAGAAUAUAACUCCAAUUGAAGCUUGGAGUGGGUAUAAACCUAGUGUAAAACACUUAAAGGUUUUUGGUUGUGUUGCAUACGCUCAUGUUCCUAGUGCAAAGCGAACAAAGUUGGAUGAUAGAGGUGAAAAAACUGUUUUCAUUGGGUAUAAGUCUGGACUCUCUAGUGGUUAUAAACUCUUUAAUCCUAUUACAAAUAAGGUGAUUAUAAGUAGAAAUGUGAUUUUUAAUGAAGACGAGACUUGGAAUUAAAAUGCACCAGAUGAACAUAGUCCACAUCAUGUGAUUCGAUUGGACUUAGAAGCUGCUGAAGAUGUCUUACCAACUCCAGCUCCUUGUACCUAUGAAUUACAGGUUCCAAAUGCUCCAGUUCUAGCAGACAACCCUGUGACAGCGACGGUUAAUAUUGACGCUGGUAGACCAGCGCGCACUAAGCAACAAUCUUCUCGCUUUGCAGAUUUUCAGGUAACUCCAGAUAUUGAAAUUGAUGAUGAUGGAGAGCUUGUUCAUUAUGCUAUGUUUGCAGAUUGUGAUCCUAUUUCAUUCAAAGAUGUUGUUGGAGAUGAUAAAUGGGUUCAAGAUAUGAAUGACGAGCUCAAUUCCAUUGAAAGAAAUGGGACAUGGGAGUUAACUAGUCUUCCACAUGGAGCAAAAGCCAUUGGUGCGAAGUGGGUUUUUAAAACAAAGUUGAAACCCAAUGGAGAAGUCGACAAGUAUAAAGCACGCUUAGUAGCAAAAGGUUACAAGCAACACCUCGGGUUAGAUUAUAAAGAGGUCUUCUCAUCUGUUGCUCGAAUUGAAACUGUGAGACUAGUUAUUGCCUUAGCUGCUCAAAGGAAUUGGAAGAUUCACUAAAUGGAUGUAAAAUCUGCGUUCUUGAAUGGUUUUCUUGGAGAAGAAAUAUAUGUAGAUCAACCUCUCGGCUAUGUGAAAAAAGAAAGUGAGAAGAAAGUCUAUCGUCUUAAGAAGGCGUUAUAUGGUUUGAAACAAGCACCACGUGCAUGGAAUACUAGAAUUGAUAAUUUCUUCCAAGACAAUGGUUUUCACAAAUGCUUAUGUGAAUAUGCAUUGUACUUGAAAACAAAUCAGAAUGGUGAUGUUUUACUUGUCAGUCUCUAUGUUGAUGAUUUAAUUUUCACCGGUACCAAUUCUAAUAUGUUUGUAAGAAGACAAUGGAGCAGGAGUUUGAAAUGACUGAUUUAGGUAUUAUGACAUACUUCCUUGGAAUUGAAGUCAUUCUAGGACAUGAUGGAAUUUUUAUCUCUCAAAAGAGUUAUGCGUGUAAGGUGUUGGAGAAAUUUCAGAUGUUUGACUGCAAUCCCGUAAAGACGUCAGUUGAAACAGGAACAAAAUUAUCUAAAAAGGGUGAAGAUGAUCAGCUAGUUGACUCCACACCAUUUAAGCAAAUUGUGGGCAGUUUGAGAUACUUGACUUGCACGAGGCCUGAUAUCUUAUAUGGAGUUGGACUGAUCAGUAGGUAUAUGGAGACACCUAGCUAGGCAAUCUCAUCUUCAAGUGGCGAAAAUAAUCUUGCGCUACAUCAAAGGGACCUAUGAUCAUGGCUUAUUUUAUUCUCGUUCUAACAAGUUUGACCUUGUAGGAUUCUCUGAUAGCCAUUGGGGAGGUGAUCCGGAUGAUAGAAAAAACACUUAUGGCUAUGUUUUUAACAUUGGUUCAGCAGCGUUUUCAUGGACAUCCAACAAGCAACCCACCCAUUGUUGCCUUGUCCACUUGUGAAGCAGAGUAUGUUGCAGCGGCUUCAAGUGCAUGUCAAGCUAUUUGGUUGCGGAGUUUGCUGAAGGAAAUUAGUUUUCCAAUGAACAACCCAACAAGAAUAUGGGUUGAUAAUGUGUCUACAAUUAAUCUCGCGAAAAAUCCAGUCACUCAUGGAAGAAGCAAACACAUUGAGACACGUUACCAUUUCAUUCCUGAUCAUGUCAAGCAAAGUGACAUUGAGAUAGUUUAUUAUCGAUCUGAAGAUCAAGUGGCAGAUAUUUUUACAAAACCGUUGAAGUUGGAUGUUUUUGUGAGGCUGAAGAAGAUGCUGGGAAUGCAACCUGGACUAGGGGAGGAUGUUUGAACUAGUCCAGAUUAACUUUUGAAUUAAGGGAGGAUGUUGAAGUUUAUCCAAAAGUUAUUUAAUUUUAUUAGAAGUCUAGAGUUGAUUAAGUAUUAGUUCAUUGUGUUAGGAAGAGUUUGAGUAGGAGUCUUUCAUGUUAUCAAUUGUAGCCUAUAAAUAGCCACUAAUAGUAGUUUGUUUUUCAAUAGAUUAAGGUUUAAUACAAUCAAGUUUCUUCUCUAUAUAUUUUCUUUGUUAUUGUUUUCUUCUAUAGCUUGGGUGAUCAGUGGCGGAGCUAUAUAGUAGCUAACUGGGGCACGUGCCCCAGGUGAUUUCCCAAAAAUUGUAUAAUUUUUUUUUUCUAACCCUCAUUUGUUUAUGAUCAUGUCUUAUGUUCAUGUGAAGUGUUGAUUUUUCUUAACUACCAAAUUCAUAGACAACUUUUGUUGACUGGACUCUUUUACCAAACAUAAUACCCAACUGUUUUUUUUAAUUCAUGGGCUUGGACUGGGCUUGCUUGAAUCAAAAGAGAAGUAUGGGGUAGACUAUUCUAAUAAUCAAUUGAUUACUCAAGCUAAUAAUCAAAAUAAAAGUUUGUAAUUGUCUCUCUCCUGAACUGUUUUCUAGUUUAAUUUUUUUUUUUUUAAAUUUAGUCAAGGCUUUAGUUUGUUUUGGUGUUAUUUGUUCGAUUUGAUUUUAUUUAGGUAUUCUUGUGAUGAUGGUUACUUCCUCAUUUAUUUAUCAUAUCACAAAUCAUUUUCAUUCUUCAAAUUUUGAACAUUCCAAUCGUCGAAACAAAAGAGAAAAAAACAAAAGACUUGUUCAAUUAUGUAUAUAGAAAAUUAUAUCUUCGAUGCUAUUUACAAUCAAAAAUUAUAUAUGGGCAAAAAGAAUUGAUCUAAUGGUAUAACUAGAGAUCCUAAAAAAACAUUUACAAUUUAUUCAAAAAAAAAAAUAUUACAAGUCAUUUAACUAAUAUUUAUUUACUAAUGAAUUAGCUUUGCUUGUUCGAUAGAGUCAUAUUUAAGAAAAUUAUUUGUUGGUGUAUUUGGUAGGGUGCCCCAGGUAAGUUAAAUUCCUGGCUCCGCCACUGUAGGUGAUAAACUCCUUCAAAGAAGAUCAUAUUUGAUAUUAAUCAUUGGAAAAUUUCUUAAAAAACCACCACAUUUAGGUGCUUCUUCCCAAAUAGCCACUCAUGAAUGCUAAUCUUCCCAAAUAGCCAUUCUACCCUACUUUCCUAAAUUUUCUUUAUUGUUAUACCCUUUUGCACAUUUGUUGCUCUUGUCCCCAUCAAAUCAACCUUUUAAGCAACCGUAUACCAACUCUGAAAUGUAUUUAAGGUUUAGACGACGACAUGAAAACAAACCUAACCGUUGGAUUAAAAAGAUGAUAUCCCUACCGUUGGAUUUUUUAUUAAUGUACUACACAUACAACCAACAACACAGUGUCGUCUUCAUCUUCUUCUACUUUUCAAUCUUCUCUGAACCUUAAUACAGUUUGUUCUUCACCUUCUUUUACAUAUUAUUCUUCUAUAAAACCUUAAACACACAAAUAUUGUGGUUCCUUGUUAUAUUGUACUUCUUAUCAACCAAAAUGCCACCCAAGAAAAAAAGGGAAAUCUAAAGCUUUGAUUGCAAAGGAAGUGCAGAUCAACAAUAAAUUAGGUAAGCUUUAAAUGUUCUUAAAUAUGAAGCUUUGAAUGCUUGGACAAUAAAGUAGGUGUUGUUGUUUGCCUUUGAAUGCAGUAGGUGUUGUUGAUUUUUGUAAGCAUUUUAACAUACGUUUUGUUCUGUUUUAUGACAAGAAUGUGGUGAAGGUGUUGGUGAUUUAAAGAUGGUAUCUUCAUGAAAAGAUAAAAUCUUUAUAAAGAUACCAUCUUUAUGAACCCUAACCUUCAUAAAGAUAGAAUCUUUGAUAAAGAUUGUGUAUUUAUGAAACCCUAAACUCAUAAAAAUUGAAUCUUUAAAAAAAUAUUGUAUCUUUACCAAACUCACAUCUUCAUAAUUGAGAGGCAAACUAACAUAGAUGGUGUUUGAUUUCGAUUGUAGUUCAUUGUUAGUUUACUGGAAUACAUCUGAGGUCCAUGUCACUCUGUUUUAAAACUAAACUAUAACUUAUAUUAUAUUAGAGGCUACAUGAAAGUAUGUUAACCGACAUGUUAGUUACGUUUAACCGAUAUGUUCUUAUAGUUUGCAUGAUAUUGUGGUUUCAGGUAGCACGAUCAAUGUUGUGUUUCGCUAUGGUGGUCAGGUGGAGAUUAAUGUAGAUGGAUUGUUAUCAUACAAAAAUGGUGACACAAAAAUAACAGUUUGGGAGUUGAAGGCACCAUAUGAAGAGUUUAUGGAGAUGGUUGAAGAUAUGACUUAAACACAAAGACACAAAUUUGUAAUUCAAGUUGUCGUCAAUGACAAUGCACGUAACAUUCAUGCUCAAUCUGACUAUGAUCAAUGAUGUUGGGGAUUGUUGCUGCCAAGAAUUUAUAUGUCAUGUCUGUUUGGAUGGUGGAAGGUUUACAAUCAAUGAAUGGGGAAUCAAGCUCCAAAACACAGAAAAAUGUGAAAGAAAAGGAGAAAGUAAUUGAGAAAGAAAAAGGUAAAGGAAAAACUGGAUUGAAAAAAAAAACUUUUCCCAGAACCUACUCCUCCAACAGAUUAGGGUAAUCAACCUGAUUAUUCAGAUUUUUCCACACCUGUAAAGCAAGGUUGUAUUUCUUCCCAAUAUCUCCUAGACCCUGCAUCAGCAAAGAAGAGCCAUGUUAUCUUCUCAAAGGGGUAUAGGAAUGAACAACAACCUCUUGUAUUGGAUACCCCACCUGGGACUUAUCCCCAAGUUGUUAUAACAACUCCCCCUCCUGCUCCUUCUAGAUUUUCAUCUAGGAGUGAAUCUCUAUUGGUGGCUAAUGUUGUGCAAAUUGGAGUUGAUAAUGAAGUUGGGUACAGAUCUCAGACAAUAUCCUCUAAUAUUCAAGAUAUAUCCUCUAAUAUGCCCAAGUCAUCCGCUAAUAUGGGUGAUGCAGCGGCAAUUCUUUCUGAGAUGUGUAAUAAUGAUGGAUUUUGGAAAGGAUUCUCAGAUGAAAUUGAAGAAUAUAAUGCACUGCAACAAAAAAGAUGCAUGAUAUGUAAAGUUCCAACUUGCCCAUGGUAUGUUCGUGCUACACCAAAUAUGAAUGAUACUUGGCAAAUAAGAUACAUUGCUGAGCGUCACACAUGUGGGAAAUUCAGACUUGGAUCAAAAAAUCGUCAAGCUGAUAAUGAUUGGGUUGCAUCUAAAAUUGCGAGAAAAUUACGGGAUAAUGAAGAUCUUACAUCCAAACAACUGAAAAACCAAAUUGAGGAGGAAUAUCUUACCCAGAUUUCAUACAAAGUUGCUUGGAGGGCUAAAGAAAAGGCAUUGGCCAAGGUAUUGUUCUGUUUAAAAUUGCACCUUCCUAUCUUAUCCUCUAGUUCAUUCACAUAUGUCGGCUAAUAGCUUGUGUUAUUUCCUCUAAAACGUAGUAUGUGCCUAUAGUGCGUUAAUGUUAUCCUCUAAAUAUGUAAUUUAUAACAGCUAAUUAGUCUGUUUAUCCGCUAUUUCUAGUUAAGGGGAAGCUUCAAUGAGUCAUAUCAACAACUUGAAACAUACUGUAAUGAACUUAAGUUGGUCGAUCCCGAUUCUCAGACUGAUAUUAUCACAGGCCCUGGUGAUGAAUUCCAAUGUAUGUUUUGGUCAUAUGGUAUAACUGUGAGAGCUUACAGAAGCACAUUAAGAUCAGUAAUCAUUAUAGAUGAAACAUUUCUGAAAGGAAGAUAUCCUGGAGUUGUACUAUCAGCAAUUAGAAUUGAAGGAAACAAUCAUGUGUUCCCUAUUGUUUUUGCCCUUGUGCAAAAAAGAAAAAACAAUGAGUAUUGGGAAUGAUUUCUUGAAAAACUUAGGGACCAUGUGGUUGGGAUUGACCACGAGCUUGUGCUUCUGUCAGAUAGGCACAAAAGUAUUAUUCAAGUUGUACCAAAGAUUUUGCCCAAGGCUUGUCAUAUAUAUUGUGCCCAACACAUGUCCCUUAAAUAUGGGAAUGCAAAAGUAAGGUGGUUGCUUAAAGAGGCUGCAAAGACACUCAAUCAAAAUGAGUUCUGGGGUUUGAUGCUGCAAAUAUAGGCCAUAUCGCCAAAGGCAUACCACAGCCUAAUGGCAAUUGGACCAUUAAAUAAGUGGGCAAGUGCGUUUCAGGAGAAACCCAGGUCGGUACUCUAUUCAUUUUAUCUAUCCUCUAAUUGUAUACUUUACAUCGGUUAAUAUGCUGCAUAAUAUCUGCUAACAAUAUACUUUAUAUCCUUUAAUAAUGCAGAUAUGGAAUUAUUUACACCAAUCAUGUGGAAUCGUGGAAUAGAAUGAUUAUACCAAAAAGAAUGCUUCCUACUACAAAUCUGGUCGAAGGAAUUCAUGCCAACAUCAUGAGGCAUCACAGAGAUUAUCGUGUUGAUGGUGAGAAAUUCAAGACACCUGUAACUAAGUGGUGCCACGAACAAAUUUUGCAUAAUACUUGGAGAGGUAGAACCUUCACUUGUGAGAAGACAUCUCCAACUAUUUGGACAGUUUAUGGUGAGAGCAGGACAUGUGUGGUUGACUUGAACACAAGAGAAUGUACAUGCAAAUGGUGGCAAACUAUGGGAAUACCAUGUGAGCACGCAAUGUCUGUUAUUGGAGAAUGUCAAAUGGAUCCAUACACAUUUUGUGGUGUAUACUACAAAAGGGAGACAUAUAUGGAGACCCACAAAGAAAAUUGGAGACCCACAAGAGGAAAGGAUGAAUGGCCAAAGGAUAGAGUAAGCAGAAAGAUCCUUCCACCACUACCAUGUGUUAUGCUUGGACGUCCAAAGAAAAAGAGAAGGAGAGGCAAACUUGAAGGUAUCCCAGUACAGGAGAGAAGAUGCUCAAGGUGUAGGGGAAGAGGACACAACAAAUCAACAUGUAUCGAAGUUGUACCAGACUUUGACUAUUUUUUCCAACCUUUACCUGAUGGACCACCUGAUUCCUAUUAAGUGUUGGGAGUUUUUUUUUCUAAGUUAUGCCUUUUGAAGUUGUACCAGACUUUGACUAUUGUUUCUAUGUUUGCCUUUUAUAUGGCACAUUUUGUAUGUUUACCUUUUAUAUGCCACAUCUUAUAUUUAGUUGGAAGUUUGCUUAGUAUAUUAAUGUCUUUUGCAUUACUAACCUAGAGAUUACAUCUGUAUCCUCUACUUUGAAUGAACAAUAUCUCUAAAUAGUAAACAUUUAUCCUCUAAUAUAUACUAAAUAUUGGUACUAAAGAGAAUGUUAUAUAAUAAUACUUUUAUUUAUUUGUAGUAAAGGGAAAAGAAAGGGAACCCUAAAGAAAAAGGGUUUGUACAUCCAAGAAAAAAAUAACACUUCAGCAAAAAAAAAAAAUACUUUAGCAAAAAAAAUCUUAAAAAAAACACUUCAUCUCCUUCACUCUUCAUCAUCAUCAUCAUCACCAUCGUCCUCUUCUUCAUUUUCACCAGAAAAGCUGCUCUCCACCUCAUCAUCCUCAUUUGGGCUAUCCUUAUCUUUUGUAGCAACACAUUCUUGGGAAGAAGGCACAUCACUAUCAUCAAGGUACUCUACAAGAGGAUUAGGCUGGACAAAAUUUGCAGUAUCUCCGGAAUCCUCUCCAUCAUCAUGUUUUUCUCUUCACUUGCUUUAGAAUCCUCAUCCUCGUCAUCUUCUUCUUCUUCUUCACUUUCAUCCCCAUUGAAAUUGUCUGAUAUUUCGAGAAGCUUCAGAUGUACUUCAUCUUUUCCAUCUUCAGCAAUGAGUAUUUGCAUUGCAAGCUUAGCAGAGAUUUCACUCAAUGAAGCCAUUUUCACUCAAAUAAGCUCUCAAGAAUGGUUUGGGUUGUAACCUCACCAUGGUUUUAUACUAUUAGAAUUUAAUAAAGUGCGAAGAUCAAGAUGCGAAUUCCAAGCAUUUGACUUUACAUUUCACCUGCCAACUAAUCUUCUUUAUGACCAUUUAAGAACAGUUAACACAAACCCCAAAAAAAGAGAAUAGUUGUACCAAAAUACAUUGAACUGAAAGUUGUACCAAUACAUUGAACUAAUAAAUAAUUUUACAAAAGUUCAAAAGUUUUUCAGUCCUCUACACUGUAGGCACCCCCUUACUUGGUGGCUUCAAUCCACAUUGAACAAGGUCCAUAGCAAUACGCUUCCUCAUAAGAGUAAACAUUCUCUUGAAAUCGAGUUCUCUACCCCUGACUAUACAAUCAAUGUAACCAAACAAAAAAACUCCACAACUGUGACCAUCAUCUUGUUCUGGGCAAUUCACAAAUUCCCUUUCCCAUCCAAAUUCCAAGUCAAAAUCUGGAAUGUUAGGGUCAGCAACAAAUACCACGUAAGGCAACAUCUUCUCCAACCCUAGUUGUUGUCUUGAUGGUCUAUUCAAGCCCAAAGAGUCAUAUAUUCUCACCUUCUUUUCCCUAAAUCUAAAACUCAAGAGUACCCAGUGGUUAUCAUUGACCUGCAUUAUUAACAAAUUUUAAUAAGUGUUUAGCAGAUAUUAUCCAUGCUGUUAGAGGAUGUGUUCAAUGUAGAUUAGAGGAUACAAAGUGAAUACACUUACUUGUAAAGGAAUAAGGAUAGCCUUUGCAUGGUAAGGGGAAACUUGGUUCUCCAUAUGACCAGUAGGGCUCAUAAUGUUUAUGGCACAUGUCUUAAUUUUGAAUGCACCACUCCUUACUCUGUUUGCUAGUGAUAGUGCAGCAAAAGUUGGAUCCCUCAUAAGCCUAUUGUAUGUAUAUUGGACAUCACCAUAAACCAUGCCCUGAAACAACCAAAAAAAUAUAUUAGUACCAAAUAACUCAUAUUGUAAACUCUAAAUAACAUAAUUGUAUCCUCUACUCAAAGGUUCAAGCAUAAGAGAUUAAUAUAUAUAUAUAUAUAUAUAUAUUUACAACAAAAUAUAUUGUUGGAACAAUAGCAUACUGAUUAUUUGCAUUGAUAUGCCUCCUCAUCAUUCCAUACCAACGAAUGAUCAAGCUAACAUAGGCUUCAAUGAUAUCUCUAUGCACCCAAUUAGUGUUCCAUAGGCUGUAGAACUGUUUCACAUGGACUUCCAGUCCAUAUCCAUAAACCAUCAUAACUUUAUGCUCAAAAUUUGGCUCAUUUGCCAACCAUCAGUAAUAGUUCAAAACAUCUGUCUCAUUAUGAGUUGUAGUUCUGUCUAGAAAUGACAUGCCCAUGGUAAUCAUCAGCUGAGCAUCAACUUUUUUCCCAUCUUCCUUCCCCUAAUCCUUUUUUCUCAAUCUUUUUUUUGGUGUUGUUAAAGUCAUCAAUAGCUUGCUUAUCCACUUCUUCAUCUUCUUCUUCACCAGUGAAAACUAUAUCAUCUUCAUGAUGUUCAACAUUACCCAUCUCACCAGCUGAUACACCAUCUAUUUCUACUAAAUAUUCUUCAGGAAUAUUCUUAGGAGUUGGAAUGUCAACAUCAAAGCUAUAAUCUUCUUCUUCUUGCCCAUCCUCCUUAGCAUCUACCUCUUGAAUUUUAGCAGGCAAGCUAUUUAUUUUAGCUACCAACUCUUUCACUUCUUGCACAUCAGUAUUCUUAGUCUUGAGGAUGGCCAACUCCUGCACGUCAGACAUGGUAGUAUCAAGAAUAUCUGAUUAGGCCAACCUUGCCAUUCCAUCAGCAACAAUAACUUCUUGUGUUGUAUUUUCUUCACUUUGAGCCUCUCCACCCUUCUUAUCUUCUCCUUCAACCUUUUUUCUCCUUCAACCUUUACCGCAACCUUUCCUUCACUUUCAUUUUUUCCUUCUCCUUUAACUUUUUCUUCAUCAUUCUUUCCUUCUCCUUCAACUGCUCCUUCAUCAUUUUUUUCUAUCUCUUUCCCCCCCUGUGUAUGUUUUUCUUUCUUUUGAACCUGUAUAUCCUCAUCUUCAUCACUAUCUGGCCUUGGAAUAAAUCUUCUUAUUUUUAGCUUCUUCUUUGGCAUUUUUCUUCUCAGCAUUUCUUGCAUCUUGGUUUUAAUAUUUUUCCUCCAUGACUUUUCAAGACCUACUACUUUGCUUUCCCUGAGGAUAUAAGAUAAAAAUUAGAGGAUAUAAAAUUAACUAUUAGCUGCUAAUAAUCAAGGUUUUGGGGAUAUAACAUGCAAAUCAUACCUAUGAGGUUGUUUUCUGGUAGGAGGUGGGAUGGUCUUCUGUUUCUUUGGUGGAGGUAGAGUAAUGUGUUGCUUCUCCUGUUCUCUAAUUUGACUUGUGCUCCUUGUGGCCCUCAUCCUACCUAAAGAGAGUUGUAAAGUUUGAGACCUCUCUGGAGUUGUUGCAACUGGUGAACUUAACUUCUCACUGAAAAUUUUCUUGCCUUUUCUAUCUGCACUAGGACUUAAAAUGGUCUUUGCAUUGGUUUUAGAUGGAGUAGGCUUUCUCUUGGAUGGAGUGGGAAUGUUUUGACUCCUUGUAUUAACACCCCUCUUGGAGAUUGCUUUGGUGGUGGUGGUGGUGGUGGUUGUGUUAUCCUUCUCCAGAACUGACUUGGGUGCAGUAGUUGUUUUAGUCUUGGGUGUAGCAGUUGUUUUAGUCUUGGGUGCAGGUCCAGUUGUUUUAGACUUGGCUGCAGCUGCUUGACUCUUCUUGGUUUCAUUUUUCUUACUGAGGGUACUUGGUUCCUUCUUCUUUUUGGUGGGGGUAGUGUCCUUCUUCUGUGUCCUUACUUUAGGAGUGUUUCUCAUCUGGGUUGAAGAAGAAGAUCCCUCUUUCAGUGCCUCGGGUUUCAAUAUCGUGCUUACACCAGAAACAACUCCUUCCUCAAUGUCUCUUACCACUCCCUUCAGAAUUCCUUCCAGUGAACCCACACCUAUAUCCUUUUCUUGCUUGUCAAAUUCUUGUUGCCACUACAACACCAUUAUACAUGCUAACAUUAACACAUAAUAUUUCACCAUUUAGAGGAUAAGAUUUGCAUUUUAGCCGAUAAGAUAGCCAUAACUUGAGGAUAGAUAUAUAUUGUUACAUGUAAUGUAGGAAUUUACUAGCUACAAGAUAGACUAUACAUAAAGUAUGGGAUAUAAAACCUAAUUAGAGAGUAAUAUACAUACCUUUUCUGCUUCAAGAACAAGUGUUUGACCAUUUAACGUUGGCCCAGCUAAGGCCCGGUUUAUAAAAUUGGCCUUGAUUAAGCAUUUGUCGAAUAAGAAAAUACUCAUUUAACGUUGAUAUUGUAAAAAUGACCAUUCACUACCGAUAAUACCCUUCUAGUUUAUGCAAACAAAUGUUUGCAUUUUAUGGUAUGCGGUGGUUGUUGUUUCGACUAUGCAAAUAAGUUUUUGCAUUUAAUGUUUAUGUGUGUUGUGACUGAUGCAAACAAGUCUUUACAUUUUAUAGUUUAUGUGGUUGUCGUUGCGAGUAUGCAAACAAGUUUUUGUAUUUAAUGUUUAUGUGUGUUGUGACUGAUGCAAACAAAUCUUUACAUUUUAUGGUUUAUGUGGUUGUUGUUGCGAGUAUGCAAACAAGUCUUUGCAUUUUAUGUUUGUGUUGUGACUGAUGCAAAUAAGUCUGUUUAUGUGUUUGUGAUAUGCGAACGAGUCUUUGCAUCAGUCGAGGGGUAAACUAGUCCAUAAGAUACGGAAAUCAACGGUUGGGCCUUUUUUACCAAUAGUUCCCUAACUGGUCCAAUCUUACAUAUUAAUAUCUUGAAGGGGUCCGUUUUUUUAUUCCCUGUAUUUAGCAGAUAACAUAACGACAUUUGAAGAUAAAUGUGUGAGUUUUAGACGUACCUAACAUCAAUGGUAUUAGAUGCAUCUGGUAAUAGGCAUGUUAACAGAAGCAACAAGCGAUUCAAACGAUGCACAUCAUUACCAGAAUUAGGAUCAUUUUGUGCUACUUCAAUUGCAUCUUUCAUGUUCUUUUCCUUAACGUUUCUCGUCUUACCAAAAUACUUCUCCCUAAAUGAACUUGGAACUUCUGAUUCCAUGAAAAUGAACUCAUGUGGUACACGACCAAUUUUCAAUCCUAAAUUUAAAGUGACAUCAAAUGGUUUGAACUGCAUUUCUUUUCCCCCAAUCUUGUACUUCAAUUUACCAACACUAGUUUUCACAAUUUGUGUAACAAUAGAGGUAAUUAUGUGUAAUUUAUCCGUUUGAACAUCUAAGAAAUACCUAAAGCAUAAAGAACUAAAAUUUUGCUUAUCCAACAGAGGUAAUUUACUUUCAAAAUGAUCACCUAUCUUCUUUAUUGAACAUCUUACCGUCACACUGAAUUUACGGCCAUAUUUCUUUUUCAUCUUUCUACUCCACUUGAUUCUGGAAUUUCAUCAUCUUGCUCUUUAGUUUCGUCUACUUCUUCUUCUAUUUGUUGUUGUUCCUCUUCAAUUUGUUGUUCUCCCCUUUCAAUUACUUCAUUCUUAACUGCAAUUUCUUUUUCUUCUUCUACAUGUUUCUUUGUGAUUUCUUUUUCUUCAUCUUUCUUUCCAAAUUCUCCUUCUUUCUCUUCAGUUUCUUCUACUUGCUCUUCAAUUUUUUUAUUCAAUUGCUUCUUCUAUCUUCUCAUUAACAAACACCUCUUCAAUUUCACAAGUUUUUUCUAGGGUUUCUGUGGUAGUGCGUUUAGGGAGUUUAACAACUAUUUUUUAUGAAAUUAGGGUUCUAGAACUACAAGAAAGUAAAAUUGGGUGUGAGAAAUGGUAACGUUGUGAUUUUGCUGUGUUAAUGGAGGCGGUUGGAAAAGAAGAAAAACGGUUAGGUAAGUUAGGGUUCUUCUUUGUAAGUGAUUAUCUUCUCCAAAAUUUUCCACCUAAAUUACCCCCCAAACGGUAUAGACAUGUGUCAUCUUUUCGUUGUAGGAAUAGAUCCAUGUUUAAUCUCAAUCUUACACGUCAUUUAGUUGCAAACAACUGUUUAGGGUAUUUUUGUAAAUGCAGAUUGAAUAAACGGUUGUGAUUUAAUCUCCCCUUUCUAGCAAAAUCAAUGGUUGUAAUUCUAUAUAGGUUAUUGUCAAGGGUCACAUCAGUUUGUACUUGGUCAAAUCAAGGCAAAAAGGUUUGUCAUAAGUACAAUAAGUACAAAGGGUAAUUUUCGUAUCAAAAUUUCUGAAAAACAAAAUGUAGUGGGGGUAAGAUGGUUGUUUGGGAAGAUUAACACUCAUGAGUGGCUAUUUGGGAAGAAGCAACUAAAGAUGGUGGUUUUUUAAGAAAUUUGCCUUAAUUAUUUGAAUAAAAGACUUUCGCUGUGCUUGUUUCCCCGGAAUUUUUGGGGAAACGGAAAAGCAAACUUUUUUAAAAGCAAAACUUUUUAAAUAGUUUCCUGUUUUAGUUUACAAAAAUUUUGUAUGGUGCUUGGUUGCUAAUAAGAAAAAUUCUGAAUUUCUGCAAACAACCUUGUAUAUAUCUAAAAUUACAUCCAUACCAUUUUUUUAAUAAAAAAUGUGAACAACCUUAAUUAAAUUUACAAUUACAUCAUUAUCCUAAACUUAAUUAAAUUCAUAAUUACAUCACUAUCCUAAUUUCACUUGGAUAUAAAAAGUAGAAACCAAAGACACACUUGGAUAUAAAAAGUAGAAACCAAAGACACAGACCCACAUGUUCAUAACAAGUCCAUCACUUAACUAUGGUAGCAGCAUUCUACUACUUCAUUUUAAAUAAAAAUCAAGAGCCUUCAAAACUGUCGCUGUUAGGACAGUUGUACUAAACACCACUGCCAUCACAAAGACAUAGAUGAAAGUAGAACUUACACCACUUUAUACAUUUCACAAGUAGAAAUUACAUCAAAAUUACAAAUGUCUUUCUAACCAAGUAAAAUUAUAAAAACUUAUAAUAUGUCGCUACAAACUCCAAAUACACUACUUAAUUUGAACCUCACUAUCAAAUGUCUCCAAUCUGCACAAACAAAUCGUUCAACACAUCCACUCUACCUUCUUCAUCCGUUAACAAAAAUAUUUCAGCUUCCACGUGAUUUUUCAUCAAAAUCUUGAAAGCACUAUUUAAAUAUUUGUGGCUAAACCCUUUGACUCCCAUGAUUGCUUGACGUAAUUGCUUUCCAAAAGUUAAAGGGUCUAUCGUUUCUCUAAGUAGAGCAAGAUGUUCAUUUACUCCUUCCAACAUAUUCUUCACUUCAUCAACACCUCUCAUUCUCUUCCCAUGUUGUCGUUUUGUCUUCUUGGUGCUUGCGGUAGAGAUUGUUUCUUCACCAACUUCCAAAUCUAUACUCUCUUCUUCUCCAUUCUUUUCAGUGUCUUCAUCGAGUCCAUUCGCAGAAUAAGAACCUACAAGAAAGGAAUAUAAAAAAAAAAAAAUUAUAACUCAUAUCAUCUUGUCUUCUGGUGAAAGGGCAUGCAAAUGUGGACCAUGCUCAAAUGUGGGUUUAUGUACGCGUAAAUUUAACGCUGUUUUGUAAAUGAACCAAUCCAAAUUAAGUUGGAAUUGAAAUUUAUCAUCAUAGGAAGAAGGUUGAUACAUUUAAUCCAUACGAAUUCAUAAUCUGCACGCAAAUACGCAUGUAAUGGUUAUACAACGCUCACUAAGGUGAUGCUCAAUGGUGAUCUAGUUAAGGUGUCGAAGGGGACAACUGCAACCCCCUCCACCGUCCUUAAAAAAAGUCUGGGAGUCUGUCCAUGUGAUGUUGCUUGUUAAAAGGUAAGACUAUAACAACAGUGUUACAUGUACAUUUCUUUGGCUUCAUUUAACUAUAGUAGGAAUGCCAUUGACCUACAUAGAUCACUCAAACAAACUACUGUACAUUGAUGCUACCUAACAGCAGUGAGGUGGCCUACUGACCAAAGUUUCUUUCAAAUAAUUUUCCAUCUUAUAUUUAUGGAUUUUGAAUUAAAUAGUAAUCUGUUGGUUAACCCAAAAGCCAUAAAAUCUCAUGUUAAUUGAAAAUUAAUAUUUCCUCAAACAUUCAGAUUAGGUUCUUGUUCUGUACCAAUUAAAGACUACAUUUUAAACUAUAUAUCUGUAAGACUUAGAUUUCUAUACAUUUCAUUCUAUUUCAACACUUCAUUGCACGCAACUAAGACUCUGCAGGCCGGCAAUAUCCAUAGAUUCUAUACCUCUUCCUUCGUUUGGUUAUUUUAUUUCAUGUAUGAGCUGGUUAAUGUUUAAUUAGCAUUAUGAAAACUUGGUCAUUUAGUUUAAGCAAUCACUCAAUAAUACUCUCAUUUAAGCAUAGAAAAGGUUGUGUCCUAGUUGAACCAUAAGGCAAUUCACCUUUCGGUUGAUCUAGAGAUCAAAAAGCCAAUAGAUCUUGCUAUAUCCUUUUUACGACAUUAUUGUAGAUGGACUUGGUUAACACGGAAAUGCCACACCUAAAUCUCAAUACUGUUUAACUCAACUUAAAUUUUAUUAUGUACCGAAACUACUGCAGCAAUCUUCUAAACCACAUAAUCUGAGAAAUUUGUACCCACUUCCUCUGAAAUCAACCUAGGGAACCUGAGGUCUAGUUGAAAUUCCGGGAAAAAACUUACUGGUACUUCUAUGUUGCCUGAACUUAUUUCACCAAAAUAAAUCCCAUAUGAAUACCAAAACAAAACCAUGAGUCUAAACUCUAAAGCAUCUCUAUCUCAAUCUGACUUAUUCCUCCAACAAACAACAUACAAGAGAAGUAGGAUAGGCACAGUCAGAGAGAUAUCCAUCCCAUCUGACUUUUAAGUCAGAUAACCUGAAGUCAGAAACUUAAUAGUUUGCCUAUCCUGCAUCUCAAUCUGAUUGGAUGCAGUCUGUGCAUAACAAGAAUGCAAUUUUUUUGUGAAUAACCUUAAUAGAUUCCAGAAUAGUCACAAUUUAAAACUAACCUGUUGCAUGUGAGUUGCCUAUAACGGUGGAAAGCUUUUCAUAAUCCCAUUUUAGUCCUCUAUCUCUAAACGCUUUAAACUUUUUCGAGUCUUUCUGCAUUUAUAAUACAAAAACAAAUAAGACUUCACUUUCCAAUCCAAAAAAUAGAAAAAACCAUGAUAAUGUCUAAACUCUAAACCACAAGAAAAAAAUCUAAACUACUUACGGGUUUUGAUAAAAGCUCCUUCCAAUACUCAUUUGAAGCUAUAAUAGUUUGCCUUGUUGGAUCAUAUGACACCCCACUUUUCGCUUUCAAUUCAACAAAACUAUUAUAUUCAUUUCGCAUAUGGCGAAUCAUGUUCUCAACAUGUUCGGAUUUUACAGUCUCGUUAGCUUUCUCAGAAAGAGUUGCAAGCAAAUUGUUCCAAACAACGGUCCCAUCUUUUUCCAAUUUUUUUCCGCUCCCUUGCAGCCUCACCAAGAACAUCAAGAAGUACAUUAUCCAGGGUGGGGUUCCACCUUAACUGAACCUUUUUAUCAUCAAUUUUGAAGCUUGAUUCACAAUCAUUUUCUACUCCUGCAACAGAUAAACCGCAAAAAAACAGUAAUAUUAUUAUUACUUCAAGGAGACUUCUCUGUAGGUAAUUCUGAAGUGCGAGAUUAACCACACACUCAGGGAACAGCAGGUUCUUCCCCAUGUGGUUUCACUUGUUACUAAUGCACUCAGUGAACACCAAUUUCUUACUGAAAAAAAUGAACUGUCGAAUUUAUUGUGAGAUAGCACAGGACAUUUUGUUGUUCAGCGUUUGUUUCCACCACAAAACACAUUUCGAGCACUUGGAAGUUUUUCAAUCUGACAUAUGGUUUCACUACUUUUCCUAUAAAUUAUGUAAUAGUAACAGAAAGAAGCAAUGCAGAAAAACUAAAUUCCACAUGUUCCAUUUCUGCAACAAUAGCCCAACGAAAUGUGUGAUUUGAGUUUUUGGAAACAUAGUCGUUAUUCAGAUUUAAGAAAAAAUAAUAACUAAACCACAAAACUAUCAAUUGUUAUUAGGACUUUAUAUAAGGUAACAACUCUCUUCACACCAAUUUAAGUUUCAUUUACCUUUCAACUUUACUUCACCACCGGAAGGAUCGUCUCUGAUUUGUAGUUGAUCAAGUCCUCUGAAUCCUCUACACUUGGGCAUACCAACAGCCCCUCAUAUUUUUUCUACUUAUAUAUGAUGUUCGGCAUUCUUGCCAACAAGAGUGCAUACUAUGAGAAAACAAAUGUUUGUUACUAAUUAACAUUGGUUGGUUUCUGUAUCCUUGGAAAAAGAUUACCUUAAUAUAGCCUAAAAUGGUAACCUAAAUAUGCUACCGGAUAGAAGGAAAGCUGAUGAACAUCAACACAAUGUUUAAAAGCUUUUUUUAAACAGGCACCGGUUCUUAUAGCCUAGGUGGGUGAAAAAUUGAAGAUUGGCAUGCACUGAUGCACAGGCAAAUUAAGAAGAAGUUACUGAAUACUCUUAUAGCGAGGUGGCCUAUAAUCCUAUAUGUAUGCCAUCCACUCGGAGUGUUGCAUAAUAGUACUGUUCCUUCUCAAGUGUCACGAUAUUUUUUUUUUAUAGAAUUCACACUUUAUGAAUGAAACCACCAGAAACAUCCUGAACAGCAUGCCUUCCAGCACCGUCAGGUUAUGAAAUCCCAACCAUUACAGACUCAAAACUAAACAAGAGUAACUGCAGCAAAAUUGCUACUCUGCCCCCACAGACACAAUGUUAUCCUACAGUGUCACGACUCUAUACAGUUUUUCCCCCUUUUCUUUAAUAUUAUGCUAAAAUUGGACCUAUUUAAUAUGCAAUAUAUCGUUUGACGAUAAAUAGUGGCAGACUCAAAAAAGAAGCUGAAACAGGACUAACAGAUACCAAUGACUGCCCAUGUAUACAAAGAAAUAUCUGAUUAUGAACAACAAAGAUAAAAAGAUACAAAGUUGACUUAAUUACAAACCCGGCUCUUUCACACAAAAGUGUCCACAGAGAGCGACAUUGGUGCAAUUUCAGAAAAUAUAAAAACUACAAAGAUCAUUACAUCAAAAUCAAAUCCAAAUAAAUCUGAAUAAAUACAAACUAAUUCAUAUUAAAAAAACCCAAUUUCUAAUAAACCUUGGAACUCCCAAAGACAACAUUAAAACCCAUGAUUAAAUCAAACCCAUUAUAAAAAACCUUUAAUUCUAGUGAUAGAAUACAAAAUUAAAAUAAAUUUAACAACUAACUACAACAAAUUCAAAACAUCUAUUCGAAACCCUUGAUUUGAGAGAGAUUAAUCUACAAUCAAUAGAUCUAUUAGAUAUUUGAUGAUAGAAAACUGUAUAGAGAAUCUUACCUGAUUCAAAAAAGCUUUCUCCUUCUUUGUUCAAGUAAUCAAAACGAGAGAGAGGGGGAGAAAACAAAAAAAAAAAAAAAAAGAAAGAACUGAUCGAGGAGAAAGCAGUAGAGAAGAGGCGAUUUUUCCCCAGUUUUUCGGUUAUUUCGAACCGGUAUUAUUAGCUGACGUGGUUUGCCUUUUUUGCAAAAAAAAUAUAUGGGCCCCACCUUUUGUUGAAUCCAACCAAGCAGUAUAUAUUUGGGAAAAAAAAGAAAAAUCCUACGUGUCUUUGCUUUCCCUAAACUUUGCAGGGAAACAAGCACAGCCUUUAACUAUUAAAAUUUGCAAAUAAAAGAUAGUUGAUUGGUACUCUCCCAGUUUCACCCAUCCAUAAUGCUGCUUUGGCACAACUUUCAGCAAGCUCUCUCUACUAUUUGCAUCCACUCACUGUGCCUACAAUUUGGUCAAAUAUAGUAAAUUUAUUUACAUCCAUGAAACUACGGUGGAGGUUUUGUACAUCCAAAAUCCAAAUCUUGUUGUUGUCAUCUUCUUCUUCUUCUUCCCGUUCCAAGUAUUAUAUAUUUGGGCCCAUUAGUUUGUAGUCCUUUGGUUAUAUUUGGGCCCAAUAAUCUGGUUCCUCCUAUCACUUCCUUAUCAUUUUCUGAAUAAACAAGAAGAAUGCCUUAUGCCUUCUUGCUUGAACAGAAGAUUGGAUUGAUCUCCAGCUUGAUUUCAGGUUCAGAAAUAUAUUAUUAAUUUCACGCUUUAUUUAUCUUGCAUUUCCUGCAUUUCCUUAUUAAAAGCUAAUUCAAACGAUUUUUGAUUGAAAACUAGAAAGAAUGUAAACAAGAAAAUUAGGAAGCAGAAACACUUUAGCUUUAACUUGCAUACUUACAAAUAUUAUUCCUGUAAUGACUUAAAAAAUCAAUUACCUAAUUCACCCGUUGUUAUUUGUUAAUACUUAAUAGACAGACAGAAUGAAUGAAUGAAUGAAUGGAAGUUUUCGAUUGGUGAGGUGUCUUAACACAGUACAGUCAACCUACUAGUGAGUUGUUUUUCUCUUCUAGGAACUGAUCAAGGAAACAAAGAUAGAUAAACAUCUCUUGAUAAACACUCGAUCUUCUCAAGUGGAAUCAGCUAGGGAUGGUUGCCAAACCUCCUUUUAUGAAGAGCAGAUGUGGCAUUUGAAUAUACUGUUAGGCAAUUGAUUCUGGACCACCAGGGGAGGGGAUAUCAGAAUCAAUUAAUUACUCUUAAUUUAGGCUCCAAUAACUUUGAAGGGAGUAUGUGAAAGCUAGGUUACCAAGUGAAAAAUAAUGCAAGCUUGAUUUUUAAGAAGAAAAUCUCUGCUCAAGUUAACUAUUUAGAACAUCUGAGUUACAUCUUCAAGGUUACGUUUCACAACCUCACUUUCACCAUCAGUGAGAGGGGAGGGGAUAUUUUGAUGCUGGUUUCGAUUUAGUACAUUGAAGAUAGGAUAAGCCUUCCUCGUCAGUAGGAUGUCUGAUUGAGCUUGUUAAUGUCAAGUAGAGUUCAUGUGAGUGAUUCAAAGUCAUUCUGAUGAGUCUUUUGAUAUUGUUGAAGUCUUUGUAUUUCUUUAUAAGGCUACUUGUAAAUUUGUAGUGUAAGUAGCCGAGUCAUGAAAACAUUAAAGAAGACCCAUUAUGGAUUAUCUCAAAACUUUGGUGUUCACAAAGAACUAAGAUGUGGACAAACCCAAUCAGACGCUUUACUUAAUAGGAUGACUUAUUCUUGAACAUAAAUUAGGUAAGCUGAUACUGAUAAGACAGUGUUGACUGCAUAAAUGGUUGAUACACAGUUACACACCAUAUUGGUGGCAGAGAAGUGACCUAGUAAUAGUUUCCUCAUAAAAUUUACCCUGUUGCAGCCUGUAAUUCCAUCGCCAUUCAUUGUUGGUAUACCUGUAAAUUAAUGUAUAGAAUAUAUAUUUAGUAAAUCAAAGAAAACUUUACAGUGUCAUGUAAUUCACUUCAUUGCACCUUAUUUAAUCCAUUACCUCAAGAAUAUAGAAAAUCUUCUCUUACACAUUAUGUUGCAAAAGAUAAAUACAAUGGUAUACUAUAGAUACCCUUGAAAGUGAGAGAGUGUUUCUCAAAUGCUAAUAUUCUGAUGGUGUUGGACUUACGUUCCAUAAAUUCUAACAAUGUCCUUAAUGGAUUAUAUUUUCCACUGCUGCAGUUGUACCAAACUAUUCCCUGAAAACUUGUGUCUGGUGGAGAAAAUGAGUACAAUGAUGACACAUUGACACAUGUUGUUUCAACUCUCUCUUUUUUUUUUCUUAAAAUGUUUGGAAAAUAUAAUGAUAUUUCUUCGUUAGUUGUAUUUCUGAUCUCUCACUCAUUUUAAUUCGUCUGUGUUUUAUCUUUUAUAUUAGUAUUUCGCUAUUUCUUACUCCUAAAUGAGAUAAUCGCACACCUAAUCUAUCAAUAGGAUGUUUCCAACUGUUAUAUUGUUGCAUUUUAUACUAUUGGUGAUUACUUUCCUGGCCUCAGAUACACAUUACAGGAACUGCCUACGAUAGUAAAAGUCCAAUUGACUAUGCCAGAGUAAUAAAAUCUAUCUUCAGCUAAAGUAGCCAUAUAUGACUCAAUUUGGGGCAGGCCUGUCAUAAAUAGAGGUACCUACCUGGUUGAUGAGAGGCAGGGUUAUCUAUUCACCAAAGUAGUAGACCUUGUGCAGAGGAUCUGAAAUUCUGUAGACUAAUGUUAAAUUCUUACCACAUUUUUCUCCUCUACAUUAAUUUUCUUUUUUUUAGCAUCAUUUAAUUUCUUUGCCAGUGAAAUCCAUCUGCCUUGUUUGCUGUAAACAGCAUAAUUUUAUAGUAGUUCGAGAACCCUUACGUCACUUUAUCAAAGCCUUUUAAAAUGGAUUUCCGGUCAUUAUCAUUAUUAGUAUACAGCUUUUUGUGUGCACAUCAAGUAUUAGUUGACAACCUUUACAUUGUUCUCACUAAAAGUAGCAAUGAUCCCUAGCAGAUUGAUAGUUGGCACAUUAACAUUCUUCGAAAGUUCUAUUAGUUUUAGUUUGGUUAAAGGUGUUUCUGGUGAAUGCAAAGUGGAAACAAUAAAAAAUCAUCCAAGAGAAUCUUACAUCUCUAAAAGUAGUGGCAGGCAGGCAUGUUUCCCUGUUCUUUUGAUAUGCAUGCAUGACUUUAUGAAGGACAAACUAACUUACAAUAUUUUGUUAACUCCCCCAGGUAAAGCUAGGUUGAAAUAGUCCUAGUUGGCCAGUUUCAUGGUGUGUAAAGAUAUCUAUAUCCAAGCGGUUUAUUUCUUAAGCCACUAGCCUAGGCGUUUAUGAUUUGUUUUUAAAUAUGAAAGCUUAGUGCUUAUGUUUGACUGUAUAUAAUGAAUGCAGGAGUUCAUGGGUGUGAUCAAGUUGUCUGGUGACUUGCAAAAUUCUCAGUCUAGAUGAAACUUCCGGAUGGAUAGUUGAAAGGCAAGCAGUGCGAGGUAUGAAAUUCUACAAGGCAGAUAUUGCACAGUAUUGUUCCGACUUUAUCUGGGUCACGUUUUCAAGAAAAAACCUUAUGAUCUCCAAAUUAUCUGGUCUAUCCAUCAAAUUCUCAAUGCUUGCUUUCAUAUUGCUGACAUCAUCAUAAUAAAAUUAGCUAAAUCUAAACCUUUCAACCUUUUUCUUUCCCUCUUCUAUGCAUCUUGACAUCUUACUUUUGUAUGUCUAUGCCUAACUCAUAUAUGUCAUGUUCUACCUUUUUCAUAAAGUGAUCAUCGUCAUUAAUAAAUCUAGUGAUCCUAAAUUCUUCAUUAUAUUGUACCAAUAGGUAGUGUUUUGCAGAUAUCAUAUUUUUUUAUGGACCCAUCAAUGAUCCCCUGCAUGCUUGUGUUUAUGUUCUGUUGUAGGCUUGUAGCAAACCAAUGCCUAGGAAGUCAACUAACAUUGACACACUUUGCUCCAAGUCCUUUCUUUUGCUUUGACAAACUAAGUUAAAAUGUGCUUAAUAACAAUCACUGUCAAGAGUAUUAUCAUAAGUAUAUUCAUCAUGUGAAAAUAGAUACUUUCAUAAGAGACAAAAAGAGAAUGAAACCUAUGUGAGCCAACCCAAUACUAUAUUUUGCAUUAGUAAAUAGUUUCAACCCUGUCUUAAGUUGUUUAAUUCGAGAAGGCAAGGUAAGUGGAGAUGGCGGAUGUCUUGAAUCCAUUGAAGUUAGAUCCUGCAGAGGCUGUGUAAGCUCCCAUGUUGGGGAACACUAACCAAUCAUUCACCUGGAGCUCCGGCAGUUGGAAUCCAGUGAGCAAUGUGUCUAGUGCAUCACAUGUGGGCCCAAACACCGUUGAUGCAUAUGUCUUCAUUCCUCGACAUGUGGGGUUAGCACGGUUUGAUGAGCAUGCUAGAGGAGUAGCCAUUACAGUUGCAUGAUCAUAUAAUAUGCAGUUCAUUGACCCAUAUAUCCCAUCAUUGAUCCAGUAUUCUCUCAGGUCUCCUCGCACACGCUUUCCGAUUAUAUUGGUGGCCAGUGUGAAGGAUGUUUCAGCAAAGAAACGUCCAGGUUCAGAGAUCACCAUCAAACCCGGGUAGUCGCCAAAGUAGGUCUUGAUAGAACUCUUAAUGGUGACCGCAGCAUCGUCAUAUUGGUGGCCAACAGUGAAUCCACCACCAACAUUGAGAAUGUGCAUACGAGGCAUACCAAGUCUUGUCGCGGUAUCAAAUACAUUCUUGGCAGCUCCUAUCGCACUAUGGUAAGCUCGUGACUGUGUUGCUCCACUGCCAACAUGGAAAGAGACACCAGAUACCAUCAGUCUAGCUGCAUUGGCUGCUUCAAGAAGUGGGGUAAUCUCUUCAGGCAGGGCCCCAUAUUUAGGCCCAAGUGGGCAUCUUGCACCACCAUCGUCCGGAGCCUUGAGCCGGAUUAAGAGGGCACAUUUGGGAUGCCACCUUCGUAUCUUCUCAAUCUCAUUUCGUGAGUCAAACGUGGUGAGAUUAACCCCUACGCUAGCCGCAUACUUGAUAUGGGACUCAGCUUUGCAUGGGUUUGCGUAAACAAUUCUAUCAGGUGAAACCCCAAGUGCUAAGACAGCCUCCAUUUCAGCUCGGCUUGCACAAUCAAAUCCUGCUCCAAGAGCUGCAAGUGCACCGAGGAAGGAUGGCUCAGGAUUGCACUUGACAGCAUAAAAGGGACGGACGCUAGGCACCGUACGUAUCCAUUUGUCCAUGAGACUGACGACAACCCCUAAGUCCAUCACAUAGAAAGGGUCCUUCACAUCUUGCUUGCUGGAGAUUUUGGACAGAAUAAACUCUGUGAGUCCAUCUUUCGAUAGGUUCGUUACUUUUUUACCCUUCACCCCGGGUGCACCCAAGACAGCCUGAAGGCUCUUGGUGCUUGAACCCAUGGCUGAAACUUGCUCAGUGCCUAGGCAAAGACGAAGAGAUCAACAGAAAUAGAACCACAAGAUCUUUGGGUUUUGGAAGUAGUUUUCUUUUCUUGAACACGAUAUUUAUAGAAGAUAUUAAGGAGUUACUUCUCCCAUUUGGUGGAGAAAAGAUAUACUAAAGUGGUCAAUAAUUGAGUGCCUUUGUUAUGGUAUUGUGGGGAAUAGGUACAAAGGCUUACACUAGGGUAGGUGACAAAAUGUAAAUCCAAAAUUUUUACUAGGUAGAGAAGAAAAAAAAUAGUCUAAAAAGAAGGAUUCUUUGUCAUGAGCAUAGAUUUCAGGAAAUAGGUUUUGUUUCAUUUUGACAAAGAAAACAGAGUUAAGUCUGGUCAGAGAGCUUAGGUUAAGAUUACUUGCAUGGGAAACUCAACUAGUCCUCCUUUUUCGAAACUUGGCAGCGGCAAAUGACAACAGCCAAGAUGUCAGAGAUCCUCAUUCUGUUGAAAAGAUGUUUAGUGGGAAUAUUUUGAUACUACCACUUCAUAUUGUUGCUAUUAAGUCUAUGCUUUUUAGCCGUAAGAUAUGUAUCGUAGGGUUCUGAUGAGAUCAGAGUACUUGAUUAUGAUGAUUGUUAUGGAGAUAAUCAAAUAAUUUGCCCUUUUUAUGUUAACCUUGUUGAAGAGAGAUCAUUUGAAAUUUGAAAUGGACAGAGGCAAAUAAUGUAGCCUCAAAUCUUGCCCUUUAUUCUCUAGAAAUAGGCCAUAUCUGCCCUUUAUUUUAUUUGGCCCAUUGAUUUUGUCUUCCUUUUAGUCUAACAAGAUUCAAUUGAGUGUUAGGGUUAUAUUAGUAUAACAACCAGCCACCCUUCUUGAAGCCUUGUGAUUGUAGAAGAAUAUGACUUUUUAUUAAGCAGCAUGUUUCUUUGAAGAGCUAAUUAGCGUUAACACCCCCCGUUUUGAAUGCAAAAUGGACAUACCCCCAACUCAAAAAGUUUUGUGUUUUCCCCUCAGUUUUAAAUUCUGGCCAAAUAUAAUGAUGAACUACCUGUUAUACCCUUGUGCCACAUAAGUUUAUUCUUUUGGUGGUUUUGAGUUUUUGACUUAAACCUAUUUUGCCACAGCGGUUUUAAUCUGGACCAUCAGAUUAGAUUUGAUAAUAUAAACCAGAUCAAAAGUGCAAAACACAACAUGUGGAUGUGAAAAAAAAUAUUUUACAAAAUUAAAUCUUAACUAAACCACUCUCUCUCUACAUCAAAAGAAAUACCCUUUUUGAUGUAAUCCUUAAAAGUGGAACUUAAUCAUCUUUGAAUCGUCUCCAACCUUUGGAAAUUUGUGGGUUAUUAAAGCUUAUGAUGAUUGGGUUUUUUUUUCAAAAUUUGUGUGAAGUUCAAGCCAUUGAAUGGUGAAUUAUUAUGAACUUUGGAAAUGUUGUGAAGUUGAAAGAGAGAAAGUGAGCAUAAUGAUUUUCUUCAAAGUUCACAUUCUUCGCCUUUGAAGAAGGUAAUGUGAAAGUAUAAAGAAAACUUCAAACAAAAGAUUUCAAUCUCUUUUGUUUGCUAUUUGUGUACAUUCACACAUCUAUUAUAAUUAUGUUAUUAAAAAACAAUUCAAUUUCAAUAGUAGUGGUGAGAUCUUUCUUCAACUUCUUGUUUCUUCAAUUUGAGUUCAUGGGUUAACAGUGAAGGUGAAGAUGGAGGUUUUGAAGUGAGUGUUAAUGGUGAAGAUGGAGAUGAAGGGAGGGAGAAGAUGAAAUAAGCGAGGGUACAUUGGUAACUUACAAUGGUCAAAUCCAUGUGUCAUGUUUAUAAUUGUUGGAUGUCUUAGAUCUAAUUUAAUGGUCAAGAUUAAAACCACUUUGAGUCUGAUGUGGCAAAGUGGGUUUAAGUUAAAACCAUUGCCGGAAAAAGCUUACAUGGCGCAAGGGUAUAACGGGUAUAUCAUCUCUUUUUUUUGCCGGAAUUUGAAACUGAGGGGGAACAGAAAACUUUUUAGAGUUAGGGGUAUGUCCAUUUUGCGUUUAAAACCGGGGGUAACGCUAAUUAGCUCUUAUUUGAAUAUUGAAUUGUUGGUUAUUGAACCUGUAAGGAUGGAUCUACAGUAGUUGCCUUUUCAACAGCCUGGAUCUUUAGGAAUGUAAAGAAAUUUAAUACAGUAGCACUUGAAAAUUAAUCAUGUGGACCUUUGAUAUUCUGAAGCUAUAUGACAAAAUUUCAAAACCCCUUCACUUCAGUAACAACAGGCGUUUUGAUGAAUUCAGAUUUCAGAAGCAAUAGAUAUGAGAUCACAUGACAACUAGAUUAGAAAUGAAGAGUAAAAGGAAAUACAAGAAUAUUACAUGACCUUAGAAACUUAUUGGAUAAAUUACAGUGAUCAUUGGACCAGUGAACCACAGUUCACUAUUUAUGAAAAGAAAGAAAAUAGAAAAGAAGGGAAUAUAAUGGCUGUUCACUUCGCCAUAUACACCUUAUUUAACACCUUGUUUAUUUGAGUUGUAAUCAACGACGACAAAAAGAAGGAAGCCUUGAUUCACAACAAGAAGGAAGCCUUGGAUUCAUGCUUAAGCGAGACGUAAAUGCACCACCAUCACCCCAUAAUGCAUAAGCUUCCUCUCCAUGCGCUGCAUCAUCCCCAACCUUUAGAUCAUCGUCAUCCAUCCUAAGAUUGACAAUGCGACUUAUAAGAAUACAUAUUAGGCUUGUCACAACCACAUUCCACGCAGCUACAAAGGCUGCUCCUGCUAAUUGGAGAUUCAUUUGUCUCAGACCCUGAUGGAAAUUUUUUCCAAAGGUAUACACAACACCUGGGCCACGAUGGUCUGGAUAGAACAUAUUCAAAUAAUCUGGCUUGGCAAAGAGACCAGCGCAUAUUCCACCCAAUAAACCAGCCACAGCAUGGGUAUGGAAGACAGCCAAAGGGUCAUCGACCUUUUGAAAGAAUGCAAACUUUUUGUGUAGGACCAUCAUGGUGUACCAUGGUAUGCUUCCCGAUAAUAUUCCCAUCAGCAUUGCUGCCCAUGGUUCCACCAACCCUGUCAAUGUUUUUUCAGGAACACUCUGUUGAAGUUAGAACUAAGAAUUUACAAUUCAGUCUGUCAAGAGUUUUGAACUGGGAUCGAGUAUUAGUUAAAGCCUAACCUGCAGCUGGUGUGAUGCAUACAAGGCCAGUAAUCAUCCCUUGAACUGCUCCAAUCACAGAGCUCUUUUUGUAAACAACCAUGUCCAUUGACAGCCAUGUCAAGAGACUGGUUGCUGUGCAAAAAUGAGUGUUUAGAACAGCCAGUGAGGCGAUCCUGUUGGCAGCAAAAGGUGCUCCUCCAUUGAAGCCACUCCAACCCAUCCAAAGCAACCCUGCACCUCCCAACAUGUGAAUUAUGUUAUUUGGCGGUGAGUGCUGUCUAUCAUGUGCAAUCCGCGGACCCACCUGAUUGCCAAAAUCCAGCCAUCCAUCAAUGAAAAAGAUUCAACAAUUUCUUUUGAUGGAAAAACUGACACACUACUUCACUGUUACAUGUGAAUUUAAGGUAUCAUAUACUGUAGUGUAUGCCUGUCUGAGUGUCUUCCAAGUUAAAAGGCAAUCUACAGAAGGGUGAGACUAGUUUUGUUUGCAGGUCUUGAAAGACUGCUGUCUCAUGAGUGACACACGCCAGGAUCAAUGGCAAUACUACAAUGUUAUUAUUAAAUCAUUUUAUUAGCAUUAUUUAAUUUUUAUAAUGAAGAUUCAGUGAGUUUUAUUAUGUCCUAAUUAACGAACCAACUGGCAUCAAAAUUACGGAAAAAAAAUAUAUUGAAUUAUUACCCAAUAAGCAGCAGUGAAUCCAGCCACCCCAGAGGAAAGAUGUAUAACAUAACCACCUGAGAAGUCAAUUAUUCCUUUCCUUUCAAGAAAUCCAUUUGCCCAUAUAGUAUAAGCACCCACAGUAUAUGAGAAAGUGACCCAUAAUGGAACAAACAAAAUCCAAGCAUAAAAAUUCAUCCUUCCAAGCAAUGAACCAGCAACCAAAAUGACAGUAAUGGCAGCAAAAGCAAAUUGAUAGAAAACAAAAGUAGCCCAUGGAACAGAACCCAUUCUACCUUGUCCCAAAAGGUAACCAGAAGAUACAGAACUACUGGGUUCUGCAAACAAAGGUGUAGCUUUAUGAUACCCAAAAGACAUGUUAUGAGCCCAAAGCACCCAACAUAACAAAACUGCGGCAAAGGCGUAAAGGGCCAUGAAAGCAGAGUUUACAGCCCACUUCUUCUUGACCAUACUUCCAUAGAGAAUUAUAAGGCCUGGAACACUUUGUAAACCAACCAUAGCAGCUGCUGUUAACUGCCAUGCAUUAUCACCUUUGUUCAACCAAUCAGGUGAUACAUCAGUUGGAGCAAGUGAUUGUGGAAUGUAAAAGGGUGUAUUAGGAUAGUCUCCAUAUGCUGCCAUAUGAGAGUGAAGAAGAAAGAGAGAUCAAAAUUUGGAAUAGCUUAAAGGAGUUUGGAAUAUAUAGAGUGAGGAGAUUAAGAGGAAAACAUUGUUAUUAUCAUAACAAAGUGUAUACUUUUAUGUUUGUUUGGACAUACUAAGGAUUCCACUCACAUUCUUUGCUGUGUUUUGCCUUCUGGCUUUUUGUUUCUUACUGGAAUCAAUUAGAAUCCCCAAAGUUUAUAUAAAAUUGAGAAGUUGACCUGGAUAUAUUUUUUGUUGGCAAUUCAUCAAAUGGUUCCUUUCAUGGGAAACUUGAUACAUGGCAAUAUACAUUUGUGAUCCUUCCAAUACUGGGUGCCUCAGAACUGUUUCAUCUGGUCAGAAAUGGUAAAUAUUUCAUGGAAUAGUUGCUCGGUGUGAGUUGUUUCGUCAUCUUAAAUGUUAACACAUUUUAAUGUUCUGGGAUUUUCCUUCAACGUUGAGGCUUGAUCAACUGCAAAUUUGAAGGUUGAAGAUGGUACUGAUGCAGUGAUGCCACAUAACAAGCAUACCAAAACAUGUACAACAAACCCUGUAUGUCAUACAUAUGUAUAAAGGGCGUCAUUGGCUUAUGCUGAUGUAGCAGAAACAAGAAAAAUCCCAGAAAGGACCAGAGCCAAGAAGAUACUGGAGUCAGUUUGCAACUUGUACAACAAAUUAAUUAACCAAUCUUCUUGGAGAACAUGAACAUAUAAUGUGCAUCGAUCAUGCCAUUGCUAAUAGUGUCGACGAUUUUGAUUUCAUCAUUCACUAAUCUAUUAAAUCCAUGAAUAUAUAUGAUAUUAUGAUGUAUGUAUCAGGUCCCUCAAGCUAUCAAAUGCCCAUACCUCAUAAAUCAUGAUCUUCUCUUCAAUGAUCCCCACACUAGUCAGCAAUAACUGUAUUCAUAUGAGCAAUGUGAUAUAUGCCAGAUCUGGACUGAAACAAGACCCACAUGUUCACAAUAUUAACAUGCAUAGUUUGUACGUUGCUAACAAUUAUACAGUGGUUUCUAUGGUUACGAUUCUUAGCAAGCAGAUUUAUUUGGCUAUCAGUCUUGAGUAUCUGAAGUUCUCGUGGAAAGGGACCCAUCUAGUUGUGGGUGCCAACCAAGUUUGUUUGCAGCUUGCAACAUGUUUUUUGUGCCUUAAUGGGAGAUCAUGACACUUUCGAUGUCAUUCUUACAGUCACAGGUUGAUAUUGAUUGAUCUCGUGGACGGAAUUCUGUAAGAAAUUCAUCAUUUGCUGAUGAAAAUAUUGAUCUAUUUUAUAUGCAGAGAAAAACUUUAAGAGACAUGGAUGGCUGAAACAACCUGAAAUAUAUUUCCUAUAACCUGACAAUAUAUCCAUUAUAUAUUCGGAAAAUGUUUAUGCGUGUAAGGCUUCACAAAAGUAAUAAGACACACCAUAGUUGAACAAAUUUAACACGGGUCGUUCAUCGAUCAUUUGCCAAUGUCAUGAAGAUGGAUAUGCAUUGUCUCUGACCUAACUGGAUGUUUUGUUUAACAAUGAGGUAAGGUAAGCACCAAAGGAUGGCCGGUUAGGGUUAAUUGUCAGUAUUGAUGUGCAUUGCGCGCCAAUCAGUUAUAUCUAAUAAUAGCAUCAUCUAUAGCAUUCAACAACCAAACAUUAAUUUUUUUUUGUUUAUCGGCCAAUUCUACGCUUAAUCUCCAUGAACAUAUACAAUACAAAUCGUUUAAAUAAAACUAGUACUGUAUCUAUAAGGUUUUCGGCAAUAAUAUAAAUGAAAGUCAAAAAAAUUCUUGUAUUUUUUUUCUGCAAAAUUCUGAUACCUAACAAACUCAGGAUAUAUAUACCAUCAAAUUUUUUCCAUUAAUAAUUUACAAAGAGAAGAAAACAAAGGCCACAAGAUGGAGUUUAACUAAUACUUGCCAUAUUUGUGCCAACAAAGAAGCAUAACAACACAUCUCCUAACAAUGUAAAAUCUAGACCGUCUCUCCCUUACCAAAGCCAACCAUCCACGCUUUUCUGACGAUGAUGAUGAAGAAGUAGUCGAAGAAACAUCGCUCCAUCUUUUGCUUUCCUUCGAUCGAGUUGAUGUACAUUGACCCAUUACUUACCACAAUCCCAAAAAAACACCAAGAAUCAAACAAAUAUAUAAACACAAUAAAAAUGAAAAUCAAGAAUUAUUCCCUUUCAUUAUAUUGUCAUCAUCAGAACAGAAACCUAUCUCUCUUCGAUCUCGAUCUCUUGUGUGUAUAUGUGAAUGUGUUUGGGAAGAGAUGGAGAGCAUUGUAAUGUUUUGUUGGGUUUGGUUGUUUUGGCCAAUAAUAAUAUUAUUAUUACCUGGAUUUACUGGAUAUGCAUGCUUAUGGCCUAUCUAUGAUUCUAUCUCACUUCUCACCUAUAACCUAUGUAUGAGGAGAAGUGCAAGCAAAAUCUUUGGUUUGUUAUAACGGUUGGUCCACAUCACGCGGUUUUAUCACCCUGACUUGACAGCUUGUACUGUAUAUCCAUUCCACGUGUCUGGUUUUAAUUUAAUUUAUUUUUGUUAAAUUUGAAUUUUGCAACCCGCGAUUCCAUCUAGAUUUUUUUUUUUUUUUUAAGGACUAUUGACCAAAGAGAUUUUUUGUUUUGUGUUGAAUAAGGAAAAUAAUUAUUGGAAUCUAUUAUACUCUACUAUGUGAAUGUGCAUGCGUAUGCGUGCGAAGAACGAACGGACACAGCUUAUCGGUAUUAUGUGCCCAGACAAAUGAGGGAAAAAAAAUUUAUUGGGAUGAUGACAUAUCUAUAAUAUAAAAUAGGGAUGUGCACGGUUCAGUUCGGUUCCAUUUUACCACUAAACUGAAACCGAACUGUGCAAGCUGGUUCGGUUCGGUUUCAAAAACCGAAAAAUAUUAUUAAAAUUGGAUUGGACUGAACCGAUUUAAUUCGGUUCGGUUUGGUUCGGUUUUCGGUUUGGGCUUUAUUAUGGGCUUUUGUGUUUUGGGUUUUAAUAACUUCGGGUUUUUUUUUUGGUAAUCUAAUGAAUAUUUGAAUAUAAUCUAACAUUUAUAAAUAAAAAUAAUAAAAAAAAACAUAUAUAACGUAUAUAUAUAAAUAAAAAAAAUUAAAAAAAAUAUAUAUAUAUUAAUAUAUAUAUUCGGUUCGGUUCGGUUCGAACCGAAAUAUUAGAAUAGGAACUGGAACUGGGUUGUAUAUACUCGGUUCGGUUCCAGUUCCAGUUCGGUUUGACUGGUUCCUGGUCAACGCAGUUUUGACCCGGUUCGGUUCCGGUUUUAAUUCGGUUGUCCGGUUUUUUGCCCACCCCUAAUAUAAAAAGUAAAUUUUUUUUUUUUUUUUUUUAGAUUAUUUAACUUUUACGCUUAUAGUAGGUCCCAUUGUUUGAAAUUACUUUUGUACCCUUUUCAUUUUAAUAUACAAUAUGUAAUGUAUAGAGUAAAAUAGCUAAUAUAUAAGGGAUAAAGUAUGAACUGUGUAGAUAAUCAAAUAAACACGUAUCUGUAUGUUUAGUUGACACGGUAGGUUACGCAAACCAUCUCGAUUUAGGGGCGCGUUAUAAAGUAGUUAAAGAUUAAAGCAAAAAAAUACCCCUAAGAAAAUAUCUCUUGGGUUAUCAAUUAUAUUGAAAUUUAUACUUUAAUUGAAGAGAAUUUUGAUUAAGUUUGGGUAUAUUUAUAACGGGUUGUCUAGGCUGUCAUCCUUAGGAUGACAUCCAUCUUGACAGCCCAUCUCAUCCAUUGGUUCAGAUUAAAUCCAACGGUGUUAAUAUGCUUCAGAGGUGCAAGUAAAUAUAUUGGGGGUAAAUGUGUACUUUACCUCUUCUUCUUCUCUCUCCCACAUUUUAGAAGUUUAGAACAAGAAGAGUCGAAGGGAUUACUCUCUCGUCAGAUACUCGAAGAACACUGCCCACCACCCAAUAACUUCAGACUUUAUCUUAUUAACCUCUUUCCGAAAUCGAUCUCAAUUCUCAACUUCUAAUUGGAGUAGUUGGACUGCAUUCUAAAAUUUGGAAAACAAUCCGACUAUUGUGAUAAUAUUCAAUAUUCAAAGUUUGUUCUGAAACUUAAAAACUAAAAGAUCAAAAGCUACAGUUUCAGAUGAAUUUUAUCCUAGUGGGUUCUAAAAAAAUUUAGUAAACCCCAAUCAAUUUUUUUUCUCUUGUAAAAUUUCACAUUAAUCCAUCAAAAUAAAUUCAAAUCUCAAACAAUAACAAUUUCAUAAGUAUACAUCUUUUGUAACAUAAGGAGUACAAUCAAUAUUAACCAUUUUAUGAAUAUGCGUGAUGGAUUGAGAGAAGAACAGAUCGAUGUUGUAUUAGCUGAGAUUCAUUUUGAAAGGGGAAGAGAGGGUAGAUGAACAAAGAGAAAAAAAGGAGGUAAAAGACAUAGUUGCCCUAUAGUGUUUUAACUUUUAACAACAAAGUAUAUCAUAACCAUUAGAUCUUUGUAAUACCAAUGGAUGAGAUGGGCUGUCAAGAUGGAUGUCAUCCUAAGGAUGGCAGCCUAGACAGCCCUUAUUUAUAAUUACAUAAAAGUUUGAGUAUAUUUGUAAUUACAUAAAAGUGGACCACCCAUCACGGAUAUAAUCAAGUCCAAUUGGACUAAAUCACAUGCAUAAUUAAGCCCAGUCCAAAACAACUAGACCUGAUCCCAAAAUAUAAUCAAAUCAACCCCAUGCAUUGCACGGGUUUAACCACUACCGUCUACCCCUUCUAAAUAACCACUGCCAGAUAAUCUUAAUCUUAACCCUUGCCUGUAAACAUCUUAUACUGAGUUGUAUCAUAUAUGAAAAGAUUAUAAAGCUACUAAUUAUCACUAAAAGAGAAGCCAAAACUAGAAAAGCCAGAGGUAAUUAAGUUUUAUUUAUUAUUUUGAUUUGAAUCCUUAAUUAGUUUUUUUUUUUUUAAAAAAAAAAAAAAUUGGUAUAUUAAUCAUGGCCCGAAGGCUUACAAGGACAGGGCCCAAAGGGCUUACAAAGACAAGGCCCGAAGGCUACUGAUGCUACUACCUAAGUGUCCACACCCCCACCUUGCAACUCGAGCAAUUUUGCUACUCAGGGACUUGCUUUCGCUGAAGAACACCUAGCCACAUCAUCAUCAUGGGAGAACACGCCUUACCACAAAUCAUCAUCAUAAGAGCAUGGGCCUCCUAAUCUCGAACCAGGCUCGAAGGCUGACCCACCUAAGAAUUACAUGAGAAAUUCCAAUUUGAAUCCUUAAUUAGUUCUUUUGCAAUAUAUAUUGUAGACAAAAAGAAAAAACUGGAGUUAGGUAUCGUUCUCUCUCACUGGUUUCAAUUAUUCAGCUAACAGGAAAAAUCGAGGUCUUUAGACAACCAGGAUGUGUUUAAGAUACAAUUCUCUUAUGCUUUCUUAAAGGAACGUAGUCAAAGGCAAGGUGUAAGUUUAUAAAUAAGAUUAUUGAUAGUAUGAAUAUGAUGAUUCGAUCAGUAAUAAGUUCAUGGCCCAAAGCCCUCAAUGCAUCUCCCAUAAAAUUAAGCGAAAAAAAAAAUGCAUAUUGAUAUUCCCUUUGCUUUGCAUGCUAAAUAAUCUCAUUCCAUUGAGCUAGCUUAGGUUCUUAGCACUCUUUUUUUUUUAUGGUACAGUAAUCAGACUGUUAUUGUUUGUUUUUUUUUUUCUAUUUUUAUUAUUUAUUUAUGUGUCAUUUUUCAAAAAAUCACGUCAUACAUAUUCUUCCACGUCACACAAUUCAACGGAGAAAAUUACCGGAGACUUUUUCAAUGUUAGUCUUUCAAUGUUAGUCAAGAAAGUUGACUCAAAGUUCAUUGUCAAGUUUGUUCUUCGCUGUCAGUUUUGCAACCAACUUCAAAGUUCGUUGUCAUAGUGAGUAUUUUGGUCAAAUGAAAUAUGUAUAAUUACAAGGACAUGCAAGAUUACUUCAUACGUUAUCACUGGAAUGUGAAUGUCUGGAAUUGGUAUGACCGGAUGAGCCAUGAGACAAUUUAAAAUUGAAACCCAGUAUUGAAGUUGUCAAUGAUGAUCCUGGUUGUAAGUACCAAACCAGGCUAGGUGGAGUAUUGAGGACACGGGAGCUAGAUAAGGAGAGCAAACUGGGAAGUACCCAAUCGGAGUUCAGAACAUUCUAGAGUAUCACGGAUAGAGCACGUGAUGUCUGGCUGUCAAGCAUUCACUUUAUAGUAUGUGAUGGAGAAUGAAACACGUAGGAGAUAAGAGAACCAUAGGAUGCAAAGGAGGAUCCAACGGUUCAAGGAAGGCGGUGAAUAUUGCUAUAAAAGGAUCACGUUAGGGUUCGCUAAAGGUAACUGUUCAUUCUUUGCUAAAACCUAUUCUCUAAACCUAGCCGCUUACUGACUUGAUCGUUGGAGCUUUAUCCACCGGUCAUUGUCCGGUGGUCAUUGCAGGUACUACCAUUGAAGCAGUUGAAGGACCCAGCUGAGCUCAUCAAGGAAAGAGGGCUUACAUUUGGCGCUAGAAGAAGGGCCACUUUGCUGCUUCCAGAUCUAGGGUUUUGGAGAAGAAAGUAGAAAGCAAUGGUAACACAAACUAGAUCGUCGACAUAUCUCGGAGGUCUAGCAGCUGGAGAUGUUCCGCAAGUUGAUCAUCCUCAAAAUCUCCAAGAUGGAGACGAAGAUACAAGCAGAUUGAGGGAAGAGAACUUGAGACUGAGGGAGCAGAUAAGAAGGAUGGAAGAUAUGGAUCGUCAAAAUCUUCAGGAAGGAGAGAACGAAGCAGUCAGAAAUAAAAACCAUCAGAGACCAUUGGAGAGGGUAAUACUAGGAGAAGGUGAAGGAGGAACAAGGCGUCGGAUUCUAGGCCCAAGAGUGAAUGAAGAAGAAGGGUCAGGUGAAUCGAGGGUAAGAGCUCGCGAAGGGAGUCGAAGGGAAGGGGUGAAUGAUGAAGAGAUCCCGGCGGCAGAUGAAUACACCAGACUUUUCGAUAUGAUAUGCAAGGUCCAAGAGGACAUGAGGGCGCAGACCAAGGGAAAGAACAUGGAGGUGACUCAGGAUCUGGAGAGAUUGGGCAAGAGGCCAUUAGCCGAAGUGUGCUACCGUCACGGGUUCCCAAGUAAGUUUCAACCUCCUAAGUUUAAUGAGUAUGAUGGAACAACUGAUCCUGUGCAGCACUUGAAUAAUUUCAAGCAAAAAAUGGCGGCUUGGGAAGGGAGCCAGUAUGACGGAAUGUGGUGUCGACUGUUCCCUAGCAGUUUGAAGGAUAACGCUACAGACUGGUAUCUCAGCUUAUCACCAGGGAGUGUAUCAAGCUUUGCUCAGCUCAGCGAGAUGUUUGUCAAACAUUAUAUUCAUCAGAAAAGACAGGCUGCAGAUAUAGCGUCACUCUUUGAUUUGGAACAAGCUCCAGGUGAGUCUCUUAGAAAGUUUGUUACUAACUUUAAAAAUGAGAUUUUGAUAACAGAUGGCGGAGUAGAUGAAAGAACAGAGUAGAUGAAAGAACAGCUGUGGUAGCAUUUCAGAAGGGUAUAAAUAAGAAGUCUCCUGCAUAUGACUCGAUUGUGUCAUCACGGAUGGCGACUCUGGAUGAACUUUUCCAGAAGACGGAGAAAUACAUCAGACUAGAGGACAUAGCAUCACGGAGAGCUCCUAAAGUGGUACCGGCAUCCGUUAACUCGGUGGCGGAAAAAAGAAAAAAGGGAGAAGCUAGCUCACGAAGUGAUUCGCCACCAAGAGAUUCCGGCUCUAGGAGGAACAAAGAUGGAUCGAGAGGUCACGACAAAAGAGAAAGGAGGGAGGAUAGAGAUACUUCACCAAGAAAGUUGACACCACCGAAACCGCUACCGCAACUCACAAUGUCACUGGAUCAAAUUUUGAAGAGAAUAAGAGGAAGAAAGUACUUCCGGGAGCCGUCGGUAAGAUGUAGAACAGUCAGGGGAAAGCCAUUAUGUGAAUAUCAUCAGACUUACAACCACCCUACUGGAGAUUGUUAUGAGUUCAAAUCCUUGAUAUGGAAAUGGAUGGAGGAGGGCCAUUUAAGAGAGUUUAUAGUGGAAAAGAACAAGGAGGAAGACAAAACAGAAAUUCAAGUCAGAGGGACCGUUAACAUGAUCUUAGAAGGAGCUAGAGAAUCCUUGAACGAGGUCAGGAGGAAGAUAAGAAGAGUGAUGCAGAUAAGAGAAGACUUACAAACAGUCGGAGUCGUUCCAGUCAUACGAAAUGGCAGACCAGUGCAUCAGAGUGAGCCGAUUGGGUUUUCAGAGGAAGACCUCAAAGGAGUAGUCACACCACACAAUGACCCAUUGGUCAUUUCCAUACUCAUUGGAAAUUGGAAUGUCACGAAAGUGUUAGUAGAUUGUGGAAGUGAGGUAGAUGUUCUGUUCACCAGGGGCUUGGAUCAAAUGAAACUGGAGAGAGGUAGCUUGGCAAAUUCACCUGGAGACAUUUACGGAUUCAAUGGGGGAGCAGUGCGGCCAGUUGGAGAGAUAGUCUUACCGGUUACAGCACACACCAGAACCGUCAUGUCGAGAUUUGUGGUCAUAGAUGCUCCAACAGAGUACAAUGCAAUCUUGGGAAGAGAGUGGAUUCAUCUUAUGAAGGCAAUUCCGUCAAGUUACUAUCAGAAGAUCCGUUUUCCGACUGAAGAUGGACAAUAUGAGAUAAGGAGCAAUCAGGCUAUGGCCAAGAAUUUGAAGAUAGCAACAGUAAAAAGUAUGAGGCAUGGCACAGCAGGUGCUGGGCCGUCAUCUGUCCCUGCAUAGCAACGACAGAAGGAGGGUGACGGGUUCCCGCGUGAAGUGCUAAAGACAGAAGAACAAACGGAACCCGUCAACCUCAAUGAGGUAGGGGAUCAGCAGAUCACCUACAUGGGAACCAACUUGGAUGAGAAGGUGAGGUUUGAUCUUUUACAAUUCUUAAAAGAUAAUAUGGAUGUAUUUGCUUGGUCUAUGAAUGAUAUGACAGGGAUCGAUCCAGACGUAGCAUGUCACAGGUUGAAUGUCAAUCCAAGUUUCAAACCAGUUGCGCAGAAAGUGAGAACAAUAAAACCUACAUUGGCGGAGGCAAUAAAACAAGAGAUUGAGAAGAUGGAGUUAGCUGGAAUAACAAGAGAAGUUCAGUAUCCAGAGUGGGUAUCUAACAUAGUGGCGGUUCCGAAGAAAAACGGAAAGGUUCGAAUCUGUAUAGACUUCACAAACUUAAACAAAGCAUGUCCAAAAGAUAGAUACGUCAUGCCAAGGGUGGAUGAGCUAGUGGACAGAACAGCAGGCUUUGGGUUACUGUCAUUCAUGGAUGGCUAUUCCGGCUACAACCAUAUUCCUCUAUAUGGUCCAGAUCAGGAGAAAACGGCCUUCUAUGCUGGUAAGAAAACUUUAUGUUAUACCAAAAUGCCAUUUGGUUUGAAGAAUGCAGGAGCUACUUAUCAGAGGCUGGUAGAGAGGAUGUUCGAAGAUCAGCUGAGGAAGACGGUAGAAGUAUACAUUGAUGAUAUGUUGGUCAAGUCCAAGGAGCCGGAGGAUCAUCUAAAAGACCUGGAAAAAACAUUUCAAACAUUGCGGCAAUUCAACAUGAAGCUCAAUCCAGAAAAGUGCACGUUUGGGGUACAGUCGGGAAAAUUCCUUGGCUACAUUGUGACAAAGAGGGGGAUAGAGGUUAGUCAGGAGCAGAUCAGGGCACUCACAGAUAUGGCGUCACCAAGGACACAGAAAGAAGUACAGGUGCUUGCUGGUCGGAUUACGGCAUUGGGAAGGUUCAUAUCAAGAUCUACAGAUAAAUGCAAGCCAAUUCUGAAGCUCUUGAGAAAGAAUUUAUCCUUUACCUGGAAUGAGGAAUGCGAAGAAGCUUUCCAGAAGUUAAAAGAAUACUUGAGUAGACCACCAGUUCUGUCAAAGCCAUUUCCGGGGGAGACGCUCUAUGUUUAUCUAGCAGUGUCGGACAUUGCAGUAAGUGCGGUCCUGACUAGAAGGGAGGCCUCAAAGGAGAGCCCAGUCUAUUUCCUCAGCAAGAAGAUGACUUCACCAGAGACAAGGUAUUCUAGGGUGGAAAAGUAUGCCCUCGCUUUACUCUUUGCAGCUCAAAGAUUAAGACCUUAUUUCGAAGCUUAUAGUCUGACAGUGGUUUCAAACCUCCCUCUCAAUCAAGUGAUGCCAAAAAUCGAGCGUUCUGGGAGAAUGGAAAAAUGGGCAGUUUCAUUGAGUAAAUAUCACAUUCAGUAUGAGCCCAAGAAGGCGGAAAAAUCACAAGUGCUGGCGGAUUUCUUGGCAGAUUUCCCAGUGGAGGAUGUAAUCAAGGGUGCAGAAAUGCAAGAGGAAGAGCAGCUAGAGUAUCUAGAAGUUCAAGAUACCGGGUGGAAAAGCGUCAAGGGAUGGAAGGUGUUCACCGAUGGGUCAGUAAAUAAAGGAAGAUCAGCAAUCGGGAUAGUAGUGGUAACGCCAGAGGACACUAAGAUCGAGAUCGCAGAAAAAUUAGCCUUUCCGGCUACCAAUAAUGAGACAGAAUACGAGGCGGUGCUGAAAGGUUUGGAAGUAUUGCUGAAGUUAGAGGCAAAGGAGGUUACGGUUUUCACAGACUCGAAAUUGGUGGUGGAACAGUUCAAUGGAACAUAUAAAGCUCAGACUGGCAAGAUGAUGUUGUACUUGGAGGCAUUGAAGAGGAGUGUAGCAAAGUUCUCGAAAGUUGAUAUCGUACAUCUGUUUAGGGGAGAGAAUCGGCAUGCUGAUGCAUUGGCUUACCUGGCAACGGCAACAGAAGAGAAUUCGACCAAGACUAUAACGUUCAUGCAAAGAUCUCAGCCAAUGAUAGAGGUGAAGGAAGUGACUGUCAACCUCAUUCAGAACUUGGGAGCAAGUUGGAUGGACCCAAUAAUAACCCACUUAAAAGGUGGUUCUCUUCCGAAAGAGAAAGCAGAAGCUAGAUCGAUUGUGGAGCAAUCCAAAAGAUAUGCAAUGAUAGGGGAAGACCUGUAUAGGCGAUCACCAACUGGACCGUUAUUGAAGUGUGUACACCCAUCCCAAACAGAAGGAGUCAUGGCGGAAUGUCACAAUGGAAGUUGCGGCAGUCAUUCACCGGGAUGGGCCAUGGCACACAGGAUAAUGAUUCACGGGCAUUACUGGCCGAGUAUGUAUAAAGAUUGUUGCAACUAUGCUAAGAAAUGUCAUGGUUGUCAGAUUCAUGGGAGACUAAUACAUACCCCAGCUGAAAACCUUCACUUUGUAAGCAAUCCGUGGCCCUUUUCGAUGUGGGGAAUUGAUAUUGUGGGAAAACUGGAGAAGUCACAAGGAAGAGAAUAUUUAAUUGUGGCCACAGAUUACUUUACAAAGUGGAUUGAGGCAGAACCAUUACGAAGGAUCAGGGAGGUAGAUGUCAAAGAUUUUAUCUGGACCAACAUCAUCUGCAGGUUUGGCUUACCAAGGGCUAUAGUAGCAGAUAACGGUGCUCAAUUCCGUGGAGAGGAGUUGAAAAAGUUUCUGGCAAGUUAUAACAUAAAGCAACUCUUCGCAACACCAUUUCACCCGCAAGGAAAUGGGCAGGCGGAAGCAUCAAACAAGGCCAUACUGGAGGUACUGAAAAAGAAGCUUGACAAUAAAAAAGAAAAAUGGUAUGAGAAUCUUUGGGAAGUACUAUGGGCAUACCGGACGACUCCAAGAAGGUCCACAGGGGCAACUCCAUUUUCCCUCACUUAUGGGAUGGAAGCUGUGAUACCACAAGAAAUGUUGGUACAUACGGCUAGAAGAAUGGUGGUCGAUCUAGGGAAGAAUAAUGAGAUAAUAAAGAGAAAGCUGGUCUUAGCUGAGGAGGUCCGGGAGCGCGCCAAGCUCAGAUUGGAGGGCUAUCACCGCCAACUAGAGAGGACAUACAACAAAAGAGUCAAGCCAAGAAGCCUAAUUCCAGGGGAUCUCGUGUUAAGAAAACAGAAUCCGCCUCCAGCCAAACUAGAGCCAAACUGGGAAGGGCCUUUUGUGAUAGACAAGGCGGGAGCGAAUGGAGCAUACUACUUAACCUACCAAGACGGUACCCCUCUUGAUAAGCCAUGGAGUAUCAGCAAUCUAAAGAAAUACUAUGCCUAGAGGGCAGAGAUGUAUUAGAGCUACAAGAGUAGACAGUAUGUACCUAGAUUUGUUUGAAUUUCAAUGAAAAUAUAAGAUUUUGUUGUUAUUAACUUAUCUAGUUAUAUAUAUAUAGCACUAUUGUCUGAGACCAGGCCAAAGGUCAGGCAUAGAAGAAACCCAACUAAGGUUGGUGGGAAAUAACAUAAGUGUAGACUUGGCAGGGCAAGCCGUUAACUAAAUGUUAAAGUCUCUAUAUGAUUAUUUCUUCCCCAUUGAGUUUGAUUUAGACAAUACAGUGGGGUGCCUCUAAAAGAGAAGAGCAAUAGUGCUAAUGUGUUAACGGGGUUGCACUUGCUGAACCGUGACGACGGGAUCAGUAGAAGUAUAGCCUAAUGUUAGCACAUGAGAAACCAAUACCAGAAGAUAACAAUAAUUGAUAGCAAUUAUAAAAGUUUACAAUGUUGGAAGACUCUCGUCAAAUUUAAAAUUAGUCAAAUUACAACUCAAGGCAAGGGGUCUCGGGUGGAAGCGCUAGGAGGCGUUAUCCGCAUUUUCUUGGCAGAAAGAAUAGCGGUCAAGUUUUCCUUCACUUGAGCCUUCACUUGCAUGGCAAGCUGCUCUUUGAAUUUCGCCUCCAUCUCCUCGUAUUUUGAAUUGUAAUCAGUCAGGAGAGUUUCUCUUUGCUCCCGUAGGUCGGCCAGAUACUGCUGAUAGUCAACAUCAUGUGCGGCUUCGAGUUCAUUUAUUUUCACUAAGCUGUCAGCCCAUUUCCCCUCCAACUUUGCUACCUCGGUGGCAUGAGCAGCAUCAAGUGCAGCAAUACGCUCACGGUGCUCACCCUCAAGUGCAGCAAUGCGCUCACGGUGCUCACCCUCAAGUGCAGCAACGCGCUCACGGUGUUCACCCUCAAGCCUUUUCCGGUUCUUCUCAAUUUCAGCAUCACGAGACGCGGUUGUUUCUUUCAGUUGAAUCUUAAGUUGCUCGAUCUCGGCUUGAAGAGCCCAUUUCUCGCGAACUAGUCGAUUCUUAUCCACUGUAAGGUCAUGCUUCUCUUUUACAAUACUUUCUUUUUCUUUUUCCAGCCUAGAAGCAUUUGAAAAAGACUUGACGACGAGACCGUUAACCUACAAUUUAAUAGAAAAGUUAUAGUGCAAAAAAAAAAAAAAAAAAAAAAAAAAAAGGAAAAGAGGGGAGACUUACGAGAGCUAGACCACGGAAAAUUGUAUCUCGGUCCUCACCAAAGUUCAUCUGAUCAAUUUUAGCUUGAUUAGAAGGAAGAAUAGAAUUGUAGAUAGCGGCGAAAGCAGUCGCCCCAUUGUCAAAAGCCGAAGCUGAGGGAUCACGAGGAAGGGGAACGGCUGGAGUCUGGCUUGGAGACUGUGGGGAGGGAGAGUCAGCAAGUGCUUUACCGCGAGAAGAGGAGCCAACCUUGUUAGGGUCAAAGGCUAGUACAGACUCUGAAAAUGAAAAAGGACCUUGGGAAGUAACACCGGCAGGAGGUGUAGAAGUCUUGUCAGCAGUUGGUGCCGGAUUAAUCUCAGCAUCAAGGGUGGGAGAGAGUUGCUGGCCAUCUGCGGCUUGGUCACCUGAUCCAGAUGAAGAGUAAUUAAGAGUACGAUGGCGGGUAUACUUAGAUGUUUCACGAAUAGGUGCAACAAGUGUAGCAACAUCAAAAAUUUCGUGAUCAACAGGAAGUGGUGGAGGCAUCGCACCAAUAAUAGGGGGCUCAUUUGGAUCAAGGAGAGCCAUGGAAAAUUCCUUAAGGGGAGAAGAUGAAGGAUGAGAAGUUGAACCUGGUUGGGCGAGAUUGUCCACGCCGGUAUCUUCAAAUAGGAGACCACCAUCAAACCCAAGUUCAUCAAGAUUAAAGGAAACCUUGAUUCCACUAAAGUUUGGUUGUCUGGGUUCUUCCAGAGAGUCGCUGGAGGAAGCAGAAGGGGAUCCCGGUAGAGGAGAAGGAGCUUCUGCCAUUUUGGCCCUUUUCACUCUAGGAAUGGAAGGACCGUGUUGCUUUGAACGCGCCAGGUGAACUUCGGGAGAUUCCGGCAAUGUCUCUGGUUCACCUUGGACUGCCUGAAAAUCAGAACUUUCAGUUGAAGAAGAAGAAAGAUCACGACUACAGUUCCUGACAAUCUUUUGAACUCGAAAAGCAGAUAAGAAAGGAGGAAGUCGGGCAGUUACUCUUUUUUGCUUCUUCUUCUCGGAUGGCGCUGAAACUGCGGAAGGAGGUUCACGAGUUCUCUUUUUAGUUAGGAUCGUCUGAAGAGGGAUAUUAUCUCCACCGUCAUCAGAUUCUCUCUCCAACUCAGUAGCGGCAGCAGCAGAAGCUUUACCCUUCCUUUGUGUUGAUCGGGAAGUAGGAGGAAUAGCAGAAGACCUGCCCUUUUUAUCCCUGAGAUAAUCUUUGUGGCAGCAGACGGGUAAGACGUAUUCCCCUAGAUCAAGAUCUUUAACGAUCGGGGUACCGUCUUUCUUUAAGGAAGUAAGCUCACGAAUGGCGGAAUAACCGUCAGCUCCAGAUCCUAUCAAAGGUUCCCAAGGGGUGUCUUUGCGGGGUCUUAAGGCUUUGCCGUCAUCGCGAACCUCUGGGAUAGGAAAUAGAUAAAAGAGUUAGACAGACACUAUCAAAAGGAUUUUCAUCCUAGGAAUGUUAAUAUAUGAACAAAGUAGAAAAAGAAAGGAAGAAACCUCCUAGAUUAAACCGCCAGUAUUUUAAAGGGUUAGAAAUGCCAGGUCAUUUUCCCCCGAAGUUACCAAAGACAAUCAUAGGAAAGUCAGGCCAUUCCUUGUCACUUUCCGGCAAUUUUUCAAUAAUAGACCGCCUGCCGGGGCGUUUGACGAAAUAGUAAUAAGGUUGACCACAUUUUUCUUCGCAAACCCGAAGAUAGUAACAUUGACGUAUAUCAGCAAGGGAAACGGUGGUUCCUUCAUUGUUUAGUUGGUCUAAGGCCCGCAAGAUACGCCAAAAGUUACCAAUACAUUGUCCAGGGGCGACUUGGUAAAAAUUAAGUACAUCACGAACUAGAUCAGAAAAAGGAAACCGGCAACCAAAAGCUAUUUGGUGGGCUGUCACCAUAAUAGCAUCUUGGCGGCUAAAUUCGUGAUGUGCAAAGCAAAGGGCAUGUUUGUAGUUGAAAAUUUUUACGUCUUCAGGAAUGUCGUAUAGCUCACAGAGUAGAUCUAAAUCAGGUCUAUAAGGGUAGGCGCUGGGCACAUACGAAUCAAGGUAGUAACUGGAAGGGGAAGGGUGAACACCGCCAUCACCUUGACCUCCUUCAACUGUCUUCCUCGAAGAAUCUUUCUUUUUCUAUUUUGAUAAGAAGCCAUUUAUGUAUAGAGAAAGGCUCACCAAAAUCGUAGAGAAAGAAAGAUUAGGGGCGUAUACAGGGUGGCUCCUAGAGGAGGAAAAGAGAGAAGAAAAAUAAUUUGGAAAUUUACGGCAAUCGAAGUACAGAGUAUAUAGCGAGAAGAAGAAAAAUGAAAAACCUAGAUCUAAUAAUGGCUAAAAUUAAAAUCAAGAACAAGGAAAAGAGAAUAACCUGAAUUAGUCGACGGAGGAAGAAAUAAAGACGAGAAUCGAACUUUCAGGGGACCGGACGGUGCAUGAUUUCAUAGAGAAGGUGAAGACUGAAGAAAAAGAUGAACAGAGGAGGAGAAUGAAGAAGAUGAAAGGCAAAUGGAAGAAUUAGGUUAAAGGUUGUAAAUUUAUAUGUGGAUAAUCCCAAGGGUAUUACGGGAAGAAGUAAAAUAGUGACAAGACAAUAGCGUUGGGAAGCGAAAGGACAGCAGUUAAAAUCAUAAGUGCGUCUAGGUAAGAGCAAAAGAGGCACGCGUAGGAGGUUCGGGACUCGAGAGCAUGCGCAAUUAAUGAAUAGCUGGAGAGAUAGGGAUAAGGCAGAGCCUAAGGCACGUGAGGAGCAGGUGAUAGAUUAAAUAAUGAAAAGAACUUAUGACAGUUUUCCGUCAUCGUAAGGAGUUUACAUUUAGGCGAAGAAAAAGCCUUUGAGCCGCCAUCUAAGAAAUAUAGAUGACGGUCAAAGGAGGGGCGAUGUAAGUACCAAACCAGGCUAGGUGGAGUAUUGAGGACACGGGAGCUAGAUAAGGAGAGCAAACUGGGAAGUACCCAAUCGGAGUUCAGAACAUUCUAGAGUAUCACGGAUAGAGCACGUGAUGUCUGGCUGUCAAGCAUUCACUUUAUAGUAUGUGAUGGAGAAUGAAACACGUAGGAGAUAAGAGAACCAUAGGAUGCAAAGGAGGAUCCAACGGUUCAAGGAAGGCGGUGAAUAUUGCUAUAAAAGGAUCACGUUAGGGUUCGCUAAAGGUAACUGUUCAUUCUUUGCUAAAACCUAUUCUCUAAACCUAGCCGCUUACUGACUUGAUCGUUGGAGCUUUAUCCACCGGUCAUUGUCCGGUGGUCAUUGCAGGUACUACCAUUGAAGCAGUUGAAGGACCCAGCUGAGCUCAUCAAGGAAAGAGGGCUUACACUGGUAACACAUUAUACCGAACUAAGAGUUAUAUGUACAAAUUUUAUGGCUUGUAUUUAAUCAAUCAUAACUUUCAGUUCCAACAGUAAGAUCCAUGGUACACCUCGAAUUUAAUAGUACAAUAUUAUGCAUGCACCUUUUGACAUUUCAGGUCAUUUUCAUAGGAAAUUCAAGAGGAAAGAAAAACACGGCACACCAUAUUCAAAACCUUGAGUUACCCUGUAUCUUCAAUUCUACAAAGAAUGAUCUAUAUCAUCAACUUACCUACCGAGUCUACAAAAAACUGAGGCUUUGACAACUAACUAAAAGAAAAUCAAGAGUCUUUUUGAGAACCAUAUUUGACUAAGGAUGACAAUUAAUAGUAGUUCGUAAAUCAUGUAAUGUGUAUUGUGUUCUAAUAUAUGGUGUGCUAGAUAAUGCCAUGAUGUGAGUCGUUAUGCAAGUUGCUUCUUUGGAUGGCAUAGGAGUAUGAGUAUAUCACAACAUUCCCAUAAUAGAAAGAAAGAUAGUUGUGUAUUACAAAAAGAUGAUCACUGAUAUCAUUUCCUAUCCCAUUUUCAACACUCUUUGCAAUCUUCACUUUAGAACCUUUAAUUAAAUGAUAUUAAGGGUCUCCAUUAUAUUUUUAUUCAAAAGGAACACACAAUGAAAGGAGCAGGUUAGUUGGUGCUUCAGCAGGGCAAGGAAUAAUACUUGGAGACAGUACAGUUUUGCCAAGUCCCACGGAUACUCUGGCAAUGUUUGCAGGUAGCAGUGUGUUUUCCUGAAGGGCUCCAAUGUUUCAAAGCUUCUGAAGAAAGCGAUCUCUGAAUGUUUCAAAGCUUGGGUGUGGGCUGCUUUCUGUUUUUCAGAAGUUUUUGUUGUCUGUUUACUACAUUGAGGAGUGUGAGGAUUUUAUGUUUACAAUGGAAUGUCCACUGGUUAUGGCACUUGAUAUGGACCAUGGUCCAUGGAUCACGAUAAUGGCAACUUAGUCUGGUCAUUUGUAAGCUGCUUAAUUAAGAAUUAUUUCGCUGGAUCAGAAAAUGGCAAUGGAGCAAUGUAUGCUAUGCACGCAAUAACUGGAGAGAUAUCGUGUAGCUAUGUUACAGGUGCUACUGUCCAUGGUGGGAUGUUUGUGAGUAAUGGCUGCAUCUGGGAAAUGGAUAUACUGUUAAUAUUGGAGCAUUUCAACCUGGCUAUACUGUUGGGACCUCGCUUUCUGUAUUUCUUAAACAAAUGGAAAACAGUGGCAGUCUAUGCAUUGCUUUACAUAGAUCUGAAAAGAUAAAAUUGUGUUGCUCAGCUCGCGAAUAAAAUUAAGAAUAAGAUCAUGGAAGUUGGUCACUAUAAUGCACGUACAUGCAAAUUAGUAAUGUAAACUCGAUCUAACAGGACCCACUCACUUCCUAAACUGUUUUUCUGUCGUUUGAAUCCAAUUUAUGGAGGAAUAAAAUUUGAUGUUUUCAUAUUACACAUACAGUCGUGUCAUGUAAGCUAGCAGUCGUAGUUUGCUUGAAUUGUUCAAUAAGAUAUCAGUUUGGACAAGAAGCGCAAAUAUAAAUUUGGAAUUCGUACCUGGUAGAUAUAUUGCCUUCGCCAUGAACGGAAUUAAAUUUUUGGGCCUAUUGAGUAAUAUUUUGACUUUUUGAUCGGCUCAUGUCCGAUUAAUGUAACAUCAGACAAAAAAACAAAAAAAAGAGUGCUAAGAGCCUAAGCUAGCUCAAUGGAAUGAGAUUAUUUAGCACGCAAAGCAAAAAAAAUAUCAAUGUGCAUUUAUUUUUUUGCUUAAUAUUAUGGGAGAUGCGUUGAGGGCUUUAGGCCAUGAACUUAUUAUUGAUCGGAUCAUCAUAUAUUCAUACUAUCAAUGAUCUUAUUAAUAAACUUACACCUUGCCUUUGACUAAGUUCCUUUAAGAAAGCAUAAGAGAAUGGUAUCUUAAACACAUCUUGGUUGUCUAGAGACCUCGGUUUUUCCUAUUAGCUGAAUAAUUGAAACCAGUGAGAGAGAAUGAUACAUACCUAACUCCAGUUUUUUUUUUUUUUUUUUGGUCUACAAUAUAUAUUGCAAAAGAACUAAUUAAAGAUUCAAAUCAAAAUAAUAAAUAAAACUUAAUUACCUAUGGCUUCUCUUUUAGUGGUAUUAGUAGCUUUAUAAUCUUUUCAUACAUGAUACAACUCAGUAUAAGAUGUUUACAGGCAAGGAUUAAGAUUAAGAUUAUCUGGCAGUGGUUAUUUAGAAGCAGAGAAUUUUAUAUGUGUAGCCCAGAGAAUUUUAUAUGUGUAGCCUACUUGCAUGUGGGUGUGUACACCCAAUCACAAUACGCCAAAACAAAAUCCCCAAAUAAAUCAAGUCCAGACCAUCCAUAGCACGGGCCUAAGGACUAGUUUUUCUUAAUUCAGGAUAAGUUUGAAUUCCAAAUUAAAAUGGAAUUACUCCAUUGAUGUAAGGAUUUUAGGACUACUAUUGAAAGCAAGAGUAUAUAUAUUCUUUACAUCUGGACUCUUUAUAGUAUUAGAGAUGAACAACACAGAUCGAUAUCGCAUGGAGCUGAAAAGUUGGUUGAAUUUUGCGUGGCGAUCAAGGGACAACUGCAGACGCAAUUGCAACAACUUCUUUCCACUCGAGGUGGUUCACAACACACACAAGCAGGGCAAUAUAUAAUGUGUGGCCAAACUCGAACUGCAUCACAAUGUCACAAGGAAAGAACUUUGGAGACAGAAUAAGACAUAAAAUGAGGAUUGGCCAAGGAAAAAGAGAUCAAUAUUUCCGUAGCAGGUAUGAUCUAUUUGCUCCCUACAUUGCCUGGACCACUUGUCUGGUCACUUGCUGCCUAGUAGCAGUGGACCAGAUGUGCGGUUGAAUGCAGUAAGCUAUUGAUCGAUGUUGAAAAUUUAAGAUUGAUUUGUUUUACACAUGAGUAACUAAGUAUUCCCAUUUCACUCGUACUAACAAUCUAAAUGGCGCAUCCCAAAGAUUUAAGACCAUUCUUUUGAUGCCCUUUCUAUAAUCAAAACUGUGCAUCUUAUAUAUGCUUACAUCCCUAGCUCUCAAGAAAGUGCUGACAAGCAUACAUUGUGCAUUGCUGAUGAUAUAUAUAACAACUUGUAUUUAAGACUGUAUCACUAAAUGGAUACUGUAUCCAUAUAUACUGUAUGAUAUAUCCAAUAUACAAUACAUGUAAAUAUAUUUGCCUUCAAAAAUAGGACAAUUAUGUCGGCAAAGUGUGUAUUACAUCUGGACUCUUUAUUCUAUUAUACUGUAAUAUAGAAGAUGAACACCAGAUCGAGUCCAGAGAUAUUAUGGAGAAGUUGUUUGAAUUUCUCCUGGCGAGGAAGAACCACCACACCCGCAACUGCAACAACCUCCUUUCACUACUGGUGGUCCACAGCAAACACAAGCAGGACAAUAUUUAAUGGGUGGCCGAGCUCGAGCUGCAUCACAAGGAGAAAAGCAGCUUGUAGCUAGAACAAGGCAUAAGAUGAGAAUAGUAGCCAUGGUAAUGGUUUUAGAUUUGGUUUCCAUGUUUCAAGAAUAUGAACUAAAUAGGGAUCAAGAAAAUGUUAAUAUGAUAAUGAG
RNAcentral lists this long non-coding RNA (89662 nucleotides) under Aquilegia coerulea. RNAcentral describes it as "long non-coding RNA (ACOE_LNC001650)". The stretch from base 34729 to 34800 matches the Rfam family "tRNA". Lineage: Eukaryota; Viridiplantae; Streptophyta; Magnoliopsida; Ranunculales; Ranunculaceae. The record is from RNAcentral.